This 98998-nucleotide long non-coding RNA is filed under the name Triticum aestivum (bread wheat). Its description in RNAcentral is "long non-coding RNA (TAES_LNC008152)". Lineage: Eukaryota; Viridiplantae; Streptophyta; Magnoliopsida; Poales; Poaceae. The record is from RNAcentral.
GCUUCGCCGGGGAGCUCGGCGGUGGGGGAGCCCUCCUCCGCGCCGCAUGGUCCGGCGCCUCGUGCUGCGGCUGGGAAGGUGUGGGCUGCGACAGCACCAGCGGCCGCGUCACGGUGCUGCGGCUCCCCUGGCGCGGCCUGGCGGGGCACAUCCCAGGAGCCUCCCUGGCGAGCCUCGUGUGGCUUGAGGAACUCUUCCUCGGCUCGAACUAUUUUGUGGGCGUCUUCCCAGACGAGCUCUUCGGCCUCGUCAGGCUAAGGAAGCUCUCCCUCGCAUCCAACGAGCUCGCCGGCGAGCUGAGCUCACGCCUCGGUGAGCUCACACAUCUUACCUUGUUGGAUUUGUCUGCCAACCGCUUCUUCGGCCCCCUCCCGGAUGUGUUCGGCGACCUCACGUCGCUAGAGCAUUUGGCCAUGCAUUCCAAUGGCUUCUCUGGCUUCUUGCCACCGUCUCUAUCAUCACUAUCUUCUCUCCGUGAGCUCAACCUCCGAAACAACUCCAUCACUACAGGAAAAUUCGGUUUUCCCGUGUGUUAGCCUAUAAGCCGUGCGCUAUUUUUCGGGCACCCGGCUUAUGCACCUCGAAGCCGAGUCUAGGGAACAAAACACCCGGCAAACAGGAAGAACUCGGCUUAUGGUCACCUAUAAGCCGAGUGCUGCAAAAAAACUCUCGGCUUAUACGAAGCACACGGUAUCUACUCGAAAAAGCACCCGGCUUACAGCACACGCUCGGCAAAGACAGAUUGCCACGUGUCCGCAACGGACGUGGCUGACGGCGCCGUCACGGAGCAUCAUGUAAGCCGUGUGUCCGACGCAGGCACUCGGCUAACAGGACAUAUAAGCCGUGUGCCCCAGCAAGCACUCGGCUUACAGGACAUAUAAGCCGUGCGCCCCGCCCAAGCACUCGGCUUACAGGAUAUAUAAGCCGUGAGCCCGAUGAAAGCACUAUGCUUACAUAUUUGCGGAUUUUUUUUCAACCCAUAACAUUUAUGCAAAAUUGAUUUAAGAUGGUUUUCAUUGCAUUUAUAUUUACUACUUAAUUAGUAUUAUUAUUCUUCCCUAGUAGUUUUCAUGGGUCUUAUUUGAAAAACUCUAAAUUUAACGCCACUUUAAUAUUUAUAUGACUUUCGACCCCUAGCGUAACCAUAUUAUGAUGACAUGCAAAAGCAACUACUGAAACUUCACUCUACGCCGAGUGCGUUGCUCUUCAUUUAGAGCCAAUACACGGGCACUCGGUAACGUGAAGUAAGGCAUGGAGCCGAGGUAAUUUUGCCCCCCCCUAGUGGCCGGGCCCGCCCCUCCCUCGUCUGCAAAAGGCCUACGGAUGUCGCAAAGACAUCACAUAGGACUUUACAUGCCGCUUCUGGGCAUGAUUUCAUGUGCCGCCUUGCAGAUCUGCAAUUUCCGGCAUCGAAACUAUAGCAGUGGAAUAAAUGUCUCAAAUAUUCUAGGCGGGUCCGAAAAUUGCGGGGGCCUGACACAUGUCAUUCGAUCGCCUCCUUUGAGAGCACGGUAAGUUUCGAUGCCAAUGGAGAAACAUGGCCCACACUUCCUUCACAAAUCGCACUCGUUCCCUCUCGGUACCUAGAGACUACAGCAGAGACGGUGUAGUUUACGAGCAGUCGGAGGUGAUCCCUACUCGAAACACGCCCAAACUUUUACCACACCCUACAGGGGCCAUGUUAUGACACCGUGCCAGCUCCCGAGGAUUUCCGGCAUCGUACGAGUUUUCGAUGAUUUAAACGGUUGGAUCAGGCAUGGCGACGAGGUAACUCCCCCCCCCCCCGGUGGCUGGGCCAGCCCCUCCCUCGUCUGCAAGAGGCCUAUGCAUGUCGCAAAGACAUCACAUAGGACUUUACAUGCCGCUUCUGGGCAUGAUUUCAUGUGCCACCUUGCAGAUAUGCAAUUUCCGGCCCCGAAACCCUAGUUGUGCAAUAAAUGUCUCAAAUAUUCCAGGCGGGUCCGAAAAAUGCGGGGGCCUGACACGUGUCAUUCGAUGGCCUCCUUUGAUAGCAUGAGAAGUUUCGAGGCCAACAGAGCAACAUGGCCCACACUUCCUUCACAAACCCGACUCGUUCCCUCUCUGUACCCAGAGACUACAUCGGAGAUGGUGUAGUUUACAAGCGGUCGCAGGUGAGCCCUACUCGAAACGCUCCCAAACUUUUACCACACCCUACAGGGGCCAUGUUAUGACACCGUGCCAGCUCUCGAGGAUUUCCGGCAUCAUACGAUUUUCCAAGGAUUUAAACGGUUGGAUGAGGCAUGGCCCCGAGGAAAUUUUGCCCUCCCCGGUGGCUGAGCCUGCCCCUCCCUCGUUUACAAAAGGCCUACGCAUGUUGCAAAGACAUCAUACAGGAGUUUACAUGUUGCUUCUGGGCAUGAUUUCAUGUGCCGCCUUGUAGAUCUGCAAUUUCCGGCGCCGAAACCCUAGCAGUGGAAUAAAUGUCUCAAAUAUUCUAGGCGUGUCCGAAAAAUGCGGGGGCCUGACACAUGUCAUUCGAUCGCCUUCUUUGAGAGAACGAUAAGUUUCGAUGCCAAUGGAGCAACAUGGCCCACAUUUCCUUCACAAAUCAGACUCGUUCCCUCUCGGUACCUAGAGACUACAGCGGAGAUGGUGUAGUUUACGAGCAGUCGGAGGUGAUCCCUACUCGAAACACGCCCAAACUUUUACCACACCCUACAGGGGCCAUGUUAUGACACCGUGCCAGCUCCCGAGGAUUUCCGGCAUCGUACGAGUUUUCGAGGAUUUAAACGGUUCGAUCAGGCAUGGCAACGAGGUAACUUCCCCCCCCCCCCGGUGGCUAGGCCAGCCCCUCCCUCGUCUGCAAGAGGCCUAUGCAUGUCGCAAAGACAUGACAUAGGACUUUACAUGCCGCUUCUGGGCAUGAUUUCAUGUGCCAGCUUGCAGAUCUGCAAUUUCCGGCCCCGAAACCCUAGCUGUGCAAUAAAUGUCUCACAUAUUCCAGGCGGGUACGAAAAAUGCGGGGGCCUAACACGUGUAAUUCGAUGGCCUCCUUUGAUAGCAUGAGAAGUUUCGAGGGCAACAGAGCAACAUGGCCCACACUUCCUUCACAAACCCGACUUGUUCCCUCUCUGUACCCAGAGACUACAUCAGAGAUGGUGUAGUUUACAAGCGGUCGCAGGUGAGCCCUACUCGAAAUGCUCCCGAACUUUUACCACACCCUACAAGGGCCAUGUUAUGACACCGUGCUAGCUCUCGAGGAUUUCCGGCAUCAUACGAUUUUCCAAGGAUUUAAACGGUUGGAUGAGGCAUGGCCCCGAGGUAAUUUUGCCCUCCCCGGUGGCUGAGCCUGCCCCUCCCUCGUCUACAAAAGGCCUACGCAUGUUGCAAAGACAUUACAUAGGAGUUUACAUGUCGCUUCUGGGCAUGAUUUCAUGUGUCGCCUUGUAGAUCUGCAAUUUCCGGCAUCAAAACCCUAGCUGUGCAAUAAAUGUCUCAAAUAUUCCAGGCGGGUCCGAAAAAUGUGGGGGCCUGACACGUGUCAUUCGAUGGCCUCCUUUGAUAGCACGAGAAGUUUCGAGGCAAACUGAGUAACCGGGCCCGCACUUCCUUCACAAACCCGACUCGUUCCCUCUCGGUACUCAGAGACUACAUCGGAGAUGUUAUAGUUUACAAGCAGCCGCAGGUGAGGCCUGCUCCAAACACGCCCAAUCUUUUACCAGAAUAUUGGCACGAUAUUUUAAAGAAUGAAAAUAAUGAAAUAAGGGGAGACGGUAUCAUUUAUGAGAACAAUUAAAUAAAAAUACAAUAAAAAGUAUUAUAAAAAUAAAAAUAUAAUGAAAAUAAAAAAAUAACAAUACAAUAAAAAUAUCAAAAUAAAAAUAUAAUAAGUAUCAUAAAGAUACAAUAAAAUAAAAACACAUAAAUUAUUAAAAGUAAAACUAAUAAACUUUUUUUAUUAAAAUAAUUUUUUUUAUAAACCGUGUAUUUUUCUUUGACACUAGGUUUAUCGUGCUGCACCAGGCUUAUAGUGAGCGCGGGACUUGGCCAAAAUAGACGCGCGCAUAGCUUAUUUUGGCCCAAUUAUCGNNNNNNNNNNNNNNNNNNNNNNNNNNNNNNNNNNNNNNNNNNNNNNNNNNNNNNNNNNNNNNNNNNNNNNNNNNNNNNNNNNNNNNNNNNNNNNNNNNNNNNNNNNNNNNNNNNNNNNNNNNNNNNNNNNNNNNNNNNNNNNNNNNNNNNNNNNNNNNNNNNNNNNNNNNNNNNNNNNNNNNNNNNNNNNNNNNNNNNNNNNNNNNNNNNNNNNNNNNNNNNNNNNNNNNNNNNNNNNNNNNNNNNNNNNNNNNNNNNNNNNNNNNNNNNNNNNNNNNNNNNNNNNNNNNNNNNNNNNNNNNNNNNNNNNNNNNNNNNNNNNNNNNNNNNNNNNNNNNNNNNNNNNNNNNNNNNNNNNNNNNNNNNNNNNNNNNNNNNNNNNNNNNNNNNNNNNNNNNNNNNNNNNNNNNNNNNNNNNNNNNNNNNNNNNNNNNNNNNNNNGCACUCCCUCCGCCGACGCACAGGUCUCUCUCUCUCUCUCUCUCUCUCUCUCUCUCUCUCUCUGUCUCUCUCUGACAGGUCUUGGUUCACCGCUGCUCUGUUGGCUGCUCCAGGUCCGGCUGACAGGUCCGGCUGCUCCUCAUCUCCGCCUCGCCAGCCGGCAGCGCAGCGCAGCGCAGCCCCCGCCGCCUCCUCCCCCACUCUCCCGUCAGCAUGGUCCACGGCUCCUGGAUCUAAAGCAGCCGCACCGUGCUGCCGCGGUGCACAGCAGCAGGUUCCCAAGACAACCCUCGCCGUCCCUCUGACUGUCUCUCUCUCUCUAUGACUGAACCCAACACAACCCUCAUUCGCAGGUCGCAGCUAGCUAGGCAUCAGCGGCACCGGUCACCGGCGGCAGCGUACAUCACCGGCUGCAGCGUACAUCACCGCGCGCGGCAACGGACGCAGUACGCACUCAUCCCCUUUUUUUAACUUCUCAAUUUCAUACAGUCUUGCAGGUCAGGAUGUCAAUGGACAGCUCGCUGGGCAUUGUGGGACUUGCCCGCUCUGACCACCACUUAUGUGGGAUUAUGUCAUAGUCCAGUUAACUUUUUUGUGGCGUAUGUAGUGUCCACAUAGUACCACGUAUUCACAGAGCAAACUGACACGAAUAUACUACUUACAAUAUAGUGCCAUUAGUGCGGGCCUAAUUAGUAACACCUCCGAUUAUUCGGUACAGAGCAAACAUAGUACAGGAAAUUGGCAACUCUAAAUCUCUAGAUUCAACAUUUAUCUACAACUUAGAUUAUCAAAGCUGAACCCAAUGGACAUGAUUAUGGCUAUCAAGAUGUAAUGGAGAGUGACCAAUCUGCAUCAAUGAGGUGUUUGAAGUCUGAACCUUUCAUCUACCUAGAAGGGAAUGGCAUGCAAUGAGGUGUCCGAAGUCUGAACCUUGCUCCAUAUCAUUUAGUUCUCAAGUUACUGCAACCCGAAUUUGCAUCAGUCCUCACCGUCUACUACUCCGACGACGUACGACAUCCACCGGUCCCAUCUUCCAAGUCCCAUAGGCUGCAUCGCAGCAGAGGGGGAGAGGCAUAUGAGCGCUAGAGGAGCAGAGCAGAGGUACCGUGAAGUCGUUGCCGAAGGCCUCAUCUGAAUCAGCUCCGGCGGCGACGACGUCGGCUUUGACGUCAGGCGCAACUGGGACGGCAGAUCUGGUCUCACCGGCUUUUCUGGGCUGUCCAUUUGUGCCAUUUAUUUUUGCUGGACGUCCACCAACUCCAUUUGAUCUUUUUUUGCUGGGUGGCACAUGUGGGACUAGUGGGACCCAACGCCACUUACAUCCUGACUUGCAAGAAUGCCAGUAGUCGCGGCUGUUCUUCUCUUAGUUUUAUAAUGCUGCAUAAUACACAAGUUUUAACACAUCUAUCAACUAAGCCAAGUUUUAACCUUUGAGAGAAACUAUCAAAGGACCAUUGGGAUUUCAGGAUAAGAAAUGAGCAAGUAGCCUUGUACAAACGAAAAACGAGUUCCAACACCACUUCUAAAUUUGAUUCGUGUUGCUGCAGCCACUCAACCCAAAGACCAAUCCACAAGGGAAAGCUUUUUUUGCAGCUAGCUAGGCCUUUAAUUUGUGGCUACCAGCAACCAAGAUUUAUCUAUCACAUCACAUUUGAUUCAUUGGUUCCUGCCUGGAUAUGUAAGAUUCUUGGAGCAGUAUAGAACUAAAGGGAUGCACAAAUGGGCAACCUUCAAAGCCUGUACAGAAGUUCAAUGACAUGAAUAUUUCCUCUAUGCAUGAUUUUAUAAUUUUCUAUAUGCGUUUGAGAUUAGGCUUUUGUAUUUUCUUUUGAGAAAAAAGGGAAAAGCUAAGUAGCUAAUAAACGGUAUAUUAGAAAGGAGUGGCCAGAGCACAUAUUUGUUAUUGUUAUGGAAAUACAAGUAUUGCCACUGUAAAUACAAAAGGAGUGGGCAGAGCACCUAUUCUGCAUGUGAAUUAUGUUUAGUCCCAGUUUGCAAGUUUUGCAUGUGGAUUAUGUUUGAUCCCAAUUUUCACUUUAUUGCAGGACAUGCAUUAGUUUGACGUCGAGACCGUUGUCGCGGAGCUUCUUGCUGGACGGAAGACCGGCACCGAACAUGCUUCGAGGGUAAGAAUCAUUCGCCUCGUAGGAUUUAUGGAUAUUAUUGCUUCUAUUGCAGAAUAGGGAGAGAGGUGAGGGCCAAGAGAAGCUCAAUACCUUCACGGGAUUAUGUCUCUCCCGCAAGUCAAAAGAAACCGGAAGGGGGGUGGGUCAACCCAGGCGCUGGCUUGAGGAUUGAUGCAUACAGUGGGAAGUUCAAGGAGCACAACGGGCCUGACUCUAAUCCGGCCUCACAGGACAUUGACACUACAAUUUCCCUCCAGUCGGGAGAUGGCAAGAAGGGUGGUCGGUUAUAUGUUGGCGACGGUGCCAUCCGUAAGAAGGACAUCCCAAAACUCUCUCACGUCCGUGCUACCACGUCGAGCUCAGGUCCUGCUAUAGAGCAUCGCCCACAGCCUGGGCUGCACAUGCUCCAUCAACUCGAGGUAUCUUUUGCUUCAUCGACCUUCCUUGUGAUUUCUUCUUUGUAUUGCAACGAUGGUGAACUUGUUGUGAUGGCAUAUUGUAGGCCAAUGCCAGGCUUCGAGAGGAGGAAGCCAUGAAAAUGCAGCAGGCCCUAUUUCAACAGCAAGAAUUCAUGGUUAAACAACAGGCAAUCCUGCAGGAGACAUUUGCUCAACUCAGAAAUAAUAUGCAGGGUUCCACUUUGCCCGUUCUUCCUCCUCUUCCGACUCUUCCUAAUUUCAACUUUGUAAGUCUCUGAACUUUUCAGUCAUGCAUCUUACCUUCAUGCUUGAAGAUCAUGAAUCUUACCAUCUCAUCCUCUUGUGCUUCAAGUUUUCUCAGUCGGGACAAGGCUCCAAUAACUGUGUGGUAGGUGGAUCUUCACCUGGACAAGCAAGUCCAGUGACACCCACUACGGUUCAUGUUGCUUCGACCUCCCCGCAACACUGAUCACUUGAGGUAGUCUUCCAUGUUUGUCCAUUGUUGAUGCUUGCGUCUUCUCGUUGCUUGUGCUUCUCAACUUAAAACUUGUGCAUUGUUGAUGGUAGAGUCCACAAAUGUCGAUGCUUAUAUUGUACAUACUUCCUAGCUUCUAUUUGAGCCUCAUAUGUUGAUGCUUGUUAACUCUUUUUCCUUAUCCAUCUUUUCAACUUAUGUUUAGAAACUCAUGCGUGUGAUAAUGGACUUAUAGGUUUGCAUUGUGGGCGUUGACGGUGGGCAUAUAUGCUGCGGUGGAGCUCAUUGGUUCAUGCUUGGUGUGAACUUGGAACUCAUGAUCCUUUAAUUUGUGAACCUCUCGUUGCAUAUGUAUGUAUGUUGUUGUGAACCUUCGUUGGAUAUGUAUGCACUGUGUGGACCUGAAACUUACGGUCCUUUCGUUUGUGAUCUUUUGUUGCAUACGUAUGCAUAUGUGGACUCUGCACUCAUGUACGGCUGGAUAUAUGUAUUACUUGAUAUAUGCUUGUUGGUCAUGGUCAUGUACUGCUGGAUACAUAUAUUUGUUGGAUAUAUGUGCUGCUGGAUAGAUGUAUUACUGUAUAUAUGUUGUUGCUGCUCCCUGAAGUGAUAUAUGUGCUGCUGGAUAGAUGUACUAGUGUAUAUAUGUUGUUGCUGCUCCCUGAAGCACCUGUAUAUAUGUUAUAUGGCCUAUAAGCCGUGUAGCCAGCACCUGGCACCCGGCUUAUAAGCCAUAUGGCUGCGGCCAACACAUAAGCCGUGUAUCCCAACACCUGGCACCCGGUUUAUAGACCAUCUGGACACAUGAGCAGGCUAUAUAAACCGUGUACCUCAGUUAACCGGCGCCCGGCUUAUAUAUGUAUAUAAAAACUGUGUUGUUGUCUGCGGAACUCGGCUUAUAUAGUAACCGUGCGGUUUGCGGUUGCACCCGGCUUAUAUAUAAACCGUGUGUUCGUGGUCGCACCCGGCUUAUAUAUAAACCGUGCGUCCGCGGUUGCACCCGCCUUAUAUAUAAACCGUACGUACUGAGGUGCACUCGGUUUAUGUUUAAACCGUGCCCUGACGACGGUACUCGACUUAUAUAGACGGUGACACGUGGCCGUUAACAUCAGGCUACCGUUAUGUUACUUUAUUAAACCGAGAGCCCUGUGAAAAUACUCGGUUUAUACAUAAGCCGGGCUUUUUCGGUCCGGCUCUCGGCUUAUAUGGUAUAAGCCGAUUGACUGUAAACCGAGUGCUAUAAGCCGGGAGUUUUACUCGGCUUAUAUAUAAACCGAGUUUAAAUCGAUAUAAGCCAAGUGUAUUAGGUACACGGCUUAUAAGUUUUUCCCUGUAGUGCAUGUCCGGUCCGAUUGCUCGUGUUAGCUUCUCCGACAUGCCACUUCUUGCUUCCCUUGACUUUUCCACAAACUCCCUGACUGGGUGGCUCCCGACUAGCCUCGCCGGCUGUGGUGAGCUCAAGUCGCUCAACCUUGCCAACAAUAUAUUGGUCGGCACCAUCCCGUCGUGGAUUGGUGAGUUUGACAACCUUUGGUACUUGAAUCUCUCAAAUAAUUCAUUUGUUGGCGAGGUACCCAAGAGUUUGUUACGGCUCACUGGCCUCGCCGCCACGGGUCGUUCAUUGGGUAUGGUUUUCACUAACAUGCCCUCUUUCGUAAAUUACGAAAGAAGAGCACUCGAUGAACAACCAAAUACCAUAACUGGGACCAACAACACAGUGAGAUCUGGGCGCAACAACACCAUGUCUGAAAACGACAACAUUGUCAUGUCCGGAGACAGCAACACUGUGUCCGGGAGCUUCAACACCCUUGUAUGUGGGGACAACAAUGUUCUAACUGGUGAUCACCAUGUCGUAUCUAGGAGCAACCAUAUUGUAACUAACAGCUACAAUAAAGUAUCUGGGUGCACCAAUAAUGUAUCCGGCAGCCACCAUACCGUAUCCGGUAGCAACAAUGCCGUAUCUGGGAGCAACAAUACGGUAUCUGGGAGCAAUCAUGUCGUAUCCGGGAGCAACAAAAUCGUAACUGACGAUUAAUGAUCUGUCAGUGGAUUGAUUCCAUCCUCGAGAACGAGAUCCCGGAGCACAUCAGAGACUCGUGAGAAGAAGUUCUUCACCCAGAACCGAAAACCUAGGUACAUGGACCCCCAUAUCUUGUUCCAAGCUGGGAGGGCACCAUAAAGACCUUUUGUAUCUUUUACUGUUUUUAGCAUAUUUAAAUUUCCGCAACUAUAUACAUCCGUAUAUAGUCCAUGCGGAAAUUUCUAAAAGGGCUUAUAUUUAGAAACGGAGGAAGUUGUAUGUAUUUCCGUGCUUGCAAUAUUAGUGUUAACUUCCAGCCUACAAUGAGAAUUAUAUCAAAUGAUGCACUCGUCGUUUUUUGAUGAAUGUCUUUGUUACAGCUUCUGGUUAUUGUUAUUAGAUGUGUGACUCCUGUUGAAUGAUCCCUUACUUGAUAGUUUCGAAUUGGCCGCUAUUCAACACCAUUAGUGCUAAUUGUCAACAACAGCUUAUUCUUUGCCGAUAGAUACAAAUUGUGAGGUGGGGAAGUGGGUACAGACCGAAGUUGGGUAGGAAGCUGUUGUUGCUAGGUUACGACGAGGCUGUGGCAGUGCAUUGUUCAUAUACAGAUGGGUUGGACGUUAGCAUGUACCCACUUGCAUGAGCUGCACUUGACCUGACUUGGACAGGUUUUGGGAGAGAUGGAUUGCAGCACCCGAGCUCCACUGCUCUCUAUAUUUAAACAUUUUAAAAUUUGUAUUUUUGAAAUUUCAAAAAAAAUGUGAAUUUUUCGCAGGGAUACAUAUACACAUUCCGAAUACAGAAAAAAAAAUUCAGCUUCCGAAUACAAUUUUUUUGCAGGGAUACAUAUACACAUUCCGAAUACAAAUUUUUCGCAAGUUCCUGUAGAAAUCUCGUUUUGUUUUGGGCUACAGAAAAAGAUAAUUUCUGACACUAUAUAGGAGAAAAGGUGUGCCAUUUUCUGUCAGAAAUUUAUCUUUUUUGUAUUUCCCAAAAUAAAAAGUAUUUCUUUUUCAGCUUUUUACCAGGCCUUAGGAAUGUGUGUAUCUAUUCACGUAUUUGAUAUAAGAUUCUUUAAGCAACGAAACUGUGUUUUUCAAAAAUUUCAAAUACCAGGAGCCCUGGAGCCCGGUAGUUGCAGGCACUUUUUGAGGCUUGGGAAGGUCUCUCUCUGUCUCUCUCUCUCUCACACGCACGCACGCACGCGCACGCACGCGCACACGCGCACACGCGCACACAUGUAGUCAUAGGUGUGGCGAUGCAUGGCUUUGACUGGCUGCAGUGAAUUGUUGGUUUUGUUUUGUCCUUUUUCUUCUUCCUCCUCCUUAUUUUCAUCCUCUUGUUCCACGUACAUGCAUGCUCCUCCUCCUCGUGCAUUAUCUCUUUGUCUGUGACAUGCAUCCAUGUAUGGAUUUUUUUUCUCCUACGGUAAAAUUUCUCCCAUGAGGGCAAUUCUCGUUGUUUUUAUUCCUUUCCUUCACUUGCAUGAGCCCCCUGCCGGAUAUACAUCAAUACAUGCAUGCAGCACUUGCAUUAGCAGCCCUACGCGUUUGAGACGUGCUCUGUAAGAAAGUAAGCUGUUUUUGGGCUAGCUACAGUCAUUUCACGCUGUUUUUGUCGGUAAGUAAUUUUCCAGCUUGAAAAAGGUAUUUGGUCUGAAAAACCUGGAAACUUGCAUGAAAUAAAAAUACAAACUUGCAUCGAAAACUACAGAUUGUACAAAAAUAGGCUGGAAUCAUCGUAAUAGUUGGAGUUGCAAGAACUCAUCUACAAUACGAAACUAUCAAUCAACCAUGCAUACAAAAAGCGCAGAUGGUUUUUUUUACCUUUGUUGAUAUUUCAUCGAACACCUAGUGUGCGAGGAGGAGAAAUCCGUCCGGCGAGCCAUCAGUGGCUUGCGGCUGUCGGGAGGGGGUGGACAACGGCUACUGGAAGUGCUCCCUCGACAUGCAUACGGCGGUUAUGCAUCCGGAACUCGGAGACGUAGCCGUUGUCGCCUAAAUUAAAUGCCGCCGACUCUCUGCUCGGCCGUGGCGGUGGGGCGACCGCUGUGGAGCUCCGGCGGCCGCUAGGCCAUAAUGUAGGGGCACAACUGACUGGCCAUGGCGACUACAAUGGUGAAUCGAUGUGGCGGCCACGACGCGGGCGCAGGCCAAAUCGGGGCGGGCGGAGGAGCUCCGUUGUGCAAGGCGAUCAGCGGUGCGUCUUUCUUUUGGCUUAUUUGUGCUGCGGCCAAGCGAGCUCGAUGUAUCGGGUAUUUGCUUUAUAAUAUAAAGUAGGGGACCCUUUAUCGUAUAAGCAGUGCGUCUGAUGUGCGGAGCAUGCGAAGCCACGAGACUCAGCGUACAUAUGUACGCUGUGACACCAAAAUGCAAUAACAAAUGAUACAAAGCCUCAUUAUUAACUGCAUAUUUUCUAAUCAUUCUAAUCUUCAAGCGCAUUGCAUCCAUCUUGAUCUUGUGAUCAUCGACGACAUCAGCAACAAACAACUCCAGUUUCAUCUUCUCUUCUUCAAUUCUUUUCAAUUUUUUUUCAAAUACUCAUUUUCUUUUUCAACUAAAUUUAACUUCUCAACAAGAGGGUCGGUUGCAAUUUCCGCUUCACAUACCUCCUAAAUAAAAAUAUCUAUGUCAACUUGAUGGGAAGAAUUGUCAUAAACAUGAAAUGCAACAAAUAGUUAUCAAAGAGAAUAUACCACAUCCAAAUCAUAAACCGGACAAGGGCUGACGGAUAUCAAAUCCAUGCCACUAUGUAUAAUAAACAAAGUACGUGUAAGAAAAUUAUACAAGUAACUAUCUAAAUCUCAUAGACAUGAUUUUUUUUAUAAAAAGGAUAAGAAUAAGAGGCUCACCAAGGUGGUGAUGACGACAGGACGGUACGGGCGAUGGACGGUGGUUAGGACGGGGACGGGAUGGCACUAAGUAAACCACACCUACAUAUGCAAAUUAAGAAGUUAAUUUGAGCUCAAAUUGCAUAUAAAUCAAAUAAACUACCACAUAUAAUUACUCCCAAACUAAAACCCAAAAAUCACUAUACUUAUAGAGCAUUGCAAGAGCUAAUCUAGAAAUGAGAGAUGAAAGAACAAAGUUGCUGACGGUGUCCUGGACUAGGGGUACUCAUCACAUCGUCUCGCGACCAGGUGGAUCUGGCCGAGGACCCCUGUUGGGGAUAUGAUUACUGAGUUAAACCGCCCAGGAAGGGGCCGGAUUAACUCACAAGGAGUCCUGUGCAAGAGCCCAUGAAGAUGAAGGCUAUGGCGCUUUAACCAUGAAGACAUAGAGGCCCAGAGCCCGAUGGCGGAUUAGGGCCCAUAAUGGUAAACCGCCAUAGAUGUGUAACUUGUGUUGUAAGUCAGGGAAAGGAGAAACCGAGUCGGACACUUGUAUGAGCCGAACUCGGGAUCUUGUAAACCGGCCGGGCGUCAACCUGUGUAUAUAAAGGGACGACCCGGCGGCGGUUCAGGGACAAGAAACAACAACUCGAAAGCCAGACAUAUCGUGUUUGCCCCCUGGUAAUCGAGACCACAUCAAAAACACCCCAACUGGAUCGUAGGCUUUUACCUUCACCGCAAGGGGCCGAACCAGGACAAACUCCCUGUGUCCUUUGUCCGGUUUAACCCUUCUAAGCUAACCCGUUGCGAUGGCUCCACGACUAAGUCCUUUCACUAGGACAUCUGACGUGAUAAUUCCACGACAGUUAGCGCCCACCGUGGGGCGAUCGCACGAUGGUUUCAAGUUCUUAGAGGGCAAGUUCGAAGGGCUCAAGGGAUACGCAGUGGUCCGGAUGACUAAGAGUCGUCGCGGCAAGCUCUACAUCAAUGACACAAGCUGGGGCCCCGACGCCGGCUCAGUCGAGUACGGAUACCGGGUCCCCUUCGGAGGAAUUCACGUCUUCAUCGGCAAGAUCGGCGAACCGGGCCCUGAGUCGGACAUCUGCACCGACCACGUCGAGAUGGCUCAGCGUGCGAGCCCUACCCGGGGUCAGCCCGCCAUGAAGCAUGCGUUCGUAGGAUGUAUCCAUAGGAUCGAAUCUGAACCGGUGUCCGAUGGUGAGACGGCCGUUUACUCCGAUGGUGAGUCAUCUACCGGUGAGACUGAGUCUUUGUAUCAAGUUCAGGAUGGCCUGUUUGGGGGGUAUUCCGAUGGCAGCAAUAUUCCGGACCCCUUUGAACCGCCAAACCGGGUUGCAAUCUUCAUGGCUGGCACGCAACUCGUCCGACAAUCUUCAACAGCAGCGGCGAUAAUCUCCGGAUCAACAGCUGGGGCAGGUGGCCCUGGGCGCCCGUCGGUUCAAGUCUUGUCUGGAUUAUUGGACGCUUUGGCAACAUUAUUGACUGCUGAAGUUAGUACGGAAAAUCGGGAGGAGCAUAAUACGGAAGUCAGAAAGUUGCGAGAGCAGAUAGCUCAGGCUAAUUAAGGAGGACAUGGCUGCUGAGGAGACCAGGAUGGUCGAGGAACGAAUCGCUUUAAAUGCUAAGGCACAGCGAGUUCAUGCAGAGGCUUACCGGCUUAUGUUGCAUCAGAACGCUUCAAACGAAGUGAUGAUGAGAAGGCACCAAUCUCGUCUGCCGUCGGUUUACGAAGGAAGAAAUCUUUUUAACACGCCAGGAGUGGGCACUAGCAACCCGCCCGUGGUGAACCCGAUUGAAGCACCAAGUACAGGAGCGCUAGAUCAGCUGGGCAUGAUGGGUCCGCCUCAGCAGAAUCAUGAUCCUCCGCAAUACGCACCAGCUCCACCGGGUCAUUUUGCCACCCCUUUGGACAACAUGAUUGCUGCAGCGUCAAGAUUGGCUGCUAUUCCAAUGGAAGGUGACUCCCUGAUACGUCUCCAACGUAUCUAUAAUUUUUGAUUGUUCCAUGCUAUAAUAUUACCUGUUUUGGAAGCUUAUGGGCUUUAUUCUACAUAUUUAUAUCAUUUUUGGGACUAACCUACUAACCGGAGGCCCAGCCGAUAUUGUUGUUUUUUUUGCCUAUUUCAGUAUUUUGAAGAAAAGAAAUAUCAAACGGAGUCCAAACGAAAUGAAACCUUCGGGAGUGUUAUUUUUGGAACAAAUCAGAUCCGGAGAGACUGGAGUGCAAGUCAAGAAAGCUCCGAGGGCCCCACGAGAUAGGAGGGCGCGACCCCCUAUAGGGCGUGCCACCUGUCUCGUGGGCCCCUCGGGCGUCCACUGAUGUACUUCUUCCUCCUAUAUAUACCUACGGACCCCGAAAACAUCCAGGGGCACCACGAAACACAAUUUCCACCACCGUAACCUUCUGUAUCCGCGAGAUCCCAUCUUGGAGCCUUCGCCGGCACUCUGCCGGAGGGGGAAUCAACAACGAAGGGCCUCUACACCAACAUCCUUGCCCCUCCUAGGAGUUGUGAGUAGUUUCCAUAGACCUACGGGUCCAUAGUUAUUAGCUAGAUGGCUUCUUCUCUCUUUUUGGAUCUCAAUACAAUGUUCUCCCCCUCUCUUGUGAAGAUCUAUUCGAUGUAAUCUCUUUUUGCGGUGUGUUUGUCAAGAUCCGAUGAAUUGUGAGUUUAUGAUCAGAUUCAUCUAUGGUUAUUAACUGAAUCUUCUCUGAAUUCUUUUAUGUAUGAUUGAGUUAUCUUUGUAAAUCUCCUCGAAUUAUCGGUUUGGUUUGGCCUACUAGAUUGAUCUUUCUUGCCAUGGGAGAAGUGCUUAGUUUUGGGUUCAAUCUUGCGGUGUUCUUACCCAGUGAUAGAAAGGGUUGCAAGACACGUAUUGUAUUGUUGCCAUCGAGGAUAACAAGAUGGGGUUUAUAUCAUAUUGCAUGAGUUUAUCCCUCUACAUCAUAUCAUCUUGCUUAAUGCGUUACUCCGUUCUUAUGAACUUAAUACUCUAGAUGCAUGCUGGAUAGCGGUCGAUGUGUGGAGUAAUAGUAGUAGAUGCAGGCAGGAGUCGAUCUACUUGUUUUGGAUGUGAUGCCUAUAUACAUGAUCAUGCCUAGAUAACGUCAUAAUUAUUCGCUUUUCUAUCAAUUGUUUGACAGUAAUUUGUUCACCCACCGUAAUACUUAUGCUCUCGAGAUAAGCCUCUAGUGAAACCUAUGGCCCCCGGGUCUAUCUCUUAUCAUAUUUGCUUUCAAUCUACUUUAAUUUUGCAUCUUUACUUUCUUGCAUUUAUAUUACAAAAUACCAAAAAUAUAUUUAUCUUAUCAUACUAUCUUUAUUAGAUCUCACUUCCGCAAGUGGCCGUGAAGGGAUUGACAACCCCUUUAUUGCGUUGGUUGCGAGUUCUCAGUUUGUUUGUGUAGGUGCGUGGGACUUUUGAGGAGCCUCCUACUGGAUUGAUACCUUGGUUCAUAAAACUGAGGGAAAUACUUACGCUACACUUGCUGCAUCACCCUCUCCUCUUCGGGGAAAACUAACGCUAGCUCAAGACGUAGCAAGAAGGAUUUCUGGCGCCGUUGCCGGGGAGGUCUUCGCUCAAGUCAAGACAUACCAAGUACCCAUCACAAACUCAUCUCCCUCGCAUUUACAUUAUUUGCCAUUUGCCUCUCGUUUUCCUCUCCCCCCACUUCACCCUUGCCGUUUUAUUCUCCCUCUCUUUCCCAAUCUCCUCCUCUCUUUUCCGUUUGCCGUUUUCUAUUUGCUUGUGUGUUGGAUUACUUGUUGCCAUGGCACAAGAUAAUACCAAGUUGUGUGAUUACUCGAAUACCAAUAAUAAUUAUUUCCUUAAUACUCCGAUUGCUCCUCUUAAUGAUGUUGAGUCUUGUGAAAUCAAUACUGCCUUGCUGAAUCUUGUUAUGAAAGAUCAAUUCGCCGGCCUUCCUAGUGAAGAUGCCGCUACUCAUCUAAAUAAUUUUAUUGAUUUGUGUGAUAUGCAAAAGAAGAAAGAUACGGAUAAAAAUAUUGUCAAAUUGAAGUUAUUUCUGUUUUCACUUAGAGAUCGUGCUAAAGUUUGGUUUUCGUCUUUGCCUAAAAAUAGUAUUGAUUCUUGGAACAAGUGCAAAGAUGCUUUUAUCUCUAAGUAUUUUCCUCCCACUAAGAUCAUCACUCUUAGGAAUGAUAUUAUGAAUUUUAAACAACUUGAUCAUGAGCAUGUUGCCCAAUUUUGGGAAAGAAUGAAAUUGAUGCUUCGCAAUUGCCCUACUCAUGAUUUGAAUUUAUGGAUGAUCAUACAAAAUUUUUAUGCCGGUUUGAACUUUGCUUCUAGAAAUCUCUUAGAUUCGGCCGCGGGGGGCAUGUUUAUGGAAAUUACGUUAGGAGAUGCUACAAAAUUGCUUGACAAUAUUAUGGCUAAUUAUUCUCAAUGGACACCGAAAGAUCUUCUAGUAAAAAAGUGCAUACUAUAGAAGAAAUCAAUGUUUUGAGUGGAAAGAUGGAUGAACUUAUGAAGAUGUUUGCUACUAAAAAUACUCCUCUUGAUCCCAAUGAUAUGCCUUUGUCUUCUUUGAUUGAGAAUAAUAAUGAAUCUAUGGAUGUGAAUUUUGUUGGUAGGAAUAAUUUUGGAAACAAUGCUUAUAGAGGAAAUUUUAAUGCUAGACCGUUCCCUAGUAAUACCUCUAAUAAUUAUGGAAAUUCCUACAAUAAUUCUUAUGGUAAUUUUAAUAAGAUGUCCUCUGAUUUUGAUAAUAGUGUGAAAGAAUUUAUGAUUUCUCAAAAGAAUUUUAAUGCUUUGCUUGAAGAAAAAUUGCUCAAAGUUGAUUUGGCUAGGAACGUUGAUAGACUUUCGCUUGAUGUUAAUUCUCUUAAACUUCGAUCUUCUUCUCCUAAGCAUGAUAUCAAUGAGUCUCUCAAAGUAAUGAGAAUUUCCAUUGACGAGUGCAAGGAAAGAACCGCUAGAUUGCGUGCUAAGAAAGAAAGCUUUAUAAAAGCAUGUUCUUCUAGUCUAGAUGAAAAUAAUGAUGAGGAUCUUAAAGUUAUUGAUGCGUCUCCUAUCAUAUCUGUGAUUAUGGGACUGAUGAUGAAUCAACUUUGCCUAGAAGGCGUCCCAAAAAUUCGGAGUCUUUAGAUCUUAAUUCUAAAUUUGGUAAAAGAGAGAUUGGAGAAUCCUCAACUUCUAAUAAUGUUGAACCUACUAUCUUGGAUUUCAAGGAAUUUGAUUAUGAUAAUUGCUCUUUAAAAGGUUGUAUUUCCUUGUUGCAAUCCGUUGUUAAUUCUCCUCAUGCUUAUAGUCAAAACAAAGCUUUUACCAAACAUAUUGUUGAUGCCUUGAUGCAAUCUUAUGAUGAAAAACAUAAUUUGGAAGUUUCUAUACCUAAAAACCUUAAUGAUGAGUGGGAACCUACUAUAAAGAUUAGAAUUAAAGAUUUUGAGUGUUUUGCUUUGUGUGAUUUGAGUGCUAGUGUUUCCACAAUUCCGAAAACUUUAUGUGAUAUUCUAGAUUUCCAUGAUCUUGAUGAUUGCUCGUUAAAUUUGCAUCUUGCGGAUUCCACCAUUAAAAAACCUAUGGGAAGGAUCAAUGAUGUUCUUAUUGUUGCAAAUAGAAAUUUGGUGCCCGUAGAUUUUAUCGUUCUUGAUAUAGAUUGCAAUCUUUCUUGCCCUAUUAUUCUUGGUAGACCUUUCCUUAGAACGAUUGGUGCGAUUAUUGGUAUGAAGGAAGGGAACAUUAGAUUCCAAUUUCCCUUAAAGAAAGGCAUGGAGCACUUUCCAAGAAAGAAAGUCAAAUUACCUUAUGAAUCUAUCAUGCGCGCUACUUAUGAAUCAAGUGCCAAAGAUGGCACUCGUUAGAUCUAUCCUUGCUUUUAUGCCUAGCUAGGGGCGUUAAACCAUAGCGCUAGUUGGGAGGCAACCCAAUUUUCUUUAUGUUCUUUGUUUUUGUUCCUGUUUAGUGUUAAAUUCUGUUUCUACUUUCUGUUUAGAUGUGUUUGUAUCUUUUGUUUAGUGUUUGUGCCAAGUAGAACCUAUAGGAUAAACUAUGAUGAUGGUUGAUUUGAUUCUGCCGAAAAAGAGAAACUUUGCGCUCACGAGAAAAAAUUCAAUAAAUCACAGAAAAGUGCUUUUGCAUUGAUUCUUUUUGCUGAUGAUCAAUAAACAAAUUGUACAGUAUGUCCUAUUUUGGUACGAUUUUUAGAUUUCUGAAGCAUUAGUUACAGAUUGCUACAGAUUGUUCUGUUUUUGACAGAUUCUGCUUUUCAUGUGUUGUUUGCUUAUUUCAAUGCAUCUAUGGCUAAUAAAUUAGUUUAUAAGCCAUAAGGAAGUUGGAGUACAGUAGGUUUAACAUCAAAAUAAAUAAAGAAUGAGUUCAUUACAGUACCUUAUGUGGUGGUUUUGUUUUCUUUUACUAACGGAGCUUAUAAGAUUUCCUGUGGUGUUUUGUGUUGUGAAGUUUUGAAGUUUUGGGUAAAGCUUUUAUGGACUAUGGAAUAAAGAGUGGAAAGAGCCUAAGCUUGGGGAUACUUAUGGCACCCCAAUAUAUUCAAGAAUAGCCAAAAGCCUAAGCUUGGGAUGCCCCAGGAAGGCAUCCCGUCUUUCGUCUUCGUUCAUUGGUAACUUUACUUGGAGCUAUAGUUUUAUUCGCUACAUGACAUGUGUUUUGCUUGGAGAGUCGUGUAUUAUAUUGGUCCUUGCUUGUUAGUUUACCACAAUCAUACUUGCUGUAACACACCUUUUUGGAUAAGCCUAUUUGUUUAGAACUAGAUGAUGCCCCGUGCGUUGCUGCGGGACAGGUGUAAAUACAUAUUCAUAGAAUUAGAGAUAAAAUAUAAAGAAACAUUUUCUAGGUGCCCCGCGGAUUGCCGCGGGUGCAAAAAGAAUCCCGUACAUAAGUCUCAUAUACAAAGGAAAUAUCACUGAGAAUCCACAUAAACAAAACUUACGAUAUGUGGCUCGGUGUUACAAUUUCUACUGAUCCCUAGCAUCCGUAUGAAAAAUCAGCUUGUCAAUGUGAAAGUUUUCUUUUACCUAUAAAAAAACUUUGGUUACAAACUUUGAAUCAAUACAAUUAACCACAAUAAUUAAUUUUGCCAAGGCAUGAACAGGGUAUAAAUCAAAAUCACACUGUAUAAUCUAGAAUGAUAUAUGUUGCUUUAUGUCCAAGCGAAAGAGAUAUCCACUGCUGAAAAGGCAUAUGAAAUUCAGAGACAUAUAUUAUCAAUCAAGCACUUGUGUGGGACGAAUGGAAAAAAGAAAAUCAAAAUUGCAUUAACAAUCUAAAAUGAUAUCCGAUACCUUAUGUCCAAGUAAAAGAGCAUCUUCACGAAGUCCAUAUGGGAGCACAUGGAGCUUAUAAGCCUAGACCAGAGAGUGUCGGACGUGUGUGGAGUGGAUGAGCAAAUGUUGCAGAUUACAGAGUAGGGACUGGGAAGUGACCGGAAAGGCAAAAUCUGAACGACCUACCACAUAGAGCUGAUGCGCUAGCCCCAACCGUGGAGUACCAUUGGAAGCCAAGUUUGCUGAUUGAGUCGGAUUCCUCGUCACCGACGGCAACCGCAGGGGCAUAGCAAAGACGUUCCGAAGCCUCAGCGGUUGUGCCCUUCUUCGACGAUCCGGGAUUCUGGGUAUCCCGCAACGGAACAACAGUCCAUCUUGUGUUCCCACAAUCAAAGAGACACCGGAGGCGAGGCAGGCGAGGCGAGGAAAACCGGCUGGCGUGCGGCAGGAGAUUUGAAGCAGAGCAAAUGGGGUGCACAACGACAUGUCUUCCAUGACGACGUGGGUGCUCGGCAACGGAAUCGCGUCGCGACCCACUCUCAUAGUGGCAUCAGGACAAAGGAAGAGCAUCAAUGGUGCGAGAAGAUGGUAGUAGAGACAGGUUGAUAGACGCGAAGGCCGUGGCCGUGCCGUUUAAUCUAGCCUCUUCUUUGGGUAACGGAGGGCGAAGUAAUGAGGCGCGAUCAAUGUUUCGGUUUCAUGUGCAUUUGCGCCAGGGAGAGAUUCGGCCACGAGCCCGCGACAACAGAAGAGAUAACGGCGACGAUGAUUCAUAGCGGAGAAGUUUUAUUUUUUGAGCAAAUCAUAGCGGAGAAGAUGACCUAGUGCCGUGGUUGACCCCCAUGGGCUAUACAGCCCACAUGCAUAACAUACUAACAUUGAAUCGGGCCCUGUGUUUUGAUUUUCGGCCGAAAAAAGUGGACUUCGGCCGAAUUUCGGCCAUCUCGGCCUGGGGCGAAAAGUAUAUUAGGCCAAAAUUGCUCAAAUUUGGCAAAUUUUGGUUAAAUUUAAGUCAAAUUGUAGUCAAAAUUUGGUCAAAUUUCAGCCAAAAUUUUAGAAAAUGGCCGAAAUUCGGCCAUCUCGGCCUAGGGCGAAAAAAAGCUCAAACCGAAAAUCAAAACACAGAUCGGGCCCCAUGUGCGCAAACACAACCCACAUGCAGCUCGGGCAACCCACAGUUAGUACGUGGGUUUGUAAAGCCCAAGCGAUGGAAGUCGGGGAAGGCAGCCAGAGUUAGCGCACGACAGCUGAUUGCGUUCAAGCUUGAUCGAAUGGCUAAUAAUAAUUCAGGUGACGUGGCUGCACGAGAAUCCAAGAAAAUCAGGUAGUGGGGUGCUUCUAUUUAGAUAUAGAAGAUUUGCAAGAAUACUCUAUGUGCUUCACUUAUAUCUUUUGAGCUUAAUAGUUUUUGCUCUAGUGCUUCACUUAUAUCUUUUAGAGCAUGGUGGUGGAUUAAUUUUAUAGAAAUUGCUAGUCUCUCAUGCUUCACUUAUAUUAUUUUGAGAGUCUCUUAGAAUAGCAUGAUAUUUUCUAUGGUUUUAAUUUGGUCCUAAAAUGAUGAGCAUCCAAGUUGGGUAUAAUAAAAACUAUCAUAGAAAGUGAAUUGGAUGUUAUGAUCAAUUUGAUGCUUAAUAAUUGUUUUGAGAUAUGGAGGUAGUAAUAUUAAAGUCAUGCUAGUUGGGUGAUUAUGGAUUUAGAGAAUGCUUGUGUUGAAGUUUGUGAUUUCCGUAGCAUGCACGUAUGGUGAACCGCUUUGUGAUGAAGUUGGAGCACAAUUUUAUUGAUUGUCUUCCUUAUGAGUGGCAGUCGGGGAUGAGCGAUGGUCUUUUCCUACCAAUCUAUCCCCCUAGAAGCAUGCAUGUAGUGCUUUGAUGUUUGAUGACUUCUAAAUUUUUACAACAAGUAUAUGAGUUCUUUUGAUUAAUGUUGAGUCCAUGGAUUAUACACACUCACUACUAGGGAAAAGCCUAUACACAGAAUCUUAUCAGAAGCACGCUUUAAAAUAAGGCGCUGCUGCUAAUUAGCAGUAGCAUGCUCAGGAAUAACUCGCUGCUGAAACCAAUAUAGCAGUAGCACGCCCGCUCAAAGACGCGCUACUGCUAUAAUUCCCACGAGGCCGCCACGAGGCUAGUUAUAGCAGCAACGCGUUAUAACGACAGGCGCUACUGCUACGUAGCAUAGUAGCAGCGCAUUUCUGCAAUAAGCACUACUGCUAAAUUUACUACAAAAAUUUAGCCCCGUCUCCUCUAUCCGAUCCACUCACACAGUCACACACUAGCUCACUGGAUCCCCUCUCAAUCCCCCGCGCCGGUCCACCCCCGUCGCCCCUUCUCCGUCUGCGCCGCCGUCACCUCCUCCUCCUUGCUGGACUCGGUACCGGCCUCCUCCUCCGUCCUCCCUCUCCACUCGCCGCUGGCCGGCCCCUCCUCGCUCCGCCUUCCUCCUUCGUCCUCCCUCCACUGGCCGCGCCGGCCGGCCCCUCCUCGCUCCGCCUUCCUCCUCCAUCCUACUCUCUUCUCCCUCUUCGAGUCGCCCCUCCUUCUCCCUCCUGCCUGCUACAUUUUGAUUUAGUAGCUAGGCUAGUUCAUAUGCAACAUUUUGAUUUAGUUGAUAUGAUUUAGUUGAUUUAGUAGGCUAGUUGAUUUAGUUGACUUAGAACAUUUUGAUUUAGUUGAUUUAAUAGGCUAGUUCAUUUAGUUGAUUUGGUUGACUUAGAACAUUUUGAUUUAGUUGAUUUAGUAGGCUAGUUCAUUUAAUUAGUUGAUUUAGAACAUUUUGAUUUAGUUGAUUUAGUAGGCUAGUUGAUUUAGUUGAUUUAGAACAUUUUGAUUUAGUUGAUUUAGUAGGCUAGUUGAUUUAGUUGACUUAGAACAUUUUGAUUUAGUUGAUCGUUAAUCCUUUGCUCAUAUUGCUUUAGGAAAAAUGGCGCCACCACCACCACCACUAUGUCGACUGUGCAAGUCAAGAUGCGCCAACAGCCUUGCAACUGAUCAACGUCUCCUUCCGAGCAGAAAGACCCAAGCUAGCUGUCAUUUAUCUCAACCUGGUGGAAGAUGAUGAAGAUGGCGGAGAUGAUGAAGAUGAUGAAGAUAAUGAGGACCCACUCGAUGAAGAUGAUGAGGACCCACUUCAUGAAGCCAUCAUAGCUCAAAGAACAAGGCUGAGUGAGGAGGAGGUGUCCAACCUAUGGGACAUAAUUCCGCCACGUGCUGACUUUGUCGGGGUGCCAUUCGUGACUCGCUUGACAAAUACCAUGGUUGAUCGACAUGAUAUGGUAUGUUAUACUUACAAAUGCAAAUUAUCCAAUGAAUUACUUAGUGUACAGUCCAAUGAUAUGGUAUGAUGUGUGGAAUCUAGUCGAUGAUAUGUUUUAGUGUAGAGUUCGAUCACCUGCUUAUUAGUGUAGAAUCUAACGAAACUAUUAAUAGUGUAGAUAAUCCAUAUGUACUUAUUUGCGAGGCAAUUUAUUAAUUGAUAUGUUUUUCUUAUUCAGAAAUUGGCAAAGAGCAUAUCUGUGAGUUAUGGUAUCGAGCCUGAUGAAGAAGGCUCGGCUGGACUACGCCUUACUGCAAGGGGCUCCGUCACAACCUGUACUGACCGCGUGGAUACGGACGGUCGCACACACUUAAACUCGGUUGGGUGGAAGAAAUUCCUCGAUGGCAAGAAUCUUCGUGUUGGACAGGCCAUCCUAAUUACUAUCAGGAACACCAACCGCCCAGGCUUAAGGAUGAUGAUUGUCUUCGAUAUCAUGUAGAACUACAUAUGUGUGUGUGUGGCUAUAUCAUCUAGAACUAUAUAUGUGUGUGUGGCUAUAUCAUCUAGAACUACAUAUGAUGAUCGUCGUCGAUAUCAUGUAGAACUACAUAUGAUGAUGGCCGUUGAUAUGACCUUGUACUGCUUGAGGAUGCAUGUUGACUAUGCAUGAAAUUGUUAUCUAGUACUCCCUUCGUUCCAAAUUACUCGUCGUGGUUUGAACUAAAACUACGACGAGUAAUUUGGAACGAAGGGAGUACUAUCUAGUAAUGGUUUAUGAAUUUGAUAUCUACUAGCAGUACCUAGUAUCUAGUAUCUGAAAGGGAAACUGAAAGGGAAAGGGGUAAUGGGAAAAUGAUGAAAGAUAUAGCAGUAGCGAGGGAUGGCGAAAUCGCUACAGCUAGGUAAUAGUAGCGCAUUCUUAAAAAGCGUUGCUGAUAUCGUAAACAGUAGUAGCGCGGGUAAGGGCCGCGCUACUACUAUAAGUUAGCUGUAGCGCCUUAUUAGUAGCGCGUCCACCCGCGCUGCUGCUAGCCUCAAAACCCGUGCUACUACUAGGGUUUUCCCUGGUAGUGACUCCUUUCACCAUCCAUUAUUGCUAGCCUCUCUUGUAUCGUGCAACUUUCGCCGGUACCAUACACCCACCAUAUACCUUCCUCAAAACAGCCACCAUACCUACCUAUUAUGGCAUUUCCAUAGCCAUUCCGAAAUAUAUUGCCAUGCAACUUUCCACCGUUCCGUUCAUAUGACACACAUUACUUUUGUCAUAUUGCUCUUUGCAUGAUCAUGUAGUUGACAUCGUAUUUGUGGCAAAGCCACCAUCAUAUUUUUCAUACAUGUCGCUCUUGAUUCAUUGCAUAUCCCGGUAUACCGCGGGAGGCAUUCACAUAGAGUCAUAUCUUGUUCUAGCUUUGAAUUGUAAAUCCAUAAAAGUGUGAUGAUCUUCAUUAUUAGAGCAUUGUCCCGGUGAGGAAAGGAUAAUGAAGACUAUGAUUCCCCCACAAGUCGGGAUGAGACUUCGGACUUUACAAAAAAAAGAAAGGCCAAAAAAAGGCCAAAGAAAAAAAUGAAAGAAAAAAAAGAAUGAGAGAAAAAGAGAGAAAGGACAAUGCUACUAUCUCUUUUUCCACACUUGUGCUUCAAAAUAGCACCAUGAUCUUCAUGAUAGAGAUUCUCAUAUGUUGUCACUUUCAUUUACUAGUGGGAAUUUUUCAUUAUAGAACUUGGCUUGUAUAUUCUAAUGAUGGGCUUCCUCAAAAUGCACUAGGUCUUCGUGAGCGAGCAAGUUGGAUGCACACCCACUGGUUUUCUUUUGUUGAGCUUUCAUAUAUUUAUAGCUCUAGUGCAUCCGUUGCAUGGCAAUCCCUACUCACUCACAUUGAUAUCUAUUAAUGGUCAUCUCCAUAGCCCGUUGAUAUGCCUAGUUGAUGUGAGACUAUCUUCUCCUUUUUUGUCUUCUCCACAACCACCGUUCUAUUCCACAUAUAGUGUUAUGUCCAUGGCUCACGCUCAUGUAUUGCGUGAAAGUUGAAAAAGUUUGAGAUUAUUAAAGUAUGAAACAAUUGUUUGGCUCGUCAUCGGGGUUGUGCAUGAUUAAAUACUUUGUGUGAUGAAGAUAGAGCAUAGCCAGACUAUAUGAUUUUGUAAGGAUAACUUUCUUUUGGCCAUACUAUUUUGAGAAGACAUGAUUACUUGCUUGGUAUGUUUGAAGUAUUACUAUUUCUUAUGUCAAUAUGAACUUUUAUUUUGUAUUAUUUCGAUCUGAAAAUUCAUGCCACAAUGAAAGAAAAUUACAUUAUGAAUUAUGCUAGGUAGCAUUCCACAUCAAAAAUUCUCUUUUUAUCAUUUACCUACUCGAGGACGAGCAGGAAUUAAGCUUGGAGAUGCUUGAUACGUCUCCAACGUAUCUAUAAUUUUGAUUGUUCCAUGCUAUUAUAUUACCUGUUUUGGAUGCUUAUGGGCUUUAUUCUACAUAUUUAUAUCAUUUUUGGGACUAACCUACCAAUCGGAGGCCCAGCCCAUAUUGUUGUUUUUUUGCCUAUUUCAAUAUUUCGAAUAAAAGGAAUAUGAAACGGAGUCCAAAUGGAGUGAAACCUUCGGGAGCGUUAUUUCUGGAACAAAUCUGAUCCGGAGAGCCUGGAGUGCAAGUCAAGAAAGCUCCGAGGGCCCCACGAGAUAGGAGGGCGCGCCCCUUGUCUCGUGGGCCCCUCGGGCGUCCACGGACGUACUUCUUCCUCCUAUAUAUACCUAUGGACCCCGAAAACAUCCAGAGGCACCACGAAACACAAUUUCCACCACCGCAAACUUCUGUAUCCGCGAGAUCCCAUCUUGGAGCCUUCGCCGGCACUCUGCUGGAGGGGGAAUCGACUAUGGAGGGCCUCUACAUCAACAUCCUUGCCCCUCCUAUGAGUUGUGAGUAGUUUACCACAGACCUACGGGUCCAUAUUUAUUAGCUAGAUGGAUUCUUCUCUCUUUUUCGAUCUCAAUAUAAUGUUCUUCCCCUCUCUUGUGGAGAUCUAUUCGAUGUAAUCUCUUUUUGCGGUGUGUUUGUCAAGAUCCGAUGAAUUGUGAGUUUAUGAUCAGAUUCAUCUAUGGUUAUUAAUUGAAUCUUCUCUGAAUUCUUUUAUGUAUGAUUGAGUUAUCUUUGCAAGUCUCUUCAAAUUAUCGAUUUGGUUUGGCCUACUAGAUUUAUCUUUCUUGCCAUGGGAGAAGUGCUUAGCUUUGGGUUCAAUCUUGCGGUGUUCUUACCCAGUGACAGAAAGGGUUGCAAGACACGUAUUUUAUUGUUGCCAUCGAGGAUAGCAAGAUGGGGUUUAUAUCAUAUUGCAUGAGUUUAUCCCUCUACAUCAUAUAAUCUUGCUUAAUGCCUUACUCCGUUCUUACGAACUUAAUACUCUAGAUGCAUGCUGGAUAGCGGUCGAUGUGUGGAGUAAUAGUAGUAGAUGCAGGCAGGAGUCGAUCUACUUGUUUUGGAUGUGAUGCCUAUAUACAUGAUCAUGCCUAGAUAACGUCAUAAUUAUUCGCUUUUCUAUCAAUUGCUUGACAGUAAUUUGUUCACCCACCGUAAUACUUAUGCUCUCGAGAGAAGCCUCUAGUGAAACCUAUGGCCCCCGGGUCUAUCUCUUAUCAUAUUUGCUUUCAAUCUACUUUUAUUUUGCAUCUUUACUUUCUUGCAUCUAUAUUACAAAAUACCAAAAAUAUAUUUAUCUUAUCAUACUAUCUUUAUUAGAUCUCACUUUCGCAAGUGGCCGUGAAGGGAUUGACAACCCCUUUAUUGCGUUGGUUGUGAGUUCUCAAUUUGUUUCUGUAGGUGCGUGGGACUUUUGAGGAGCCUCCUACUGGAUUGAUACCUUGGUUCUCAAAAACUGAGAGAAAUACUUACGCUACACUUGCUGCAUCACCUUCUCCUCUUCGGGGAAAACCAACGCUAGCUCAAGACGUAGCACUCCCCCAUAGCGGUUGAGACAUGUCGGGCUAGGGAUUUACUCCAGACAGCAAUGGUUCAGCAACAGGCUUAUUCGUACAGUCGGGACAUGAUACACACUAACCCUCGUCCAAGUCGGAGUUACAGCCGGCGUGUUGAAGAGCCAGCUGUGUCAAGCAGUGGACGGAAUCAUCAUCCGCCACGGAGGCCUAACCUGGCAGGGGGAAGGAAGCGCAGGAUUUAGUGGACCAAGGACGAGCGCGCCGCGGCACCGGGUUGAAUGCACAGGACAUGGAGCGCCAGCUUACGCCGGUUCGUCCGACCACUACAGUAGAGCCAGCGGUUGCCUUUACCACUUUGGGGGUGUCGUGUCUCACACCGGCCCUGCACAAUGCGCGGUUACCCAAGGACUUCAAGGGCCCUCGGAAAGUACCCAAUUACACUUCUGAUUUACAUCUUGAGUCAUGUGUAGAAAGCUAUGAGAUGGCCAUGGAGAUGCUGGAUGUGGAUGGAGCGGUGUGUGCUAAGUACUUCACUAUGAUGCUAGAAGGAACAACUCGCACUUGGCUAAAGAGUUUACCACCCAAUUCAAUUGGGUCAUGGGAGGAGUUGAAGAGACGGUUUAUCAACAACUUCAAAGAUACUUGCAAGCAACCAAUGUCAAUUGUUGAUCUGGCUGCUUGUGUUCAAGCAGAGGGUGAAUCGACUACCCAUUGGGUACGCCGGGUUUCUGAGAUCUUACAUUCAUCUGAUCGGAUUAAUGCAGAUUCAGCAAUUAUAGUGCUAGAAGGCAAUUCCAAGUUCAAACCUUUGAAGUUCAAGUUGGGGCGGAUGAAGCGUCACUGCAAUGAUAUGGGAACACUCAUGGGGGCUUUGGUUAAAUAUGAUAACUCUGAUAAUACCAAGGAUCCCGAGUAUGACGAGGAAAAGCCGAGGAAGGGAAAGAAGAGCCGCAACACCAAAGGACAGCAACCCAACUCGGCGGGCAACGGUAACAACGGUAAACGAAAAGCAGAUAAUUCAGAUUUUGUGGCUAACACCAAUGUGCAGGGUAAUAAUCAAUGUCUUAAGGGUAAAUCGCCCCAGCGCGGCGGCGGUAUGAAUCUGGAACGUAUGUUGAAUCAGCCUUGCCCGAAGCACGGGACAAAGGAGGUUCUAGCCACGCACCUCUGGAAGGACUAUUUCAUUAUGCGAGAGUUCAAAAUUCUGACCUUUUCCGGUGUGAUCAGGGUCCAUCUGGCGGUUCAGGUCCUGGAUCUCAUGGGCCGGGUUACGGUGGUAGCGUUCAAACUCCGAAUUCCAGGGAAUCAAGGCAAUCAGGGCAAUCAGAAUAGCAGGGUGGUUAUAAUCAGUAGAAUAAUCAGGGAAAUCAGCAGCAGUCGGGUUAUCUGAGUCACCCGAAGCAAUUGAAUAGUGGGCAGUAUCAUGUUUUCACCUCUAGUUUGUGCAAGCGUGAUCAGAAGCUUCACAAGAGAGUAGUAAACAUUGUUGAACCGGCAGUAGCAUGUUACUUACGUUGGUCCGAAUAACCCAUUGUAUGGAGCAGAGAGGAUCAUCCACCCCGGUUGACAAUCCGGGUCAUUUGGCUUUGGUGGUGGCGCCUCAGGUUGGAGGAUAUAAGUUCACCAAGGUGCUGAUGGAUGGAGGGAGCAGUAUCAAUAUUUUAUAUUAUGAAACCUUCUGGCGCAUGGGAUUGACGGAUAAAAAUCUUAAACCGUCGAACACUAUUUUCCACGGAGUGGUACCAGGUAAAUCGGCAUACCCAGUUGGUAAGAUAAAUCUGGAGGUGGUAUUUGGAGAUGAUCAUGAUUCUAGAUCAGAAACCUUAACCUUUGAGGUAGUAAAGAUCCAGAGCCCAUAUCAUGCCCUGUUUGGAUGACCAACUUAUGCAAGGUUCAUGGCAAGGACCUGUUAUUUUAUCUACAGCUCAAGAUGUUGGGUCAUAAGGGGACCAUCACAAUACAUGGGAGACGUAAGAACGCUUUGGAUUGUGAAGAGGGUGAUGCGGCUUAUGCUGGGUCGGUUUGUGCGGCAGAAGAGUUAAAGUUCUACAAGGACAAUGUUGAUCUGGCAGAUAUGACUCCUCUGAAGAAGCCCACCACAGAGCAUGACCCAACCCUGAAGUUUAAACCGGAUGAUGAGACUAAAUUGUUGACUUUGUUACUGGUGAUUCAUCUAAACAGUUUAGUAUCAACACUAAUUUGGAUCUGAAAUAGGAAAGCGCGCUCAUCAAGUUCAUCCGCGAGAACCGGGACAUCUUUGCGUGGAAGCCUUCCGACAUGACAGGUGUACCGAGAGAACUCGCUGAGCACAAUCUCAAUAUUGAUCCCAAGUUUAAACCGAUCAAACAGUUUCUUCAUCGCUUCAACGAAGAAAGGCGCAAGGCCAUUGGCGAAGAGGUAGCCUGGUUGUUCGCUGCUGGUUUUAUCGUUGAGGUUUUUCAUCCUGAGUGGCUGGCCAAUCCGGUACUAGUGCUUAAGAAGAAUGGCACUUGGAGCAUGUGUGUGGAUUACACGGACUUGAAUAAAGCUUGUCCGGCCGAUCCUUUUGCCCUCCCUCGUAUUGAUCAGAUCAUUGAUGCUACGGCGGGUUGUGAGCGUUUGAGUUUCUUGGAUGCUUAUUCUGGUUAUCAUUAGAUCAAGAUGGCAGUUAAGGACCAGGAGAAAACAACUUUUAUCACUCCCUUUGGAGCCUUCUUUUAUGUAUCUAUGCCCUUUGGGAUCAAGAGUGCCCAGGCAACUUAUCAGCAUUGUGUGCAGAAUUGUCUUCAUACACAGAUUGGGCGCAAUGUUCAUGCUUAUGUGGACGAUAUUGUGGUAAAAUUCAGAAAAAAGGAGACAUUGAUUGACGACUUGAAGGAGACCUUUCACAAUCUUCGGGUUUACAAGAUGAUGCUCAAUCCGGCCAAAUGCGUUUUCGGUGUUCCGGCAGGCAAGCUCCUAGGUUUCUUGGUGUCUAACAGGGGCAUUGAGGCUAAUCCAGAAAAAAUCAAGGCUAUUACGUCUUUGGCUAAACCGGCAUGUAUCAAUGAUGUUCAACGUCUAGCAGGUCGGAUUGCAGCUCUGAGCCGGUUUAUCAGCCGUUUGGGAGAGAAGGCGAUCCCUCUAUAUCAGAUGUUGAGAAAGAAAGACACUUUUGUCUGGAGUAACGCUACUGAUGCGGCAUUUGAGGAUUUGAAGAGGCAGUUGGUUGAGCCGCCGGUCCUUGCCGCUCCGGUCGACAAUGAACCACUGUUAUUGUAUGUGGCUGCUAAUGUCCAGGCUAUCAGCGUGGCUAUUGUGGUCGAGCGCAAGGAGGCGGGGAUGGAAUAUCCGGUUCAAAGGCCUGUUUACUAUAUCAGCGAAGUGCUCAUCGAGUCAAAGCAAAGAUAUCCGCAUUGGCAGAAGCUGGUGUAUGGGGUUUUUAUGGCAAGCCGGAAGCUUAAGCAGUACUUUCAGGGCCAUCCCAUCAGAGUGGUCAGUUCUGCUCCUUUGGGCGAUAUAAUUCAGAACAGGGAGGCAACUGGCCGGGUUGCAAAGUGGGCUAUUGAGCUUGGACCGCACGGGCUGAAGUACAUGCCUCGGACAGCUAUCAAGUCUCAAGCACUUGUCGAUUUCAUCAAUGAUUGGACAGAGUUGCAGGCACCGAAAGACAAACUGGAUAACACAUACUAGACUAUCCACUUCGAUGGGUCCAGGCAAUUGGAGGGCUCGGGGGAUGGAGUUGUCCUUACUUCCCCUCAAGGUGAUAAAAUUCAUUAUGUUCUCCGCUUAAUGUUUCCUUGUACUAACAAUGCAGCUGAGUAUGAAGCCUUGCUCCACGGUCUUCACGUGGCUAAGGAAAUGAACUUAAGACGGGUACGAUGCUUUGGAGACUUUGAUCUGGUGGCUCAGCAAGUUUCUGGUACUUGGGACUCUAAGGAUCCGCUCAUGGCGGCUUACAGACAAGAGGUGGAUAUUGUGGCUGGUCACUUCAAGGGUUAUCAGGUUGAGCACAUUGACCGACGCAAAAAUGAAGCAGCAUAUGCUUUAAGCCGGCUGAGGUCUCACCGCAAACCGGUGCCACCCAAUACCUUUCUGGAUAUCCUGCAUAACCCGUCAGUUAAGUUGCCUACAGAGGAGGAUUUGGCUAUUCCUGAUCCGGAGGCACAGUUGGUGGUCGCUUUACAUGUUAUUCCGGAUUGGACGGUUCCAUAUUUGGCGCAUAUGAACCGGGGCGAGUUACCAGAAGAUGAAGUUUUGGCCAGACAGAUAGUUCAGCGAUCUAAGUCCAUGGUUAUUCACAAUGGCGAGUUACAUCACUUCAGUGUCUCAGGUGUGUUCCAGCACUGUGUUUCUCCUGAAGAGGGCCAAGAAAUUUUGCGUGAGAUCCACGAAGGAGAUUGUGGUCACCACGCUGGUUCAAAGUCCUUGGUUGCUGAAGCCUUUCGGCAUGGCUUCUACUAGCUGACGGCUCAUGCUGAUGCUCAGGAUUUGGUGAAACAGUGCGACGCUUGUCAGAAAUUCUCACGCAGCGCUCAUGUUCCGGCUCAAGAGCUAAGGAUGAUUCCAAUCACUUGGCCGUUUGCUACUUGGGGGCUUGAUAUGGUAGGACCUUUUAAGCGAUCCAAAGAUAAAAAGACCCACCUGUUGGUGGCGGUUGACAAAUUCACUAAAUGGGUUGAAGCGGAGCCAGUAAGCAAGUGUGAUGCAGGCACGGUGGUUCAAUUCAUAAAGAAGGUGAUCUUCCGCUUUGGCUUUCCACACAACAUCAUCACAGAUAAUGGCACGAACAUUUCCAAAGGUGAAAUGGAGGACUUCUGUCAAAGAGAGCACAUCCAGCUUGAUGUGUCAUCAGUGGCCCACCCUCAGUCUAAUGGUCAACCUGAGAGAGCUAAUCAGGAAAUCUUGAAGGGUAUCAAGCCCCGGCUUAUGGUUCCUUUGAAGAGGACGGCGGGUUGUUGGGUUGAAGAAUUGCCUUCUGUGUUAUGGAGCAUAAACACCACCCCAACCGGUCUACGGGUUAUACACCUUUCUUCAUUGUUUACGGGGUAGAGGCGGUCCUCCCAAGUGAUAUUCGUCAUGACUCGCCCCGGGUUGCCAAUUAUCUUGAAGAGGACAACGAGCAGGCACGUCAAGAAGCAUUGGACCUGUUAGAUGAAAAACGGGACAUGGCAUUGGCUCGCUCGGCGGUUUAUCAGCAAGACCUGUGGCGUUAUCACAGCCGCCGUGUUAAAACAAGAACCUUUCAAGAAGGCGACUUAAUGCUUCGGCUCAUCCAGGAUCACACCAAUAUGCACAAGCUAUCCCCACCUUGGGAAGGACCCUUUGUGGUCAGCAAGAAUCUUCAUAAUGGGUCAUACUACCUCAUUGAUGUUCGAGAGCACGCAGACUCACGCAAAGCUGAGGAGGAGACCUGGCGGCCGUGGAACAUAGCUCUCCUUUGGCCUUACUACACUUGAGCCAUAGGCUCCUCUUAUAUACAUAUUUUGACAAUGUAUAUAUUAUGAUCAAUAUAAUAAAUCGACAUCCUUGCUAUAAGCAGGGCCUCUGCUGUUUUUCCAAUAUCUCUUGAUGACAUGGGGGCUUCAGCUGACAAAGUGGAGUUCUAUCUGUCAAUCCGGCUAUCACGCCCUAACAUAGCUUUGGAGCUUCACACCCAAGGGGCCAAAGAGAGUCUUGUUGCUAUGCAUAGCUCAAACAUAGGCACCCAUAGAGCACAACUCACAAAGUUACUUGGGGGCUCUUUAUGCAAUGCAGCAAAGAGUUUGAAAGGACCCUUGUAAUAUGCUAUCAAGCACGGCUUGGAAGCCUGGUGUAUUCACCUAAAACCCCGGGUUAACAUGCCUUAUCAAGUAAGCCACUCCUAUCCAGGUAAUCCUGGCACGACCCGCCGAACGUUUGACAAGUCAAUCUUAUACAGACCCUGAACUUGUCAAAGUUAAAACGACGAUUGGUUAGUUGGAGGCCCAUCUUGAAAGGCUUUGCAAAAUGGUUUAACUCAGUGACCUGGCAGCCCAUGAAAAGCCUCGAAUUUGGGCCCGGCAGCCCUUGAAAAGCCUCGACUACACGGUUUGUUUGCCUUUAUCAAGAUUUUUCUCUUUUGAUAAAGUGUUGUGUUGAACCGGCGUCUAUUGACCCGGCAUGACUAUUAGUCAUUAAAUUAACCCGGUGUUUGUUAACCCGGUUUGGUUUUCAACUACAAGUUGACAGACCACAUCCAAUUGUAAACCAGAGUUUAUUAACCUGGUCUGGCAUUGACUAUACGUCACCAGGUUGAUCAUCCGGUGUUUAUCAUAACCCGGCAUGGUUUCUUAUGCACCAGUACAGCAUGGUGUGAGUUGUUAAACGCAAGUCUUGGGUUAUCACCCUUAUUACAAUCAAGUUGGUAAACCAACUAUGUGAUUCAAACAUCACAUGUAUGAUUUAAUUCAUAUUUUCAUAUUCCUAUAGCAUUGGUUAUAAACCAAGCUUUAUAUUGGAUAUUAUUAUUCGUCCGGCGGUAAACCACCAGGACAAUAUUUCCAUUCUAUCUUGUGCAGGAAUAAGAUUGCAUAAAAAUACUAAGGCAUAUAAGCAAGUACAACAAUAAUCCUGAUGGAUCAAAUAGUAUCAUGCAACACUACACGAUGGCGGUGGAUCAAAGUAUUUCAACUAGCCUAUUACAAGGCACUCGGAUGCCCAAGAGAAUAAAGUAUUUAUUUCACAGAAUUCAAUCUAUGGAAAUUAAACCGGCCGAUGGUCUACGAUUCAUCACCAGGUUAACGUGAAGUUGACAGAUCAUCUAGCGCCGGUUCACCCUCCUCCUCCCCAUCCACUGGCUGGAAGUCAAUGUUUGCCCAGUCAAUUCCAGACAAAGCUCGGAAGACGGCUUCAUCACUUAUAAGAUCUGACGGUUCAAUGUCAGGGGCAUAAGUAUGCUUACGGAUUGGUGGGAUAAGAUUCUGCACUUCAUUCACAGAUGCAUCAAUCCGUUUGUUAUCUGCAUCAUAGUUGGACCGAUGGACAGACAAGUCAGUUACUUUGGCCAAUCUGCUCGCAAGCGGGCGCAUCUCCUUCAUCAAAGCUUUAAGGGCAUCAUUGUCAAAGUGUGACCCGUAUGCUAUUUGGCUUGGAUAGCCAUUUCCAAUGUUCUCCGGAUCAAGAUCAGCUAUCCAACCUUUGGCCCGACUGAGUGCAGAUAAAGCGCCAGCCCUUGCAGUAGAUCUCUUCAAUUCUUCCAGCUGAGCAGGAGUCAUAGAUAAUCUGGCCAAUGUAUCCAUGAUUAAGGUCGGUGGUGGUUUAUUGUAUGAGGCUGCGCGGAUGACCCGUUGAGCGCCAGUAUACAACUGCUCUAUCAAUGUGUAGGCAGCCUUCAACUUUUUUCGCAUAUCUGAGCCAUGAUGAGCAAUACGACUACCUGCAAUGGUUUAAGAAAUUACUGUUAAACCGGCAUGAUCAAAGAUGUUUCCUAAAAAGCUGAAGAAGAGUACUUACCAAAGAUAGCAGAAGUCAUCGCAUCGAUUUGCCGCUUAAAGCCACUCAGCUCUUCUGCUACCGGUUUAAGUGCUGCUUCAGCAUCUUCAGCCCAUUUCAGCAAAGCGGCCUUUUCAGUCUCCCAGCCUGCCCGCUCGUUCUUGAAGCCAUCCUUCAAUUGUUCCAUGGACAUCAAAGCGUCCUUCAAAUCAUGUGUUGCUUUUGAGGUUGCAGCUUGCUGGGACUUAAUGUUUUCCUGGAGGUCGGCAAUUUGGGCAUCCUUGCUGGUUAAGUCAGCCUGCAAAAGGCAGAUAUUAAGAUGGUAAUACUUUUUUCAUAGUCCCAAGCACAUAACAAGUUAUACACUUGGCACUUGGGGGCUAAUGCGGAUUGUUUCUCUCAAGCUGAUAUUUUAAAGUCCCAAGGCUCAAUACAAGUAUUCAUCUUGGCACUUAGGGGCUAAUGCUUAUUUGAUCAUAUAAACUGGAUAUGAAGGAACUCAACAAGGAUAAGCCUUGCAACAUAAAGUACCGGUUCAUCUUCAAGAAGAUAAACCAGCCCUUGGGGGCUACACAGUUGAAGUUUUUCAUAUUGAAGUACCGGUUCUUCUUCAAGAAGAUAAACCGGCCCUUGGGGGCUACACUGGAGUAGACAUGAAGCAAAAGAAUAGUUUUAUGAAAUGGUUCGAGCAAUAAUUACCUCAUAGCGCUCCUUCAUCAAGUUGACUAAACCGGCUUCAUAGUCACAACUUGUGUAUAGGCGGUUUAGAAAUCCAGAGUGGAGUUCCUGAGCAGUGAGGUUAGCACAACUGGCUAAAUCAGUCUUCCACUUGCCUUUGCCCAUAGCAGCAACUUCUUCCUUGGCAGUAUGCUUCGCUAGAGCAACCGGGUUACCAGGAAUAGUAUGACCAGUACCAGUAAUGACAACGUCGUCAUCACCAUCUUUGGUUGUGCUUGGCGGAAUAUCAGUAUUCCUGGUUGGACUUGGCGGAUGGUCUUCAUCCUUGGCUGGACUUGGCGGAUCAGUAGGAUGGUUCAUAACAUUACUCUCAUCCGGUUCAACAAAAGUAUCUUGAACCGGAGGUACUGGAUCUUCCUGAACAACAUCGGUAUCCAGGUCAUGAGGUUCAAGGGUCUUCUCCGAUUCAAGGGUAUGAUUAUCAUCAAUUGGAACAGUGAAUUUGGCUUUCUUGCUAAGCCUGCCUUUAGCACUGAGAAGAGUAAAGUACAGGCAUUAGUACAGUAAACCGGAGCAACAUAUAAAGUAAGUAUACUGCACUUACCCAGGGACGGUCUUGAGUGGAGGCAUCUGUGUGGUCAAUGAAUCGCCAGAGGAUGAAUUGGAAGCUCCCUGAUAAUUUGAAUCAGACGAAUUAAGAGGAUAUCGAAAGCAACCCGCCUUGGGAUAAGAUGUAUUGGAAGUACAAGAGACCUCUGGUCGGCGUUUGCGAAUCGGAGUAUCCGGUAAACCAGAGGAUGUAACCUGUUGACCACUGUGACGAGUUGUGCGACGAGCCUCAUGUUGAUGUGUCUUCAAAGAAAAGUGCGGAUCCAAAUGAGCAAGAGGAUGUGAAUGUUUUACUUUCCGGACUGCGCGAUGGAGUUUCUGUACCGGCACAUGAUCUGAAUCAGAGGAAAGGGAAAUUACCUCUACAUGGUCAGCACGACUUGCCUCCACAUCAUCCCGAUAAUGAUUAUUGUCAAUAAGGUGCAUGAAAAGUGAACCAAGUGAAUCAAUUUCUACCUCCGUGUCUGAGUCAUCAACAUCUUCGGCCGGAUCAGAGGAUUCGGCGGUUCUCUUCUUAGCAGACUUCUUGGUAACCUUGGACUUAGCCUGAGGCGCUCUCACCGGUUUGUCUUGAGCUUUGGCCGGUUUGACCAGCGUUUUCCUCUUCCAAAAUGGAUCAUUGCUCUGCAAAGGUAAACAGAAGGGCUGUCAGAAAGUGUCAAAAAGGGCGGAGUAAAAUAGGAAAAAUGCAAUUCUUACAGCUGGCGGUUUAUGGAGAGCACAUAAUGGACGCAGCCCAGUUUUGCUGCAUUCAGCUACCAGUUCAUCCAGCAUCCGCUUGACAAAUUCAGUAAUCACGUCAUCAGUCAAUUGAAUGUCAAUAUAAUGUUGAGCAUCUUUCACAUCUCCUGUAUACUCGCACAUUAAACCGGAACGACGACUUAAAGGCAAGAUACUCCAUGAGACCCAGCAACGGACAAGAUCGAUACCGGUCAAACCGUUUGCCAUAAAAGCCCGGACCUUAGAGAUCUGUGUGGCAUAUUUCAUUCGCUCCUUAGCAGUCAGACAUUGAGGCAGUGGAUGUUCAUUACUAAGCCGGUGAGCACAAUAACCCGGCAGAGGGUUUUCAUCUUCAGGGGCAAUGUUCCGGCAGUAAAACCAGGUUUGGUUCCAAUCCUUGGGGUGGCUAUGAUGUUUGGCAUGAGGAAAACUAACUUCUUUCCUCUUCUGUAUUGACACCCCGCCAAGUUCAGUAUUGGGGCCAUCGAUGAAUUCAGUAUCGCGGUUCAAGUGAAAGAAACCUCUAAAUAGCUCAACGGUUGGUUCCUCUUGCAGAUAAACCUCACAAAACAGUUGAAAGUUGCAAAGGUUGGACAUAGAGUUUGGUCCAAUGUCUUGAGGGUGGAGUUGAAGGCUGGCAAGUACAUCACAGAAAUUUUUUGAUCCAGGAGGGCUAAACCCCUGGUCCAGAUGAUGUACAGACACAAUCACCUCUCUGUCUUGAGGUUCAGGAGGACAUUCAGUACCUGGGACACUCCAAUGAAUAAUUUCCUCUUUUGCUAAAUUGCCAGUCACAACGUACUCAGUCAGUUGUUCUUUAGUGACCCGGGAACGGACCCAAUUGCAAGUAGAGAACUGCUUGGCCAUUGUUGAUGACAACUGUAAAAGAAGUUCAAAAUGCCGGUUCACGGUUCAAUAUUGAUAUGUAUAAACUGGGGUCAAACCGGAGGAUUUAGUCAGAGCAUAUGUGCACGUCAAACCGAAUUCUUAUGUUUAGGUUAAGUUGGCGGUUUAAGUGAGGGCUAAUGGUGCCUGGCGGAUUGUCAUUUUCUAAAGGUUAAACCGCCUAUAGUGGAGGAAGUAGAUCCGAACAUUUCACUAAGUACUGUAGAAACAUGUUUCACAGGAUGGUGUUAUAAUUUUGGAUCUACUGCGGUUCAGUAAACAAAAAUUUCUGAACCCUAGAAUGGAGACAUCAGAACAGCGAAGAUCUAGAUGGGAUUUAUCCAGGAACGAAGAGAUACUAUGGUGAAGCAAACUAAAGCUACAGCUUCGGCCGCAAAAGGAGGAUAUCAAGUUUAUAUAGAUUCGAUGAUACAAUAAGGGCAAAGAGACGAACGAGGAUGAACACUGAUGAACACGGACGAACACCAAAAUCCUAAUACAGAUCUGAUAAGUUGGGAACAGGAGAACUUACUGGGGCUGCGGGGCAGCGGAAGAGCGUCGCAGUGUUUCUGGUCAAGAACAGGUUGAUGCAGUGGCCUUGUUGGUGCAGAUGCAAAAGUCGACGGCGCCGGUGAUGCUUGAGCUCUUCGGAGUCGCGAGGAAGAAGAAGAGGCAAGGGGGAAAAAGGAAAGGACCCCUGGGCCUAUUUAUAAGGCGAAUGGAUAAGUAAGGCAAGCGCAUGAAUCGAGGAGCCCGAAAAUGAAUGGGGCACAACUGUUGCCUCGAUCUUCGGAGAUCAAUUAAUAAAAAGAAAUCUUUAUGAGUUUUUUACGCAGAUGACGUCACAUCGGUUUAAUGUGAUUCCCGAAGAUGACGUCACGACAGUUUACAAGGACAACAUGGAGAUGUUCAAAUCAGAGUUUCUUUAAGUGGAAGAUUGACAUGAACAAGUUCAAAUCAAUCUGGGGCCUAAUGUUGGGGAUAUGACUACUGAGUUAAACCGCCCAGGAAAGGGCCGGAUUAACUCACAAGGAUUCCUGUACAAGAGCCCAUGAAGAUGAAGGCUAUGGCGCUUUAACCAUGAAGACUUAGAGUCCCAGAGCCCGAUGGCGGAUUAGGGCCCAUAAUGGUAAACCACCAUAGAUGUGUAACUUCUGUUGUAAGUCAAGGAAAGGAGAAACCGAGCUGGACACUUGUAUGAGCCGGCCUCGGGAUUAUGUAAACCGGCCGAGCGUCAACCUGUGUAUAUAAAGGGACGACCAGGCGGCGGUUCAGGGACAAGAAACAACAACUAUAAAGCCAGGCAUAGCGUGUUUGCUCCCUGGUAACCGAGACCACAUCAAAAACACCCCAACUGGAUCGUAGGCUUUUACCUUCACCGCAAGGGGCCGAACCAGGAUAAACUCCCCGUGUCCUUUGUCCGGUUUAACCCCAUUAAGCUAACCCGUCGCGAUGGCUCCACGACUAAGUCCUUUCACUAGGACAUCUGACAUGAUAAUUCCACGACAACCCCCAUGGCGGUUCACUCAUGGGCCACUUCAGGCAGCCCAUGUCGCAUACAAGGAUUAUUCCACAAGACUUGGUGAUCAAGACAAGGACUCCUAUCCACCAACGUAUUCGGCUAGGACUCUUGUUAUCCUAGGCCUCUGGUGCAUUAUAUAAGCCAAGGCUAGGCUAGUCGAUAGAUCAUUAUGAAAAUCAUACAAGCUAGACUUCUAGGGUUUAGCCAUUACAAUCUUGUGGUAGAUCAACUCUUGUAAUACUCAUAUUCAUCAAGAUCAAUCAAGCAGGAAGUAGGGUAUUACCUCCAUAGAGAGGACCCGAACCUGGGUAAACAUCGUGUCCCCUGUUUACUGUUACCAUCGACAUUAGACGCACAGUUCGGGACCCCCUACCUGAGAUCCACCGGUUUUGACACCGACAUUGGUGCUUUCAUUGAGAGUUCCAUUGUGUGAUCGGUAAAGGAUCGAUGGCUCGUCUGCAGAUUAACUGCGACGUCAGCAUCUUUGUCAUCAGCUCGACUGGUCAACUCGGCUUGACCGAGGACUGUGCCCUACCUCCGAUAGUCAUGUUCGAACGAGUGCCUUCAUUAACAUCAACUCCGAUCUCGAUCAUGAUCAUGGAGGAAUUAUCCUUGGAGCUCGGGGGCUCAACGUCAACACUGCCCUCAGGCGACCGAGCUAUUUUCCCGGAGAACAAACUUGUAUCCCCUGCCACCACCUCCUCGAGCAUCGCUUUGAUGAUUCCUUCGAUGGAAUUGUGUGGAAUUAUGUCUAUAACAACCAUGCAAAAUUUCGCGAGUUCCGAUGGAGGAAUCUCCGGCAAUCUACGAUAUACCAGAGCCUUGUCAAAUUUGGACAAGAAUCUGGACGAUUUUAGGGCGUGGUCUCCAGAUCCAAGCUCGCUCGGAGGUCCUUUGGAAGAUCCAACCGUUCCUCCGCUGCGGAAUUCUCAUAUCUACCACCCCUCAAACUUUCAGCUCGAUCUGACGGUUGAAACUCCAGGAACGUUCCGAUGAGUGGACCAAUUUUCUCAUGUUUUUUCUUCGCGAGAACAAAUCCGAGCCUAGUUCAUCUUUUUUAUGAACGGGAUUUCGGACAUCCUUUUUGAAGGAAGUUCUGUAUGGGGUAUUGUGUUUUGUUCCCAAACACAUCCCACAAAUUUUAAAGUCUUUCCCAAUAUGGUCUUCAAUGCACCGGUGUCAAACCAGCCUGACAACGUUACUCCACGGCUGCCGACCUGCGUUAAACAAGUCGUCCCUUUGUUGAGCCGAUCUCAACUUCUUCGGAUCAUCAUCUCAGCAAGCCGGACAAGUGUUCGGCACCGUGAAGGAUAGAUCACCACCAACAUCGCCGCCCCACGGAUCAUACGGAGCGGGCACACCGGCAUCGCCGCACGGUCACUUCAUCGAGCUGGCAUUUACCGCGUCAUAAGUUAUGACCUGCACCGUCAUGUGGCGGCAUUGUUGGUUCUUCAAGCCGAUGUCCAUCACGCUGAACUGCUUCAAUACCUCGGCUGACACGGCAGCUGCAAUGUCUCCUUACCGACCUGCUCCGUCACCUCGGCUAGACCGGGGGCUUCGCCAUCCCUUCUUCAACCUACUUCGGAGACUUCGGCGUCGUCAACCGACUAGCUUAGUCACGUUAUCUAGACCGGGGCUUUGCCUCGGUGAGCCAACCCUUACCAGCAUCACCAUGCCGUCACUUCACCGCCAUUAGGCAAUGGGUGUGCGGAUCAAUUCUCAAUUUUGGGAGUCACUUUUCUUCGGACUGCUACAACAAAUAAACCAGGUGCUAUUAAUCCUAGCAAUUUUUGCUUAUUUGGGUUUUAUUUUUCUCAAGAAAUUAUUAUUCUGCUUCGUUCCAUCAUCUGUACACAGGCCUAUCAAAUGGCAGCCACAUUAACAACGGUCGCGUGGUGGUUCGGUCAGUUUCCGUACAUAGUUUGGCGAACGCCGCAUCCGGAACUCGGACUGACCUUUGAAUUCAGGCUUUGCCACGCCUUUACCACAUCACGUUGUUGUCUGGCAUCGACAUUGACUUCGGCGCUAUGACACAUAUUUUUAAAUAAAUUAUCUUGCGUAAAUUAAUUACGCGAGGAUUUUUAUAUUAUUAUUGUCGGCCUGCACUAUUUUACUUGUACAUGUAAUCGACUUCGACUGCGUCACUUGGUCACUUUGACAAGCCGACGCCGUCGUCCCAAUCGGCUUAAAUCAGCUCGCGUGAUUACCUUGUUUGUCGAAUUGCCAUACCGACAUGCUCGGUCGCUUUGGGGACUUCGGCAUCGCUGAGAGAGCCCUACCUCAUCGACUGUUCCACACACGAGCCAUAUUUCUUUUAUUACUCACUUUGCAUAAAUUAUUAAUUAAUUAUUUAUUUAUUAUUACUACUAUUAUCUCCGGUUUGCACUAUUUUCUGUGCACACGUAAAUGAUUCGGGUCGGGCAGUGUUAUCUCCUCGGCGUACUGACAUAGCACGUCACCUCGGCUGGACUGGGGGUUUCGUCAUUGAGGGAGUCCUAGAUUAGGGGGUAUUCGGACAGCCGGACUAUAUACUUUGGCCGGACUGUUGGACUAUGAAGAUACAAGAUUGAAGACUUUGUCCCGUGUCCGGAUGGGACUCUCCUUUGCGUGGAAGGCAAGCUUGGCGAUUCAGAUGUUAGAUCUCAUUCUCUGUAACCGACUUUGUGUAACCCUAGCCUCCUCCGGUGUCUAUAUAAACCGGAGUGUUUUAGUCUGUAGGACAAGAACAAUCAUAAUCAUAGGCUAGCUUCUAGGGUUUAGCCUCUACGAUCUCGUGGUAGGUCAACUCUUGUAUUACCUCCAUCGAGAGGGCCCAAACUUGGGUAAACAUCGUGUCCCCAGCCUCCUGUUACCAUUGUCCUUAGACGCAUAGUUUGGGACCCCCUACCCGAGAUCCGCCGGUUUUGACACUGACAUUGGUGCUUUCAUUGAGAGUUCCUCUGUGUCGUCGCUGUAAGGCUCGAUGGCUCCUUCAAUCAUCAACAAGGACGCGGUCUAGGGUGAGAUUUUUCUUCCCGGACAAAUCUUCGUGUUCAGCGGCUUCGAACUACGGGCCAAUUCACUUGGCCAUCUGGAGCAGAUCGACAGCUAUGCCCCUGGCCAUCAGGUCAGGUUCGGAAACUUGAAUUACACGACCGACAUCCGCGGAGACUUGAUCUUUGACGGAUUCGGGCCUACUCCAGGAGCGCCGGACGGUCACGACGGGAACGACUUAGACCGGUUGUCGGACGGUAUUCGGGAUAACGCACCUGCAGCGGCUCUGGACCUAAAUCCAAGGCAGAUCGCGUCGUCCGAGGACGGGUGGAUGGACCCCGCCACGGAGGCCGCAUACUCAUCGGCGGUAGAGCCGAACACAGACUCCACCUCUAAGGAAAUCUGUGUCACCGGACCCCAGGACGUGUCUCCGGCCUCAGGUUCCAGAUCGCGUGCAUCCGGGCCUAUCGAAUUUGAUUGGGCUCCGAUAAUGGAGUUCACCACCACGGAUAUCUUUCAGCACUCGCCCUUGGGCGAUUUGCUGAAUUCAUUAAGGUCUCUCUCUUUGUCAGGAGACUCUUGGCCGAACUAUGUCCGGCUCGAGUGGGAAGCAGAUGACGAAGAAAUUCGUCACCCACCCACCACCCACUUCAUUGCCACUGUCGAUGAUUUAACCGACGUGCUCGACUUCGACUCCGAAGACAUCAACGAUAUGGACGACGAUGCAGGAGAAGAACGGGAACCACCGCCCACAGGGCGCUGGACAGCCACCUCCUCAUAGUAUACAUAUAUAUGGUGGACACACCCAAAGAAAACAAUGGCGAUGAGGCAACAGAGGAUAACCCCUUAGGAAAGCAAUCAAAGCAUGGGCAUCACCGAUGCCGCUCUAAGCCCCGCCACAGCAACACCGGCACAGGAGACGAAAACAAUCCGGAUGGUGCCGAAGAUUAAUAUAAUCCCAAUCAACCUACCUUCGAGCAGACCGAACAGGAGGACGGGAAAGCUAGCCCAGAUGAACAGGCGAUGGACGGAGACUUGGAGGAUGACAAUUAUAUGCCUCUCUGCGAAGAUGGGGUGAGCCUAGGCGAUGAUGAAUUCGGCGUGCCUGAGGAUCCCGUAGAGCAGGAGCGCUUCAAGCGCCGGCUUAUAGCCACUGCAAGAAGCCUGAAGAAGAAGCAGCAGCAGCUCCAAGUUGAUCAAGAUCUGCUCACAGACAGAUGGAAUGAGGUCCUGGCAGCCGAGGAAAACGGACUCGAGCGCCCCACCAAAGGUUACCCAAAGCACAAGUUGCUACCUCAACUCGAGGAGGAGGCCAUAGAGCCUACACUACUAGCACAGGACGAGGCUGACCAGCCACCUCGUGGCCGAGACAAAGGGGUGUAUUAGCCCGAAUACCAACCCGCACCCCGACGCCCAUAUACUAUGGCCCGGGGCAAUACACAGGACCUGCGACAUAUUGGAAAACAAUGCAGGACAACCAAGAUCGAUCUACGGAUCGCGGGGGCGCGUCACAUCACAUGACGAUGAUCGUCAUGCCGGAUACACUAACAAUAAGUUCGACCGGGCCGAACAUAACCGACCAGACUUAGUUGGACUGCGUCGUGACAUAGCCCGGCAUAGAGGCGCCGCACACCCCCUCUGCUUCACUGAUGAAGUAUUGGAUCAUGAAUUCCCAGAAGGGUUCAAACCCGUAAACAUCGAAUCAUACGAUGGCACAACAGAACCCGCGGUAUGGAUCGAAGAUUUCCUUCUCCACAUUCACAUGGACCGCGGUGAUGAUCUACAUGCCAUCAAGUAUCUUCCCCUUAAGCUUAAAGGACCAGCCCGACACUGGCUGAAUAGCCUGCCGGCGAACUCCAUCGACAAUUGGGAAAAUUUGGAUGACGCGUUCCUCGACAACUUCCAAGGGACCUACGUGCGACCACCACAUGCUGAUGACUUAAGUCACAUUACCCAACAGCCCGAAGAGUCAGCCAGGAAAUUCUGGACUCGGUUCCUAACUAAAAAGAACAAAAUUAACGACUGUACGGAUGCCGUAGCCGGCCUUUAAGAAUAAUAUCCGUGACGAGUGUCUUGCCCGACACCUCGGCUAAGAAAAACAGAAAUCCAUGGCGGCCCUCACGACACUCAUGACCCGCUUUUGCGCGGGCGAGGACAGCUGGCUGGCUCGCAGUAGCACCACGCCAAGAGACUCUGGCACCUCAGAUGUCCGCGAUAGUAACGGCAAGCCUCGGCACAACAUACAUAAGCGUCGGAACUAUGGCGACAACACCGAAGACACGACAGUCAAUGCCGGAUUCAGUAGCUCCAAAUCCGGUUAGCGGAAAAAGCCGUUCAAAAGAAACAAUCCGGGAUUGUCUAGUCUGGACCGCAUACUCGACCGCUUGUGCUAAAUUCACGACACCCAUGAUAAACCAGCUAACCAUACUAACAGAGAUUGCUGGGUGUUCAAACAGGCCGGCAAGUUGAAUGCCGAGAACAAGGACAAGGGGCUGCACAGCGACGACAACGAGGAGCCCCAACGGCCGAACACAGGGGGACAGAAGAAAUUUCCUCCCCGAGUGAAAACGGUGAAUAUGAUCUAUACCACCCACAUCCCCAAGUGGGAAUGAAAGCGUGCACUAAGGUACGUUUACACGAUGGACCCGGUCGUCCCAAAGUUCAACCCAUGUUCAUCCUAUCCGAUCACUUUCGAUCGCAGGGACCACCCUACCAGUAUCCAUCAUGGCCUGAACCUGCUUUACCAGGACACAGUGUGCAAAAUGGGCAUUGAUCCCUCAAGGAUCAAACCCACCAAAACUACCUUUAAAGGUGUAAUUCCAGGCGUAGAGGCCUAUUGUACGGGCUCAAUAACACUGGAAGUGGUCUUCGGAUCUCCAGAUAACUUCCGAAGGGAGGAGUUAAUCUUUGAUAUCGUCCCUUUACGUAGUGGCUAUCAUGCACUGCUUGGACGAACCGCAUUUGCUCGAUUCAGUGUGGUACCACACUACGCAUACCUCAAGAUGAAGAUGCCAGGACCUCGAGGGGUCAUAACAGUCAAUGGAAACACAGACCGCUCUCUCUGUACGGAAGAGCACACUGCGGCCCUUGCGGCAGAAGUACAAAGCAGCCUUCUUCGGCAGACCGCCAAUUCGGCGAUGACAACCCCGAACACCAUCAAGCGAGUCCUGAGUACUCUGCAACAGGAUCGGCAGGCACGCCAAGAGCUCAACUAGCAAUCUGGCCUCCAUCCAAGUCCCAUUCAGGCCGCAUUUGUGUCGCGCGUACACAAUUACGGACUCAAAAUACCACGGGCAUAGGCGGAGGCGCGAUGAUGAUGCGGUCCACAAUGCGGCUCAACCGCCACGAGACCCGCAUACCUCUAUAACCUUCUUUCUUUUUCAGGACCCUACUUUCGGGCAGCCCCUUCAGAGAGCCUAAUCAUCGGACUCGUCAUAGGAGGGACAACCAAGGGGGCAAGAGGCUUUGCACACAAGGGAAUACUUAGGUGGUCUUUGUUAACGAUCAUUAUGCCUGUUUUACAUACCCACAUGCAGCCUGCCCUUGGAUAGGACAUGUCAAAUAGUACUAUUUUUGCUUGUCGCAUUAACUUGUACACAUACGCUUUGACAUAUUAUUUAAAUAACAACGGGAAACAAUAUACAGCGUCAACUUAUUAUUACUAUUUUCAUAUUUUCCCUGGACUGUUUAUUUAAUAUUGCAUCCCUACACUCUGGUACGUUCAGUUUGCUAGGGGCUUUUUAUUGUGCCCCAUAACACGGCAAGAAAAGUCCGAACACUUUUGAUAUUGCGGCACCCCGAACUUAUAGCAUUAUAUGCAUCUGCCCCGAAUCAUGUAUUGGGUCAAUAGUUGGGUUUGGCGGGCUCCCUUGUUUUGGUACCUUACGUUCCGUUAUAUCGGCUAAGGUAGUGCAGGGAGAACUACUGCGAUUGUGUCCCAGUUCUUCCGGACGAGCAUCUCAGUAGAGAAAGCGGAAAACUGACUGUCAUGAUGCGGUGAGAGUUGGUCGCUGUUCGAGAGGUAUUAAAUCCUUAAAGAUUUUUUCCUCUUCAGGCGAGGAAUCGGCCUUGUCCGGUUUAUGCAUGUAUAGCGCCCCAAUUCGGCUUUCCGAAUACUAGGGGCUUCACCAAAAUUUAAAAUUGUAGACUUCUAUGGCUAAGUGAGAGUUAUAAAGCCGCAUAGUCCGAUUGCCUUGUUCACUGUGCUAAACACCUCCUUAAAGGACCAAGAAUUUGUAUACAGAGUGUUUGGGUUUUCCACAAACACCCCAGUACUAGUUACACGGGGGCGGAAGCUGACGACUUGCCUACUUUCAGAAUUUUAUAAACAGCCGCACAGAAGGUAAUAUUUCAAAUCAACAAAGCGUCAUAUAGCGCAAACGAACUCGUUUUCAUAUUACAAAGAUGACAUGAGUACAUUCACUCAACGAUUAUGUCCUUGGUACAUUCAUUGGCCACAAGGCAAGCGCCUUUUAUAACGCCAUCAUAAUAUUUCUCGGGGUAGCGAUGCGCCUUACCCUCCGGGGGUCCAUCCUUCACCAGCUUCUCUGCAUCCAGUUUGGCCCAAUGCAUCUUUGCACGGGCAAAUGCCCGGCAGGCACCUUCAAUACAAACGGAUUGCUUGAUAACUUCAAGCCACGGACAAGCAUUUACCAUCCGCUUUACAAGGCCGAAGUAACUGUCGGGCAGGGGCUCGUCAGGCCACAUCCAGACUAUGAGGUCCUUUAUGGCCAGUUCGGCCGCCUUGUGGAGUUCAACCAAUUGCUUCUGUUGGUUACUUAGAGGCAUUGGGUGUUCGGCUCCAGUAUACUGGGACCAGAACAGCUUCUCCAUCGAGAUCCCCUCUUCGGCACGGUAGAACUCCGUGGCAUUCGAUAUGCUGCGUGGUAGAUCUGCGAAUGCCCAGGGAGAGCUCCGAAUUCGAUUAAGUAAAAGAAAUGUCUCCUCCACAUGCUUGCUUCGCAUAUUGAAGGCCUUACCCGCCGCUAUCUUCUUGGCCGUCUGGAUUUCCUAGAGGGCCUUUUGGGCUUCGGCCUUGGCGUGUUCCGCGCUCUGGAGGGCCUUGGCAAGCUCAGACUCUUGCGUCUUGAAGUCAUGCUCCAAGGACUCGAACUUCUGGCCGAACUCCUGGAGCUCUUGCUGUACCUCACUCACCCGAGAAUCUUGCUUUUCACGCUCAGUACGGUCCGUGGCUGCUUUAUCUUUGGCCUCGGAUAGCUCUUUCUUCAGGGCCGCCACUUCGGUCAUGGCCCCUAUUAAAAAUCAUGAUGCUUUUUGUUAGCGUCACCAAUUUUUUCCUCUAUAUGACACACGGACGGGGUAUCACUUACUUCGUUCUCUUCGAGUUGCCUCUUCAUGAGGCUGAGCUCUUCUUCGGCCUGCUUCAGGUCCCGUUUGAGUCCGGCGACCUCCGCAGUACGGGCGGUAGCGGCCAGCAGCAACACCUGCUUACUCACAUAGACAUUCAUUGUUAGACUCCUGCGGAUUAAAAAUUGACCCUCCGUUUGGCUUUUCUUUCCGAACACCAAACAGAGUAUCAGGGGCUACUGUCUAUUAGGUGAUAUUUUCUCACACCUUUCAUCACUUACCUCAAAGCCUGUUAGGAGGCUGGUGCAGGCUUCUGUCAAUCCGCUUUUGGCGGACCGAACAUUCUCAAUCACCAUACUCAUAAGAGUAUGGUGCUCUUCGUCAAUGGAAGCAUCGCGAAGCACUUCCAACAAAUUAUCUGAUGCCUCCAGCUGGAUGGAGGUCAUCGGCACGGCCGGCUCGCCCUCCUUAGAGAGGGGCUACCUACUUGAAUCCGAAACCUUUGGAGGCUCCGGCGCAGUAACUGUCUGGGAGCCAGACUUGUUGUGGCUCCCGUCCGCAUAAUCCAUGGGGAUCUUACCCCCCACAUGCCCGGUGGCUGGGAUUUCGCCUUGGGGCGUCUCUAGAACCGCCAUCCCCUAUUCUGGUAUCCUUUGGGACAACACCUCGGUGUCAUCCGCGGGCCAAGGGGAGGUGGCCGUUGGGAGUGAAUUCAUCUCCGACUCGCUCAGGGACCCGUCCGAAGACGAUACCUCGAGGCGGGACCCAGUCGGACUACAUAUGCGUGUUCGGCAUUGUCACAAACCAUGAAAUUAAGAUGCAUGAAAAAUACUAUAGAGUGUGGAUACUUACUAUCUCGCCAGGGGCUUGCCCCUGGGCAACCACUCCUCCUCGCUGUAGGCGGCCGCGGUGGAGUGAUCCGGAAGGGAUGCCUUUCCCUUCUUCGGUGUCCUGGCCUCCCCGUAUGGGGUGGCUUUCCUCUUCUUCUCCUCCCCAAUGCGGGGAGGGGGAAUUUAUUCAGGUUUCCCCCCAUCUCCGUGGGAGGAAUUUGCCUCGGCGUACUCGGACGACGAGUCUAUUACAGCCUUCACCGGAGACCUUUCCUGGUCCCUGCGGCCGCUUUCUUGGACCUUUCGGCCUCCUCAGAUGGGGCGGCCUUCCUCUUCCUCUCCUUCCCUUCAUGGGAGGACUGUGCCUCAUCGUCUUCAGAUAAGGCAUCCGGCGCAACCUUGUGCCGAAGACCCUUCCUGGUCCCCGUGGUCUUCUUUUCGGCCUUAUUAUCCGGCACCUUGUAAGGCGCCAGAACCAGCAUCUCCGUGAGGAGUGCGGUUGCUAGAUCUUCCGGCAGCGGAGCCGGGCAGUCGAUCCGCUGCGCUGUCGCCACAUAAUCCUGUUUUGAUAAGCAUGGUGACUUAAAAUCCUCCCACGAGUUUUCUGGGAAAGGUACAUCUUGUGAUGUUCGGAGAACUUACUGGAUUGGCGAGGCACGUGGCGCUGAGUCCGCGGUCCUCGGAAGCGGGAGGAGGUACUUCGGCGGCCUUGAACAGCACCUUCUAGACGUCUUUAUGCGUCGUGUCGAAGAGCUCUCGCAGCGUUUGGUGUUCGGCUGGAUCAAACUCCCAUAUAUUGAACGCCCGUCUUUGACACGGGAGGAUCCGGCGAAAGAACAUGACCUGGACCACGUUGACAAGCUUGAUCUUCUUGUCUGUCAGGACCCCGAUCCUAAGUCACACCGAUCUGGCAUGUAACACAUCAUAUCACUCUGCGGCCUCACGCACGGUAUUCCCACGGGUGCCACCUUACCUGGCCCGGGACCGUUUGCACCUUUUGGCUCACAUAUAUGAUAGUGCCGCUAGCAUCCAUAUGACAAAGAACCCGGGCUGACAUGGCUAGUCGUGAACCCAAAGUGGCACUAACUUACAGGGACAUGCAUACAUGACCCAGCAACGAACGUGUCGGUCAUCAGCGAGUGAAUCUGGGCUGUAGCAACUGGGCUAGCAGGACUCCGGUAAACCAGGCUGUAGCAGGCUAACAGGACUCCGGUAGACACCGCGUGACAUUUCCCCGAAGGGAUAGACACAGGAAUGAAGAAGGACACAUGCCGGCCAGCCUAAGUGUUCCGGAGCAGUAUAAAGCUACCAAGGCUCAGUGGAAGCACUAGGAGACAUUUCCCGGUAAGAGAGGCUACCAAGGAUGAACAACUAGAUAGUCAGAUCCCACACAGACCAAGCAUUUCAAUAACAUACACACAAUAUGCUCGAUAUGUGCAAAUACAACAUGGCAUCACAACAUGACUCUACAACUCAAGUAUUUUUCAAUAGGCUCCGAGGAGCGAGAUAUUACAAUCAUGGGUCGCAUGACCCAACAUUCAGAGCAUACAAGUCAAAGCACAUGCGGAAGCUUAACAUGUCUGAGUACGGACAUCUACAAAAGAAAAAGGCUGAGAAGCCUGACUAUCUACUAGAUCCUGCCGAGGGCACAAGAUCGUAGCUGAGGUAACAAGCUAAACGUCAAAGUCCACAUGGAACUACUAGCGAGACUGAAGUCUCUCUGCAAAAACAUAAAUUAAGCAACGUGAGUACAAAUGUAACCAGCAAGACUUACAUCAGAACUAACUACAUAUGCAUCAUUAUCAACAAAGGGGCGUGGGGUUUAACUGCAGCAAGCCAGCUUUGACUCGAUGGCUAUCCUGAAUUAUGACUGUAAGUAUCUCUUUUGAGGUGACGCACACGAGUCCACAUAUUCACCAUAUCAAUACACCACUAUGGAUCCGCUCCCGUCUCCCUAUGAGAACGCCAUCCAUAGCACUCACGUAUAUCUUGCGUAUUUUAGAGUAUCCACUUUCACUUGUCUAUGAACUGUAUAGGCAACCCAAAAGUCCUUUGCCGCGGAAACGACUAUUCGAAUAGAUCAUAUUAACCCUGCAGGGGUGUACUUCUUCACACACGCUCUCACCACUUACCGCCGUUUACACGACAUGUACUCGGCAACCUUCAAGCGGAAGCCCAGCGAGGGUGUCGGCCACGACCUGACUAACCACACAAGUCUCUCAUCCAGGUUUAUCGCCUAUUCGGGUUCCAUCCGCAAGGAGAUCCGGCCGGGGUGUCGCUCACGGCCCCAAACGAUGUGUGCAGGGUUCCCAAGCCCACCAUCCGGGUGCCACUUGGUACACCGGGCCACUGUGCCUAGUCUGUCCCAAGCCCACCUGUACCGGGUGCCACUUGGUAGACUACUAGCACUACCUACAAACACCAGAAACUAGCUGCAACUCUUGGACACAGAUCGAGUUGAUUAAUAAGUCGAGAGAGUCAAUUAAGGAUCCCAAUGUGUGGUAGUAGCUGUUAAUGGAUCACAAACACAGAACUCAGUUCCUGAGGACGGCUGCAAUGAGACAACCCACCAUGUACUCCUACACGGCCUCUCACCGCUACCUUUACCAAAUCGUGUUCACACACUUAGCUCACACACAGUAGGACAUGUUCACACACCUCCAAUUCAUUCCCGAUGAAACAGACCUGACACAACUCUAAGCAAUAGCAGGCAUGACAAACAAGCAUGAAUGAGUAGGCACAUCAGGGCUCAAACAACUCCUACUCAUGCUAGUGGGUUUCAUCUAUUUACUGUGGCAAUGACAGGUCAUGCAGAGGAUAAGGGGUUCAGCUACUGCAACAAGUAACAAAUAUGUCAUUGUUGUCCUAAUGCUGUAAAAGAGAGCAGGAGCGAGAGAGUGGGAUUUUAUCGGAAUGAACAAGGGGGUUUUGCUUGCCUGGCACUUCUGAAGAUAGCAUUGAGUCUUCAUCAGUGUCAACGAUCACAAUGUCGGUACAACGUCUACCGAGGGGGAACAACACCGGCAAACAGAGAAGAAACACGAUCAAUGCAAUGCACAAUAUGAUGCAUGCUAUGACAUGGCAAUAUGAAUGUGUUUUGGGCUAAUGCAAGCUAGAACAGGUUGAGAUGAGUCCAUUUGAACCAAAGAUUCAAAUGCAAACCCAUUUUAAAAGGUCGUAUUAGUGCAUUACCUUGUUUCACCUAAACAGCAAGGUUAAAGUGUUCUAUCAUGCAUGAGAAUGGUACAGAUGGAUAGAUUGCAUUUUUCUGAUCAUUUUUCAUAUAUAAAUUGUUUGAUUUGGAGCUACGGUUGAUUUUCUAUGAUUUUUAGAAGUUUUGGUUAUUUUCUGGAAUUCCUUGUAUAAGAAAAUUCCAGUAAUUAGUUAUUGCGUCAGUGUGACGUAAGUGGUCAAAGGGGACGUCUAGGUCAAACUGACCUGUGGGCCCUGCGUGUCAGUAGUUAGUUUAACUAACUAAAUUUAGUUAGUGCUAAUCCUGGGUUAGUUAGCAGGGCGGGCCCCACCUGUCAUAGACCCAAGGGUCAAAUUGGGCCCACCUGGUCAACUCAGUCAACAGGGUCAACUCGCCGGCGUUUAGCCGCCGGCGAGGUCAGUGGCGCUCUUGUGCCUCGGGUUUCCUCUGUGGUGCUCCAAAUGACGUGCGGCUAGGCGCGUUGGAGAGCUAGCUCGACGGCGCGUCGGGUGGUGGCCGGGGUUGCCGGAGUCGACGGCGGUGAGCUCGAUUGCGGCUGCCGGAGUUCGGUUGCACUCGGAACCGACGUUGUGGUGCACGGCAUGUCGAGCGGUGGGGUCCUAGGUGCUCCUGCAAACGUGCUGAGCACGGUGACGCUCUCAGACGCGGCGGAGGUGGGCUCUAGCCACGGCGGCGAAGAAGCGCAACGGCGGCGAGCUUCGGUCGGGGUGGCCAAAGGGGCUAGAGGAGGAAAUCAACAGAGGGAAGAGAGGUGUUGGGAUCAGGGGCUCGCGGCGAUGCCGAAGAGGAGAUCAGCGAGCCUGGGGAGGUCCUGGCGGCGCCGAAUCGACCGGAGGCGAGCUCGGGUGCCUGGGGUUGAAGAUGAGGCAGAGACGUCGCUGUGAUGCUCCCGUGGUCGAACAGACUGGUGUAGACGACGGAGGAGAUGACGCCGGUCCUUCUGGAUGCUUCGGCAAGGCGAGGGGUGGACGGUGGCCACGGUUUCACGGCGGCAAACGCUUGGCGGUUGCGGCCAUGGCGAGGAGAGGGCAAGAGAGAGGGCAGAGGGGGGAGAGUGAAACGUCCAGGGGGUCGGGGCGGCACCGAAGAGAAGGCCCGAGGCGUCGUGGUGGCCUCAGUGACGCAGGCAAGCAGGGAGGUGUGUGGCGCCGCGGGCGCGCGUGCGCUGUCUCCCUCCUUUGCCUACUGGCAGAUGUAGGUGAUGACUGGCACGGGCCAGGUGGGCCGGCCCAGCCAGGUAAGUGGCCUGUGGCCUUUCUCUCUCUCUCUCUCUCUCUCUUCCAUUUAGUUCUAUUUUUCUAUAUUUCUGUAUCUUAUGGGCUUUAUUAAAAAUAUCUAGGCACUUCCAAAAAUCAUGAAACUGCUCAAUGUCACUUUUUGGAAUAUUUCCAACAGCAAACAUUUCAGUUUGUGAUUAUUUGAGCAUUUAAAAUAUUAUUUAGCAAAUAAAUGCCCAAAUGCAAAUACCAUAUGAUUUAAUUCAAAAAUCCAGAAUGGCCUAGAAAUAUGUGCACCAUUUUUGGGAGAGGUUCUAGACCAAUGCAAAAAUGAUGAACUUUCUGAAGGGCAUUUUGGGUUCAUUGAGAAUAUUUUUAUUUGAACCUAGUUGAUUUGAUCUGGUGCUAGGGUUUGAGCAAUCCCCAUUUCAGGUUUAAAAGAAAUUUAAACAUGAUGCAUGAUGCAACACAAGACUAACUAACUCAGAGCAGAUCAGAACUAGGGAUGUGACAUUGUCUAUCAUAUUUUUGACACAGUACUUGAGUCCUGUCAGCUCUGUAGGUUCGCCACAGGCCAGACCCUUCUUUUCAGAGGAGGUGAGCCGCGUGGGGAUGCCAGAUCGGAAUUCGGGGGCCGACGCCCAGUUGGCAUUGCAUGGCUCGGUGAUGUAGAAAUACCCCGAUUGCCACCCUUUCACGGUCUCCAGGAAGGAGCCUUCAAGCCAGGUAACAUUGGGCAUUUUUUCCACCAUGGCGCCUCCGCACUCCGCGUGCUGGCCACUCACAAUCUUCGGAUUCACGCAGAAGAUUUGUAGCCACAGGCCGAAGUGGGGCUUGAUGCGGAGGAAGGCCUCGCACACGACGAUAAACGCCGAGAUGUUGAGGACGAAAUUUGGGGCUAGAUCGUGAAAAUGUAGCCCAUAGUAAAACAUGAGCCCACGUACGAAUGGGUGGAGUGGAAACCCCAGUCUGCAGACGAAAUGAGAGAGGAACACUACUCUCUCUUGAGGCUUGGGUGUGGGAGUAAUUUGCCCCUUCGCCGGAAGCCUGUGCGUGAUGUUUGCGUCCAGGUAUCCGGCCGCCCGAAGCUUGGCAAUGUCCUCCUCUGUAACGGAGGAGGCCAUCCACUUGCCUCCCGCUCCGGACAUGUUGCGAAUGGUCCUACGGAGAAGGUGAGAACUUGGGCGCUGGGGCUCAAGGGUGCGAGAAUGGAUGAGCAAAGGAGGAAGAAGGCAUGGGUGAAAAUGGGGGAUCCUUAUACCUUUAUAAAGGCGGUGAAAACUGUGCGCCUCCCCGCUUGCCAGUCAAAAUCACUCAUUUUCCAGGCGCCACGAUUGAUGGUGCGGUUGGGUUACCCAUACCCGUAUUGAUGAGAAUCCCGUGAUAAGGGGACACGAUCUCUGCUUCGACAAGACGUGCAAAGGAAACCACCUCGCAAUAUGUGCGGUGGCUGGUUGUGAGAAAACGGUUCGAAUAAUGACCGGACCAUGGCGUGAUGUCAUUCAACAGAAGUUGUUAGUAGAUUUGAUUUGUCGAACAUUGUGCUCUCUACGGUGGUAUGUGGAAAAAAAAUUGCAGAGCCGGACACGAUCCUUGUGUUCGGAAUCUUCUACGGAGUAUUCGGAUAUGGAAACCGCCUUGCAAUGCCGAAGAAAAUCUGCGUGUCGGACUCAUCGUCAUUGAAGCCUGGUUCAGGGGCUACUGAGGGAGACCUGGAUUAGGAGCUAUUCGGACAGCCGGACUAUAUACUUUGGCCGGACUGUUGGACUAUGAAGAUACAAGAUUGAAGACUUCGUCCCGUGUCUGGAUGGGACUCUCCUUUGCGUGGAAGGCAAGCUUGGUGAUUCGGAUGUUAGAUCUCCUUCUCUGUAACCGACUCUGUGUAACCCUAGCCUCCUCCGGUGUCUAUAUAAACCGGAGGGUUUUAGUCCGUAGGACAAGAACAAUCAUAAUCAUAGGCUAGCUUCUAUGGUUUAGCCUCUACGAUCUCGUGGUAGAUCAACUCUUGUAAUACUCAUAUCAUCAAGAUCAAUCAAGCAGGAAGUAGGGUAUUACCUCCAUCGAGAGGGCCGAACCUGGGUGAACAUCGUGUCCCUAGCCUCCUGUUACCAUUAGCCUUAGACGCACAGUACGGGACCCCCCUACCCGAGAUCCACCGGUUUUGACACCGACAAUCAUCACUUCAUCAACCCACGCCGGGGACUUCGGCAUCACUCUGCCGGCCUGCAUUGGCUGAGCCAUGUCACUACCUCGGAAUGCCGAACUCCUUGCCCGGGCACCUCAGGCUUGGAGGCUGGGACCUCAGCCAUACCGAGGACUGUGAACCUUGUCGGAUCUGUCACGGAUCAAUGGGCAUCUUCGUCCCGCCACAAGCCCGAAUGGCGUCAUCAACAUCGAGCACAUUAAUCAGCUAAGUUGCUUUCAUGCUCAAAAACUUUGUUCGGUUCGACCAAGCAUUAUACUUUUUGGCAAAAAGUUGUUUGUGACAAAAUUCCUUGUCAAAACUUUGUUUGUGACACACAAAUUCAAAUACCCCAUUUAUUUGGGGGCUUCCUUUAUAAAGACUCUCCUCUUGCAUAUGAUUAUACUUGUAUGGCUUCGUUCCUUGUUCGUGUAUUACACCACAAUAUGCACCAUGUUGACUUAAUUAUUCCGCAAGCUGGAUUGCCUUGCUCCAGUAUUUACCCCUACGUUUCUGAUUGUUCGGCUAGGGAGUAAAGGGAGCACCUCUGCGAUUGUCACGAUCGGGUCAUCCGAGCUCGGACCUCAGACUGGGUGAAGCCGAAAGCUAGCGCUCUUAUUGUUUUCAAUCAUGGUCGGCACAUAACGGAACUCAUGUGUACAAAAAAUCUAUUGCACAAGUCUCAUAGUAACAAUGAGCAACCGAAAAAAGGUAUCGGUGGGGGUACUAUUUUCUUCGAAGAUGCUUCUUAAACUUCGUCAGUAAUAUAGCAUAAGUUCCCUGAGCGUGCUUUGUCUGUUACAGCCUUAUGGCCUGAUUGUCUGGUUAUCGGAAACACCAUCGAUAUUCUCUACAUGUGGGGUACAUAACACUUUUCAGCCCUUGACCGAAGAGGGAGAAGUUGAUGGUCAGUUAAGACGCAUUUAAAGUUCAGGUGAAUACAAAUAUGAUAUAAGUACUUCGGUACAUACAAUAAUCAUUAUACAUAAAAUUCUUUUACCCAAGUCACUUGGGGGUUCUUAAAAUUUAUAUGAGCUGUUUUAUAGUAAAUGUGUUUUCUUCUGGGUUGUUGCAAAGUCUUUUUCUACCGCUCCUUUUUCGACUCGAGUGUAUGGUCAAUAGACAGAUAGCCUGUCUUCUCUCUAAAAGCCGCUCGAGUUUAGUUCGCUAAACUGACCUCGGAGAAGUACUCCGCCUUUGGGAUAAGGAACUUGAAGCCGUAGGCUGACCUGCGUGAAGUCUUGAGAUCGGAUAUGUCAUGUUAAAGCACGACAAAAGCACAAUUUUUUUCCAAUUUUGGAUUGGCACCGAACACUUGAUCUUGUUCGGACAUCAACUUUUUACUGACGUUUUUUGGUUUUCCAAGCUUAUGGCACUUUUAAACUAUUUGUGUGUUUCCAGCAUAAGUCUCGCAGUGCAACAACGGACACCUUUAGAGAUUCGUCAAAAACAUUCUCGGAUAUUUCUAUAUAUGCAUCGGUUUGAAAUUGUGUCUUCGGUCAAUAGUUGGGUUGCCUGGCUCCUCUGCUUGCCUCCUAGGUUCCGCUUUGUUCGGCUAGGUGUGCAAAGGGAGAACCACUGCGAUUGUGCUUCCAGCUCGCAUGGUUAAGCACCUCAGUGGAGAAAGCCGAAAACUGACUGUCACAAUAAGAGUAAACUGGUCAGCGAUCCGAUGACUAUGUUAAAUGACGGGCCAUUCAUAAUAUUGGCCGAAGUGUUUACGGCUUGAGCUCGGCUGUCGCCAAACACUAACCGGAGGCUCGUAGUUAGCUUCCCCAGUUUAAAGCUCCUAUGACUACGUGAAAGUUAUAAAGCCCGCAUAUCUGAUUGCCUCAUUUCCACUAACACAACCGCCUUCGGGCACCGAGACGUUGGCUAAGGGUUGCCUUGUUAUUGCGGAAACACCCUGCGUAGUAUCUACAAAGAGGUAGAAGCCGACGAUGGGCCACUUUCAACUGAUAAACGGUCGCAACGGAGUCAAAAUAAACAUAUCAUCGGCAUUUGUAUUUAUUAUACAAGGGCCGCCUUCCAUAAUCAUCGUUAUAAAGCCAUAAAUAUGCAUCAAUUUGACUUAAGAUUUUUGCCAAGCUGGGUUGCCUGGCUCCUGUGCUUACCCCUACGUUCCCGAUUGUUUGGCUAGGCGGUAAAGGGAGCACCUCUGUGAUUGUUACUACCGGGUCAUCCGAGUUAGUACCUCAGACUGGGUGAAGCCGAAAGGGAGCAAUCUUAAAAGAUCAUAUUGGUCGGCAACAACGACAGAUUUUGGUUCAUUAAUACCAUAGAGUUCGGGAACUUUCCCCGAACUAAAUCCUCAAUAUUUUCCUCCCACAUUGAUCGGAGGUGAGGUUUCAUGAUCAUGAUAAGCAUGACGACCCAAAGAAAGGAACCGAUAGCGGGACUAUUUUCCUUGAAAGAUGUUUCUUACAUUAAGUAAUAUAACAUAUCUCUCCACGUAACUUUGUUUAUAAAACCGUAUGACCAGAUUGCCUUGUUUCUCAUAAAUCUUUGCUCUCAUGAAUGCUUUAUAAAUAAGGACAAACACUCCCCGGCUGCUGGCCGAGGAGGUGGAAGCCGAUGGUCGGUCAACAAAGUUUUAUAUAAUGCGGACCCAAGCAUUAAUGAUGUAAAAUACUUGGAUACAUAGGAUCCUAAAUUGCCAGUAAAGUCGAUUUAUUGCAGCUCAUCUUUUAAAGACCAAGCGAGCAACUUACAUAAAUCUCUCCUAAAUCCCAAGUGGCAUCGAUUUCCUAUCUAUUAAGCCCCUUGGGGCCAACCUUGGCUAGCCCAGCUUUCGCUGGCUCUAGCUCCUUUAAGAGAUCUUUAUUCUCUUUUCGAGAAGUUUGUGUUAAACACAACAAAAUUUUCUGUCACACGAAUAUCGAUCCUUAAUUCAGCCACCUAUGCCCAUAUUAAGGCUCGGGGGCUACUGGGCUUCACGCUCAUUAUUUAUUUAGAUAUAUUAAAACUGAUCACCUUUCCAACCAUCUCAGGCCAUUAGCAUUCUUGGCCGUCGGAUCUUCAAUUCUAAGCUUUUUUGGCCGUCUAAUCAAACUCUUGAGCACUACUUCUGGCCGCUGGACCGGGCAGCUACUCUGAUAACUAAAUUGAAGGCAUGCAGUUAAUUGGCAGCUACUCCAGCGGGUGUUUAGCGAGGCAUUAAAGAUGCAUCAAUGGCGCAUGUGGGCGAUUGGAGCUGAUCAGGGGCACAUCGAUCCCUUGAUCUAGUGUUGCCACCCCACCAGUGUCUCGGGGGCUACUACGUUGCCUGUUCAAUGCAGAAAAUUCAAAGUGCUUAGUGUUCGGCUUGACCGAACUAUGGGCAAACGCGUCUUCGGACAACAAUAGGUACCAUCUGGACCUAUAUGGCGUCAAGCUAACAUAUUGCGGCAACUUCUCAAGACCCUCUCUCAAGGGCCCGUUCGCCGAUCACUAUUAUCUCUAAUAAUAUUACACUGCGUUUCUAUUCCUACGUAUGCUGCCGAGCUAGGAGUUAAUUCUCAGGCCGAUUUUGCAAAUCGACCUGAGUCUCAGGGGCUACCAGGAUCAACAGUUUUAUGUUUUCCUUCACGUGCACCUCGGGUUUAGACCGACACACACCUUGAGGGCUACCAGAUAUACAUAUACUGGCUAUAUACCUCGACAGAGAGUAAAUUGUACCAAUCAAAAAUAUAAACAAAAAUCGGCCCGCGGUCGGAGUGGUGCACCACCUCGGAAGCAGUCCGGCAUAAAGCUCGGGCUCCAGUGGCUGGCUCCAUAGAGGACAUUUCCGGCAUUAAGCUCGGCUGAAUUUGUUCAAUAUUUUAAAAGACCGAGGUAGUUUACGACACCUCAGACGCUGACCAUCGUUGGAGCUCAGAAGUGGUCCGGCUUAAAGCCCGGAUUCGAAUGGCUCGUUCCAUAGAGAACUUUUCAGCGUUAAACUCGGAUAACCUCCCUCAAACUUUUUCAAGCCAAGGUGAUCUAUGACACCUUGGAUAUAGUCCGGCGUUGGAGCUCGGAUAUAGUCCGGCGUUGGUGCUUGGCUGCAAAAGAUAUCUCAAAUGCAGUCCUGCGUUGGAGCUCGGAUGCAAGAGGACACUGCCGCACGGGAACAACUUCAAACCCGAGGUGUGGCGUAAAAAAUAAUCCUAAGGAAUUGAUAAAGGCCGAGAACUUAAAGGGGCUCCUCGGAUACCCGAUGUGUAAACCCUUCGGAUUCAUUUCGGCAAUCCUCAAGAUCAAAGACGAGAAGAUUUAUUGAACCAGUUUUCAACACCGACGACCGAAGAUUAAGAACAGUUUGAAAGGAUGGAGGAGCGUCCCCCACUUCAAGACCAGUUCAGGGGGCUACUGACGGUGUCCUGGACUAGGGGGUACUCAUCACAUCGUCUCCGGACCAGGUGGAUCGGGCCGAGGACCCCCAUGGCGGUUCACUCAUGGGCCACUUCGGGCAGCCCAUGUCGCAUACAAGGAGUAUUCCACAAGACUUAGUGAUCAAGACAAGGACUCCUCUCCACCAGCGUAUUCGGCUAGGACUGUUGUCAUCCUAGGCCUCUGGUGCAUUAUAUAAGCCAAGGCCAUGCUAGUCGAUAGAUCAUUAUGACAAUCAUACAAGAUAGACUUCUAGGGUUUAGCCAUUACGAUCUCGUGGUAGAUCAACUCUUGUAAUACUCAUAUUCAUCAAGAUCAAUCAAGAAGGAAGUAGGGUAUUACCUCCAUCGAGAGGGCCCGAACCUGGGUAAACAUCGUGUCCCCUGUCUCCUGUUACCAUCGACCUUUGACGCACAGUUCAGGACCCCCUACCCGAGAUCCGCCGGUUUUGACACAGACAGUUGCUAACCUUUGCGAACUUGGAUGGAUGGGGUGCCUUGAAAUCUUGACAAAUUUUGGUAAAAAUGGAGGUGAGCUUGAGAAAGAGGGGAAGAAAACAGAGAUGAGGGAAAAAACAGAGCGCUUCGGCUCGGGCUAGACAAAGCACUAUAUAUAGUGAUCUCUUUAGUCUCGGUUGAUUAUACAAACCGGACUAAAGGUGCACCUCUAGUCCUGGUUUGUGACACGAACCGGGACUAAAAGUGUUCGUGGGGCCCCAGCCUGACACCAGCCUGCCACCACCCCUUUAGUCCCUGUUCGUGUCAUGAACUGGUACUAGAGGUUCAACAUGAACCGGAACUAAUGAUGCCCACCCCACUAGCCGUUGGAACCGACACUAAUGGUCACAUUAGUACCGGUCCGUUUCCAAACCAGAAUUAAUGGGGCUCACGUAAAGUCAUUUUUCUACUUGUCUUGCUCCAUAUGUAGUCACUUGUUGAAAUCUCUAGAAAGACAAAUGUUUAGGAACAGAGGGAGUAGAAGCCGUCGGCCAAGGAGGGCCGAGCUCGAUCUCCCUUGGCCGGCGCGGUACCUACUUUGUGCUGGCGCUCCAUUUUCCCUUUUCGCGUGCGUCGAACGGCGACAAUGAAGAGGUAAGCCAAUUUAGCCGACUGCUGAGGGUCAUGUCUCCGAAUUUAUGGAGGGGUCAUGGCUUCGCGUGUGUUGGCCUCUGGAUAUCGGUCUCGAAUUCAUCACACGGAUGAAUGUCCAGACCAUCCAAACACCGGCAUUCGGGGCAAACAACGCCAAUGCCAAAUUCUUACUCAGAAUGUCAACAUCCAAAUGGCGCCUAAGGGUUUUUCUAGAUAUUUAGCAUAUAUAAUUCGUUCAAACUUUUUGAACUGCAAGUUCAUGAAAAUGCUCAAAAAUGGGCUGACAAUGUUAUUUGUGUUAAUGAAUCUAUGUUUAGACCUUAUCCAAUAUAAAUAAAAGACACCCAGACAUCAGGGUGCGAAAACACGACCCCAAACAUUGAGCUUAUUAGUUUUUUAAUUCCAGAAAAUGCAAAUAAAAUGUGAAAAAUAUGAAAACUGGCAUGGUGUCAUGAUAUGAUCCCUAGAUGUCGUAGUAAAAAUUUGAGUAGUUUUCACAGAAGUUAUGACAUACACUUCUUGGAAAUUGAAAAUCUCUCAGGAAGAAUCAUGGUUUUGAAAAGAAAUUGAUCGGGUUUGAAGGCAAAGUGUUAGUUGCUUUAUCAUUGGACCUUGAAACUUUUUCUACACUCAACAUACACCACCAUAUGCUACAUGCCGUAAUUUGGCAUUUUCAGGGUUUGUUUAUUUAAGUUAUUAAGUGAUUUUCUAGAAAAUCAAUGGAUAUAAUUCAAAUUUAAACUGCAAGUACAUGAAAAUGUUGCUAAAAAUGGGUUGAAAAAUUCUAUUUGUGUUAAUGAGUUUACUUUUAGACCUGAUCCAAUAAAAAGAAAAGGCAUCCCAAACAUCAUGCUGCCAAAACUCGACCCUAGACAUUGAGCUUGGCAUGGAGAAGAUCCUAAAGGUGGUGCUCCAUGAUUGUUUACAUGCACUCUCCAUUCUUACUAUCCUACUAUUCUGAAUGAUCUCUCGAAACAGGCUUGCAUACACUUUUAUUAAUAAAGCCACACUCUCCAUUCCUACUCUUCCGAUUGAUAUCUCCCUUUUGUCGUUUUUUUUGGAAAAAAGGUUUAAACCCUAUCUCUACAUCAAUCAAUGCAUACACCCAUCUUUAUUAAUUAUUCAACAAAGUUUUGACAAAAACAUGCAUCAAGCCACUUGAAGCCACCACUCACACCUAUAUCAAUGCCACCGGAAGCCAUCACUCUCACUCCCCAUAUCUAAAAUCGGUGUCGUCGCCGAUCCAUCCGCACAAUGUAUCGGAACGAAUAGCCGAUGCAGAAAACCUAAAGCGUACACCACUGCACACAUUUUAGAAGCCGCAAUUAUUAUCGAACCGCUGACUCAUCUUCAGAAAAGAGACCCGCAUCAUCCUUGCCAGUCCGGCCCUUCAUCUAUGCCACCACGGCGCCGAACAGCACCACCUCCGUACAAGCAAACUGCUGAGCACGUUGUGCUCGCCGUCGGUACACUGCAACACCAUGCUGCCAAGUACCACAGUCCCACACAGCUUGAAGUCUCUCGAAGAUCUCGUGCGUAUCACCUGCCGAACAGGCAUGACACGACGUAGCACCUAUUGCCAAGGAAUGACUUGACAUCUCCACUGAAGCUCCGUGCACGACGAAAUCGCUCCACCUCCUGCCUCUGUCUUCCAGGGCUACUCCACAAACGAUGCUCCCAAGAGAGAAACGACACCGUAGUGUCGCCAUCGUCCGAUUUGAAAGACCAGAUCCUAGGGUUUUCCCUUGAGCACCACGAGUGGGUCGACAUUAGUUACACGACGAUGCCUUCAUCAAGGUAACAACGUAGAACGCCGCCAUCACCCGCCGUCGGCUUGGUUUUCACCGGAAAGUAUGUCUCCCCGAUUCACAGCCGAGACUACAUGACGGGUCUCGUGAUCCGACCACCCAGCCUCAAGCCGACCACCUCCGACGGAAGAGACGACCAUCACCGCCAAGCCUAGGGUCGCUACCCCAGGUGCGCGUGAUGCAGAUCAAGACCAGGAGCGCCAGUCGCCACCUGCCGCCCGGAGAUUCGAUUUGCCAGCCGCCACCGUGCCACAUGAGACACGCAAACAAGGCAGAGAUCCACCACCGCCUUCGGCCACUGCCGCCGAAAGGGAAGCAGUAUACUCCGACCUGCGCCACUUGCCGGCCAGAUCCGGCCGCUGCCUCGAGCACGCCCCUCCCACCACGCACUACUAGGAAAAGGCCUACUAAUGGCGCACCAGUUUUGCCUACUAAUAGCGCAUCACUGGUGCGCCAUUACUAGCACGCCAUUAGUAAUUUUUACUAAUGGCGCACCACUGAUGCGCCAUUAGUAUCUGGUAUACUAAUGGCGCACCACUGGUGCGCCAUUAGUAUAGGCCACAGUGCUCCAUUAGUAUAGGCCACUGGUGCGCCAUUAGUAUAGGCCACGGUGCGCCAUUAGUAUUUUUGAAUUUUGAAGGCGGGAAAAUAGAAGUGGCGCACCAUCUAACCCCCACCGUGCGCCAUUGCUAUUUUUGAAUUUUGAAUUUGGAUCUGGAUCGUGAUUUUUUUGCCCAUUUUUUGCUAGUUUUUUUGCUCGUUUUUUGGCAUGAUAUUAUUUCAAAUUUUGUUCCUGUUUUUGGAUCUUGUACGUUCUUUUGCCGUGUUCUUUUGCCGGAGAGGAGUUCGCCGGAGAGGAGGAGGAGGAGGUGACCGGAGAGGCGCUCGCCUACAUCGCCAGAGAGGAGGAGGAGGUCGCCGGAGAGGAGUUCACCGAAGCAUCGGAGAGGAGGAAGGAGAAACCAUGAGGGAAUGGGAGGAGAGGAGGGAGGAGGAGCUCACCGGAGAGGAGGGAGGAGAAACCAUGAGGGGAGGGNNNNNNNNNNNNNNNNNNNNNNNNNNNNNNNNNNNNNNNNNNNNNNNNNNNNNNNNNNNNNNNNNNNNNNNNNNNNNNNNNNNNNNNNNNNNNNNNNNNNNNNNNNNNNNNNNNNNNNNNNNNNNNNNNNNNNNNNNNNNNNNNNNNNNNNNNNNNNNNNNNNNNNNNNNNNNNNNNNNNNNGGAGAAGGAGUGGAGGAGAGGAGAGGAGGAGAUGGAGUGGAGGAGAGGAGAGGAGGAGAUGGAGUGGAGGAGGUGCGCCCAGCCAUAUAUACGACAUAGUAAUGGCGCACCGUGGGCAGGUGCGCCAUUACAAACUUUUUUUUAUUUUUUUGACUUAUUUUAUAUUUUGAAGGCGGGAAGAUACUAAUGGCGCACCAUGGGCCGGUGCGCCAUUAGUAACUUUUUUUUUUGUUUUUUGACUUAUUUUGAAUUUUGAAGGCGGGAAGAUACUAAUGGCGCACCAUGGGCAGGUGCGCCAUUAGUAACUUUUUUUUAUUUUUUUGACUUAUUUUAAAUUUUGAAGGCGGGAAGAUACUAAUGGCGCACCAUGGGCAGGUGCGCCAUUAGUGAGUUUGAAUUUUUUUUUGAAUUUUUUUGCCUCUCCAGAUCUUAAAAGCCCUGUAUCUUUUUUUCUGUUAGGUUUUUGAGGAUUUUGAAAAUGUUUAACGGGGUUCCCCCAGUUAAAUUCGGAUGUAAUUUUUCGAGUAGAUGAUUUUUCAUAUAAAAAACUUUUUCAUCCGAGUUAGUAUGCAAAAGUUAUGCUCAUUUUUAUAAAUUCUCGAGAGAUUUUGCAAAUGAUGUCGAAAUUCAUAUUUGCAAAUUUUCCCAACAACUAGACCACAUAUCACAUGGNNNNNNNNNNNNNNNNNNNNNNNNNNNNNNNNNNNNNNNNNNNNNNNNNNNNNNNNNNNNNNNNNNNNNNNNNNNNNNNNNNNNNNNNNNNNNNNNNNNNNNNNNNNNNNNNNNNNNNNNNNNNNNNNNNNNNNNNNNNNNNNNNNNNNNNNNNNNNNNNNNNNNNNNNNNNNNNNNNNNNNNNNNNNNNNNNNNNNNNNNNNNNNNNNNNNNNNNNNNNNNNNNNNNNNNNNNNNNNNNNNNNNNNNNNNNNNNNNNNNNNNNNNNNNNNNNNNNNNNNNNNNNNNNNNNNNNNNNNNNNNNNNNNNNNNNNNNNNNNNNNNNNNNNNNNNNNNNNNNNNNNNNNNNNNNNNNNNNNNNNNNNNNNNNNNNNNNNNNNNNNNNNNNNNNNNNNNNNNNNNNNNNNNNNNNNNNNNNNNNNNNNNNNNNNNNNNNNNNNNNNNNNNNNNNNNNNNNNNNNNNNNNNNNNNNNNNNNNNNNNNNNNNNNNNNNNNNNNNNNNNNNNNNNNNNNNNNNNNNNNNNNNNNNNNNNNNNNNNNNNNNNNNNNNNNNNNNNNNNNNNNNNNNNNNNNNNNNNNNNNNNNNNNNNNNNNNNNNNNNNNNNNNNNNNNNNNNNNNNNNNNNNNNNNNNNNNNNNNNNNNNNNNNNNNNNNNNNNNNNNNNNNNNNNNNNNNNNNNNNNNNNNNNNNNNNNNNNNNNNNNNNNNNNNNNNNNNNNNNNNNNNNNNNNNNNNNNNNNNNNNNNNNNNNNNNNNNNNNNNNNNNNNNNNNNNNNNNNNNNNNNNNNNNNNNNNNNNNNNNNNNNNNNNNNNNNNNNNNNNNNNNNNNNNNNNNNNNNNNNNNNNNNNNNNNNNNNNNNNNNNNNNNNNNNNNNNNNNNNNNNNNNNNNNNNNNNNNNNNNNNNNNNNNNNNNNNNNNNCGAGGGUCCAAUGUAGGUUGAGGUUGAGACGCAAAUAGUUGGGAGAUCGGUUUUUUCUAUGAUUUACUUCCAAAUGAUAUGGUCGUAACUGGUCAUAUACAUGUCUAUGAGUUGAGCUCCAUAUGUCCAAGUUUUAUGUCUUUCCAUAAACAACGCUCCUCUGUUCUAAUAUACUUUACCUUAUAGACCGUUAUGAUGUUGCAAGAAACCCGAAUGCUGAAACUAAUGUAUGGCAUCAGCUUGGCGUACUUGGUACCACCCAGGAUUUAUAUCAGACUUUUCGGUGCCAGCUAUCAAGGGUAUCAAUAGGUGCUGAUCAAUGUUGUGUUGUGUUGCUAUUGGGCUCCCUUUCUUUAAAGUAUUGCCCUUUUUUAAUACAUCUAUAAUUAACUCGUCUGGUUUCUGUAGUUGUUCUUAAUUUUCAAAUUAUGAGCUUUUCAUUUGUAUGAGUGAUAAUUAGAAGAUUAUUGAGGUCUAUUAUGGCCUUACCAAACAUCAAAUUAAUCACCAUUAGUUGUAUGCCCAUGCUUUGCCGCCGAAAAACAAGGAGACGUGUAAAUUUGAAAAAUUUAUUGAAAGGUCAUACAUACAUUGCAUAAAUGUGUAGCUUCCCCGACUACAUUGUCCUCUUUCCUGCCCCCUCUCUGGCAACCAUCACAUGUUAAGUAACAUGAUUGUAUUAGGAAACAUAGAUUAGACCAGGAAUUAUUCUGGCUUGCCUUGUACUCCAAGUAGAUUAUGUACUCCUAUAUAUAUGCCCACGAGGCUCAAGCAAUACAAAGGACUAUUCCACCAAUCCUCUCUCUCCUCUUCUAACAUGGUAUCUAUCGCAAGUCGAUCCUAAACCCUAGCCGCCACCGCUUCUGCACCUGCCCGCCGCCCCCGGGGCGGUCGGCCUCCAUGACCGCCGCCGGGGGCCGCGCCGCCCGUACCUAGGGUUCGUCCGCGGGUCGUGUUGACCGGCUGCCCUAGAGAGUCUUUUUCCCGAGCCCUUGCUCCAGAUUUUUUUCGCUCUCUCGCCGGUCGUUUUGAUCGGCGUUUUUCUUUUUGGUUUUCCGAUCUAUGCUUGAUCGGUAUGCGUCGCCCGCCGCCGCCGUCGACACCGAGCGCCUCUACUUCGACCCCGGCGCGACCAGCCGGCCUCUCCUCCGACCAGGCAGCCACGCGCGACGAGGUGGCCCGUCAGGACCAGCCGUCGUGCGGGCGUCGGUCCACCCGUCGCCCUGCGCCGGCUGUCACCGCCCUGCUUCGACCGGGACACCUGCAUCGCCCCGACCCGGUGGCCACGCGCCACGCGAUGGCCAAUCAUGCAUAGUCGUCGCUCGCGUGCCGGUCCGCCCAUCGAUCCACAUCACCCGCCUUCGCCGCUCUGCACGGCGGCCCGGCGGUCUACCUCGCCGGCCUCGUCCUCGGCUGCGUCAGGCUUGUCGGCUGCCCUCAACUCGGGCACCGCUGCUCCGUUGGUCGCUCGGGCCUUGCUGCUCGGGCGCCGGUGUUGCUUUGGCAGCCCGGGUGCCGGUGCUGACAAGCUCGUCCGCACGACGUCUCACGCCGUCUGUCGUCACCGAUUUCAUCUCGGACUCCGCCGCCACCACGCCUCCACCGGGCGGCGUCCCCGACCUCGCGCGCGAUCGGCUUGAUCACCCGCUCGCCGCCGCGAUCCGCCUCCUCUACGCCGCGCAACCGACCUAGCCCAUUGGUGACGCGCGCCUCCGCAGGUCCCGUGAAGAUCGUCCUGAGUACCGCGCGCCUCUCCACCGAUCGAGUAUCGGGCUGCCGCUGCGUCGCCCCGUCGGGCCGCAGCGCCGCCGCCCCGUGGUUCUCCUCGUGGCUGCAUCGACUUGUGUGUCGCUGAUGCGUCGCCCCUUCGGGCCAUAGUGCCGCGAUACGCGGUCCCCGCCGCCGCCCCGAGGCCAUCCCCGCGGUUGCACCGACUCGCGAAUCGCCGUUGCGUCGCCCCUUCGGGCCGCAGCAUCGCGGCCCACGGUCCCUGCCGCCGCCCCGAGGUCUUCCCGCCGUCGCCCCGACCCGCCUGCCGUCGCUGCGUCGCCCCUUCGGGCCGUAGCGCUGUGGCCCGCGGUCCACUCCGCCAUCACCGCGCGUCGACCUCCCGUGGUAUGCGCCGCGCCUUCUCCCUUGGCGCGGGAACGCCACCGUCCGCGCCGGUCUUUGUCACGCUGUCAGGGUUCUUCACCUACUUCGAGCACCGCCGCCGCACUCCUAACCUAGCCGCUGCCACCGUCAGGCCGCCGCCGCCGCUCUUCUUUGGCCACUGCCGCCGCUACCUUAGUAGCCGCCGUCGCCGCCCGUCCACCCCCUUCGUCUUCGUCCAAGCACCAGCCUGUCGCCAGCGUCGCCGUCAUCUACGCCGACCACUUUGUCUACUCCGACCACCGUUGGUGCCAUCGGCCCCGCGCCGAAGGACGCCGCAAUCGUCGUCGAGUUCUUCUCUGUUGGCCCCUCCGACUUCUUCGACAUGGCGUAUAGCUCGUGCAGGUCCCUCGUCUACGCAUGCCCGAUGCUGACAACACCGAUGCGUGCCUUCAUCCACGACGUGUCCCCGGGCCUGGCAAGCAUGGUCGGCGCUUCGUCAACUUCGUCUUCAUCCGUCUACGCAUGCCCGGUGCUGGCAACAUCGAUGCGUGCCUUCGUCCAUGAUGUGUCCCGGGCUUGGCAAACCCGCUGCGAUGCGUCGUCAACAACAUUUUCUUCCCGGUGCACCCCUACUCCGACACCACUGCGCCCAUGCUAAUCAGGCGCCCCCUUGCACCCGCGGCUCCACGGCGACUUCCUCGACACCGGCUACCCCGACUCGACAUCAACCACGGCAUUCUUCACACGGCUACCUCGACCACGGCUUCACCACCCACGCUCUCGGCUACAUCGACAAACGGCACAAAGGGCUACCGUCUGCUUGAGCAUCCUCGUCCGUUUUCACUCCAGCCACGACUCCGCGAUCCAUCGACCGUUACGACUGUGGGGGGUGUCCGUCGGCUUGCCUUCGAAUUAUUCUCCAGUCUCACCGUCUGCGUCACUACCGUUGUGACUGCGGGGGGGAUGUUGAGUAACGUGAUUGUAUUAGGAAACAUAGGUUAGACUAGGAAUUAUUCUGGCUUGCCUUGUACUCCAAGUAAAACAUGUACUCCUAUAUAUAUGCCCACUGAGGCUCAAACAAUACAAGGGACUAUUGCACCAAUCCUCUCUCUCCUUUUCAACAUCACACACCUCUUUAUUUCCCAUUCUCCUUUCCAUGUGUUCCUCUAUUCUCAUCCUGACCCCUUCUCCUCCAUCUCUGCUCGCCCCUUAACCUUAUCUUUGUGUGUUAGGCUUCACCGUUGUCUUCUCAACUCUGAUAAAUCCAAGUGAAUACUUGGAAACCCAUAGCUUUUGUCUCAAGAGGCUGACACAAUGUAUAAAACCCAUCACCUCGAUGUGGAUAAUGAAGGAGACAACUAAGACGGCAGCCACCACAUGCCACCAUCGUCUCUAGUUCCAUAUUUGUGGACACGUCCCGUUGUCCGCUUUGUCGAAGUCUCCGCCUCUGACUCACUCGAGGGUAAUAUCUCACGGCCGGUAUGCUCACGUGCAAGAGAACAUCUUAGUGUGGAUUUUUUUCGAAAAGGAGGAUGACCCCUGCCUCUGCAUCUGAGAGAUGCAUACAACCAUUUUAUUGAUUAUUCUCGAGGACCUUACAAAGUAUAACAACAAUAUGCCUGAAACCGCCAUCUUGACAGCAUCUGCCGCUACACCUAUCCAAAUAAUGAAGGGGUACAAGCUGGACCACAUACCCAUACCUCUCACUAAGCCUAACAUCUAAAGCCGGAGGCCCGACCGAGCCAUCUGCCGGGUCCGGGGCUCAAACCGGUCUGACGCACUCACAUGUGUUGUCGCCGCCAUCUUCCACUAGUCCAUCUUCAGAGCAGAUUGAGGUAACAACCUUGGCAGGUCCUCCGCCAUCAACGCCACCAUGACGCCAAACGACGACCUUCACCUACGCGAGCCUUGGCAGGUCCUCCUCCAUUGACACCACCACGACGCCAACCGACGACCUCCACCUACGCGAGUCCAUCUCCAAGCAACGGACGUAAAUCCAUGCUAGGAAAGGGCCACACCACCGCCGUCACCCACCACCCACAAGUGCCACCCAACCCCAAGGUUCCCAAAGCAGUGCCUUCAAGAAGGCAAUGGCGCCGUGAGCGCCGCCUGCGCCCAACAGAGUUAGGGCUUUAGCCUGGGAGACCUAGGGGAAGGUGAAAUGAGGAGAUCAGUCCAUGCCGACGCCUCCAAGGAGGGAAACGGCGCCCUCAGGCAUCGCCAUCGGCGCGGCCGGUCAUGGCCGGCCAGGAAUUUCGCCCGAACUAGAUUUCCGCCACCAGCAGCACCUCUUGUGCAAAACCGGCGAACAAGAGGAAGCGCGGCCCGACCAAGCUGGCCCGCAUGCCGAAUAGGGGAGGAAGGGAGGCGCCAGAUCGCGCACACCGACCGCCGCAGAAGCCGCCGCCGACCACCAACGACUACCAGAUCCCGCCGCCAGCGCGGCCGGGACACCGGAUCCACCACCCGCAUAGCUGUUAGCCGGGCGUGCCUUGCCAAUGGAGCCGCUGCUCCAGAUCCGGCGUUCCCCACAUGUGAACAGGGCAACUGAGGCCCCACCGACACCAUCGUUGGCGCCCCAAACUUGCCCGACGGCUGCCUCAGGUGGCGGUGAGGGAGGAAGGAGGGGAUGGGUGGGGAGGAGGAGGCGGCUAGGGUUCCUUAGUGUGGAUCCUACACUUGUAUGUCAAAUACUCCCUCCAUUACAUACUAGUUUCGCUCAAAAGGAGUCCUAAUCCUACUACUACUAUAGGUGCAUAAUCAGAAUCUGACUAGGAUACACCACUACACGUCAUGUUUAUUCCUACAUUCACCCUCUAAACAUGACGUCCUCGGUGCGACUAGAUCCCAAAUACGAUGACUACUACUCAUAGGCGUCACCGUCGGCACUGCCUUCAUCGUUCCUCGCAACAUUUUAGGGACCAACUUUACUGCCGAUAGCUCAUCCAUUGCUUGACGGCAACACUCUCCUUUGAUCACAUUUUCAAACUUCACCUGUUCUUCGGUGCUUGAUAGACUGUCUUUCCUAUCUUCGAGCGUGACCAAACUUCGGUCUAACUUUGAGUUCCAAGCUCUUGGCGCUUGCUUCAGCCCGUAAAGUGCCUUCUUGAGCUUGUAAACUUUCCCUUGUUUGCCUUUCUUCUCGUAGAAGAGGGGUUGUUCCAGGUACAAUUCUUCUAUGAGCUCACCAUUGAGAAAAGCGGAUUUAACAUCCAUAUGAUGAACUUUCCAAUCCUUUUGUGCUGCCAAAGCUACGAGCACUCUCACCGUCUCAAUUCGAGCAACUGGUGCAAACACCUCCUCAUAGUCAACUCCUUGACGUUGUACGUAGCCCUUUGCAACGAGUCUUGCCUUGUACUUCACAUAAACUCUCUGCCGCGAUCUGUUCGUAGAGCGCGAACCUUCACCUUGUGUUCCAUCUCCGUUGCAGCCUUUAGCUUCUUGAACGCUUCAAAUGCCUCAUCUUUAGAUCGUAGGAGAACAACCCACAGGUAUCUUGAGUAGUCAUCUACUACAAGGAAGAAGUACUUCUUUCCUCCGUGAGUUGCUGGGGUGAUAGCUAGGACCACAUAGAUCGCCAUGGAUCAGCUCGAGUGCAUCACUUGCACGCUAGGUAGACUGAACAGGGAACGGCCGGCGGUGUUGUUUUCCAAUCAAGCACCCGUCACAUACUCGAUAAACAUGGUCAAUAAACGGCAUCCCAGAUACCAUCUCCAUCUUUGACAUCUUAAAGGCGUAGAAGUUAACGUGUCCAAAUCUAGCAUGUCAUAACCAUGAAUCAUCAUCACUCUUGGCGAGCCAACACUCCGGUUGAGAUUGAUCAAGGUUGAGGAUAUAAAGCCUGUUCCGCGUGCGAUUCACACGGGCUAGCACGUUUCAGAGGUUGUCAAAGAUCGUCAUCACUCCGUUCUCAAUAUCCACGUUGCAUCCAUUCUCAUCAAAUUUCCCGACAAAGAUGAUGUUGUUGCGAAGUCAUGGGAUAUAGUACACUCCGAUGAGUAUGCGAUGUUCUCCCGUGAGACCCUCGAAGAGGACAGAAUCUUGCCUGCAAAUCUCCACAUUUGAAUCAUCACCGAACUUGACCGAGCCUUGAACAUCAUAUUCUAGCUCGAGGAAUUCUCCUUGCACCCUGUCAUAUGGUUACGGGCACCCGUGUCUAGAUACCACGACACAUUUUGGCUACCGGAUAACUUUGGUGUUACUUUUUUCUCAUGAAGUAGCACCUUCCGGGUUGGUUUCACAACCACCAUAUCAUAAACUUCGGCCAUUAGAAGACCUGGACGUUCGUAUUCCUGCUUCGCCAAAUUUGCCUUGAUCUCCCGCUUGUUAGGCUCCGGAUAAUCCUUCGCAAAGUGACCCAUCUCAAAGCAGUUAUAGCACUUGAGCUCGGACAUAUCCAAGUUGCGUGGCUUCCGCUCUUUAGACCGGUCCGCCUUACCACGACCUUGUGGCUUGCCUUUUCCUUUGCCUUUUCCGGUUUGUCCGCCGCUCUUCGCGUUGCUUGAUCCUUCGCCAACGUUGUGCCUUCCUUUGCUACUUGGAGACCCCUAAUCUGCGACGAGUAGAUGAGUUGGUCACUACCUCCUCCUUUGCCUUUCUGACAACCAUGAUCAUUCUAUUCCCAUGUCCGCAAGCAUCCGAUCGCCUCCGUUAUGGUCAUGUCGUCGAUGUCGUAAAGCUGAUCGAGCGUGCCGAUCAUGUACGUGAAUUUAUCAGUCACCAAACUAAAAAACUUCUCCACAAUCUCGGCCUCCUCGAGCUUUGCACCGAGCGCGCGGAUCUCUCCCACCAAAGUAGUCAGACACAUGGCAUAGUCAUUCACCAAUUCAGUUUCCUCCAUCUGCAACUUGUGAAAUUGACGCUUCAGCACUUGUGCCCGAACCUUCGUGACGUGAUCUUGUCCCCUCAUCCCAUUGAUUGCGUUCCGCACCUCUCUUUCUGUCUCGAACUCCGCCAAUGUCAUCAGCACGGAAUCCGGCACAGGCUGAGCUAUGGCGGCCAUGGCACCAUCGUCACACUCCUUGUUGACGUCGUCGUCCGUGAUGGCCUCCCACACUUAAAGGGUUCGGAGAAUAAUCUUCAUCUUUACCGUUCACACGCCGUAGUUGGCGUCUGUAAGCAUCGGACUGGAUGGGGAUGUUGUGAUGAGCCAGUACGUUGGCGUCGCCGGCUCCGCCACUACUGGUUGCUGACUUGCCUCCCUUCUUAACCUUGUCGCCGUUCUUAUUCGCUUUGGAACCACCGUUGUCGGACUUGACCGACUCAGCAUGGCUGUCCCCAUCAUAGAUCGUAGAUCGUCAAGGCUCUAGAUACUAAUUGUUGGCUUCUGAACUGUAGUUCAACUCACCCGGGAACUACACGUACGACGUGCAAAGCUAGCUAGCUAGAAACCAAGCAGGAAAGCUGCUGGAUCGCGUCUAGCCGGCGACUUGCGUCUACGUAUGCCAUGCCAUAGCUUCUGUACGUGAGUGAGCUAGCGAUCAAUUCACGGCGGCGGAACUCGUGUGUAACGUGGCGAUGGGUGGAAAACACAGAUCGGUAUGAUGGCCAAAGGCUCGUAUCGAGCCUUGCUCUUACUUUGUAUUUCGUUGCUCUUUUUCGUUGGUGAUUACAGGUGCUAUAUGUGAGUAUAUACUACUCACUCCGUUUCAAAAUAAAUGUUUUGAGCUUAGUACAAUUUUGUAUUAGAGCUAGCACAAAGUUAAGACACGUAUUUUGGGACGGAGGGAGUACUAUUAUAGGUGCCUAAUCAGAGUCUGACGAGGAUACACCACUACACGUCAUGUUUAUUCCUACAACAAUUGGCGUGCUGUAUGCUAAAAAAAAACCAAUUGGCGUGCUGCACGUCUGAUCCGUAAUGGAUUGGAUACUUGACAAGGACCCGAGUGACGGUGACUGCGGGUCUGGCCUGAUCUCCGCCACCCCUGAACGCCGACGGGGAGCACGCCAUCGCCAUGAAGUGGACGGCAGCCCUCCGCUCGCCGCCUGUCUACACCGGCUGACGUGUUUUUGGGCACCCCGCACGGAUGGGGUCUGUACAAUCUGCUGAUCAAAGUACAGUAUGAUGCAUGCAUGGACGUGUCCAAAACUAUACCGGUCACUUGAAUUCUGAUGAAUAUAUGCUGUAAUUAUCUCAGAACAAGUGAAUUGCCGGAUGAAUUCUAUUUAGUUCAACUCUGCAACUGGUAGCAACUGACCGAUUCCCGUAAAAUAUUGGCCACAUCUUUUCUAACCUUCACCGUAGAUCUGUGCUUACCCAAGGCAAUCUCCUCUUAUCUUUUUUUCUCGAAUACGCACGAGUGUGCGUACUAUAUUAUAAAGAAGGGAUCGGGGUAAAGAGCCCGUCCACGUUAGUGUUACAGAUUACAUAUUUACACUGAACACUAACUCCACACUCCACCUAUCUCUCCUAAGUCUACGUACUCUCCCCUGCCCACUCCUCCACCUCGGCAAAGAAGGCGUCCAUGUCUCCUCACAGUAUGCCCGCUUGUUUCCAUAUACGGCCCUCUCGGAUGACUGCCUGGAUGAUCCGGUUCUUCGAGGGUGUGGCUCCGUCAAAGACGAUCGAGUUGCGAUGCUUCCAAAUCUGCCAUAGUCCUAGAAUGAUGAUUGCGUUAGCAUCCCUCUCAGCAGGCCUUCUUCCUCCCUUGUCUUGACACCACGCCCCGAGGUUUUCCCUUGCAGAAGGUAUCCACUCCGGCCUUCGCAAAGGGUGACAGAUCGCCGUCCACACUUCCCGUGCGACAACACACUCAAGGAGGACGUGAUUUAUGCUCUCCUCUUCUUGGCUGCACAUAGGGCAGUACUUUUGAUGGUCCAGUCCACGCCUAGCUAGCCGGUCGGAUGUCCAGCACCUGUCCUGGAUUGCAAGCCACGUGAAGAAACGGCAUGGCGCCGGUGCCCUUGAUUUCCAAGUGAAAGCGGCCGUGGGAACGACCUGCCUGCCCCAGAACUUGGCCGCAUAGGCGCUCCGCACUGAGAAACAUCUGCUAGCCUCCCAUGUCCAAGAGAUGGCAUCAUUUUGUGCUGGGUCCAGCUCAACUCGUUGGAUCAUCGUCCACAAUUGCAGGUAUUCACGCAACGAUUCAGCAGUGACCUCUGGGCUCACCUGGGUGACCCAGUUGUCGUUCAGGAGCGCCUGGGAGACGGUGCAUGUCCUUCUUAUUUUCCUCUUGACUCGCUCGCAGGCCAAGGGUGCGAUCUCUCCGAUCCUGUGGCCUUCAAGCCAUCUAUCUUCCCAAAAGAGCGCCGUAUUUCCAUCCCCUAGGGUCCAGCGAGCAGCCGCGUUGAAUAUCUGUGUUGAGGUUUUUGGCACCGUGAUGUCAAACUCCGCCCAUGGCCUUGUUGCAUCCGAUCGCUGUAACCAGGGCCAUCUUGCUUGCACCGCCUUGUUCAUCCAUCCUAGGUUGGGGAUGCCUAGUCCACCUGCCCACUUCGGGGCGCAGACCGAAUCCCAAGCGACCGCGCAGCUGCCACCGGACGAAUUCGCCUCCGCGCACCAAAGAAAACUGCGUCAUAUUCUGUUCAUUGCUGAGAUUGUCUUCUACGGGAGGCCAAGUGCCAUUAUCGCAUGUAGCGGUAUUGCACACAGCACGGACUGUACAAGGAGCAUUCUUCCACUCUUUGGCAUCUUCGCAGCUUUCCACUUUGGCAACGCCAUGGCAAGUUGAUCCACAAGGCCUGAUAGUUGAACAUGGGACUAUUUUCUGAGGGUGAGCGGCAAUCCAAGGUACUUGCACGGGAAGCUACCUCUCGGACAUCUCCUCUUAUCUUAUUUAAUGGUAACGGACUAGAGUCAAACGAAUUACAAUUUCCAAUUAUGCUAUAGGCUAUAGCAUUGCCCUAGGUUUAGGGUAGAAUAAUAGACUAGAGUCUAUCGAAUUUCAGUCGGCACACAACAACAAAAACCAAGUUCCAAUUUCUGUCAGGCUUGUGUAACCAUUAGAUAUGUGAAUAAAAGUACAACAUGAGCUAUCAUUAUUUUUAACUGCACGAUGUACUAUGUUAGAGGGCAAUCUUGAAUUUGUAGUGAACGGUUUGUUUUAGAAAACCAGGCACAGAAGGUCACAUGCACGCACAUGCACUUACUUCUAUGAACACACAUACAUGUACACCCUAUAAGCAUAUCCGAGAGAGCGUGUCGGCGAGUCUUGUGAUUGAUUGAGUCACCAUAGGAGCCUCGCUAUCGAUUGAAAGAAUAUUUGGUCUCAAAUGAGACUCACAUGUAUGGAACUUGAGGUAUGAUCCGUGAUGGGCUUGACUACAACUACCAUCCUAACUAUUGAACCACCCGUUGGUUCUCAAUUUACAUUACACAGAUGAAUGGUAAUUAACUUGUAGUACUAUUGCAACGAACAGGUUCCUCGCAUAGAAAUAGGGUACACAAGAAUACAAUCACACACAAAAAGAUCUAUUCCAUCCCCUCCGGUAAUGGCGGAUAGGUUGAAGCUUUGUCCCCUCCAUGCUACGCAACGAGAGACCGCGCACUUGCCUCCCAUCUGUCUGGCGCUCCAGUGCCCGGCGGCGGCGAGGGGAGUCUUAGUGAUUCUUUGGGCAGUAGUUUAGGAUAGGUUUCUUAGUCAUCAUAGGGACGACACCUUGGUAAGUGGCCACACUUCAUCUUCGAACUGGUUUUUCAUGUUUCGAUCCUCCUCGAGUUCGUCCGUCGAGACCGAAUCCAGCGCUCUGACGUAGAUUCCUACUAUCUCCUUGUGGCGGUGAGGUUAGGGUUUAUCACUGUGCAUCCAAGAUGGUAAGAUUUGGUGUUAGGCGAUUCAGAUCAAUUUCAACAGUUCAAUGACAACGACAAUAACUCUGAAGCGUUGGCCUUAGGGCUAAGUGCUCGAAGACUUCCUAGUUGUGGUCGACAAGAUUAAGUCAGCUCCAGUAAAGGAGCAGCGACUGCGAUGCGUCGACAACUCUUUCUUGCGGCGGUAGUGAUUUUUCAAUGGCCUUGGGAUCUCGAUGUAAUCUACUAUAUCACUAUGCUCUCUAGGGGUAAAAGGCCUCACAAUCAAUUGAGGUGUCCAAUUGGAAUUGGAUCACCCAAUUUCAACCAAGUCAAUAAUUCUCAAAGCUCUCAUUAAAUUCUGUUAUACUAUACACUAUGCUUCCUGAUUUUUGAGUCAUCACAAUUAACUGAGGUCUUCAAUUUAGAACUUGGUCACCUGAUUUUGACCGGGUCAAUAAUUUCUCAAGGAGCUCUCCCAUUUAAUUAUUUUAUUUCACCAUAUUUCCUAAUUUUGAAGCUCUUUUAUUCGAUUGAGAUAUUCAAUUUUGAAUUUGGUUUACAAUUUUGGUCGGACCAACGAUUUUUCAAAUCAAUCAACACCAAUCGGCUAGAAAAACAUAUCAACCCCGUGCACCCUCUUACCACAUAGAAAAAAGAGACGCCGCCAUAUGAUGAUACGGUAGCACCAAUAUAGUACAUGUAGGCACCGACGCAAAAAUAUACCCACAAAAGUAUGAGUUGAUUACUACAUAACACAGAAUCACACCAUGAAAGACCCACAAAUAACCGCAUUAUAAAUAAAUAUAAAACACACUCCAUCAUCUUCCCCAUCCGCCAAAUUAAAUAUUCCAUCAGUUCCAAAAUACAAGAGGUAUUAGUUCUUUGGAAAGUCAAAUUUCUUUAACUUUGACCAAGUUUAGAGCCAAAAAUAUCGACAUCCACAAUAUUAAGCCAAUUUCUUUUGAAAAUUCAUUUCAUGAUGAAUCUAAUAACUCUAAUUUGAUAUUACGAAUUUUGAUAUAUAUUUUCAUACAUGUGAUCAAACUUAAAAAGGUUGGACUUUUCAAAAAAGUAAUACACCUUAUAUUUUAAAACAGAAUGAAUGACUUUUUAAAAGAUUCCCAACAACACCAAUGGUGCAGCAAAGCGUGCCCAACCCUUCUAGUUCCCAUUAUGUUUUGGACACUUCAUUCUUCUGGUGAACCUUUAUAAUAGAUCCGGGUCCCUUUCACAACAAAAGAAAAAGAAAAUUGAACAUGCUCUUCAAUGAUCUUAACCUUAUGUAGUUUCGGUGUCCCAAUUUGAUUGCUAGAAAAAUAAGUUUUUAUAUCUUUAUUUCAUGCCCAACCAGGCACCACAUAUUAUUUGGUAAUUUAUUAUAGCGCUGUGGCAUUUUCCCAGAAUUUUCCUAUUAGUUGAUGGAACUAGUCGGCGUAAGAAAAGACGACGUAGUCCUUGCGUGCACCAGCCCUGUCACAAUCCGCCAUCUCUUCCGAGCCUAUCCACAUCACCCACAUCAUGUAGGUUGGCGUACAUGAGAUGCCACACGAGCGCCACAGUGCAUCGUAUCUUUUGAUGCCCGCAUAAUAAAAUAUUUCCAGUAUUCUUUGUGUUCCCUCUUUCUCUAUGCAAUGGAACUGUGGCCGCACGGGAUCACUGAGCUAGCCAUAUGUGACAAGAGCCGUAUCUGUGCUUGCAUAAGAGCUAGUCCAGUAGUCGCCAUAGCAGCCCCGCAUAUGCAUACAGAGCAUUUCAUAUGCAUUAUGGAGGCCGUUCAGACAAGACGAAAGUCAGUCUUUUACAAGGGCUGCAUUCGUAUUGUAGGACCUCUAGUCAGUGGCAUGUUCUUUUUUCCUCCAAUCUUCAAUACACAUUUAGUUAAAUGAAUAACAUGUUAAAUCCGAGCACGACGGCGAGGGCUUGGAUGACCACGGGCACGAAGGUGAGGGCGAGGACGAUUCUGUUGGGUAUUGAUUUCGGUGGCGAUAGUGGCAACUUGAUUCCAGCAGUGGUGACUCGAUUCCGACGGUGAUACUCAAACUGUGGAUGCCUGUCAUAAUGCUUUUCACAAUUUCAAGCAUCGCCAUUGAUUUCACGAAUUCACAGCUAGAGCACACAUACAUAGCACAUGAUGACAAACUGCUCGUCCACAUGCACAGAUCCACCCAAUGAUAAAAAUUAUACUAAACAUUUUGGGGACACAUAAGAAAACAAUUAAUGAAAUCGUUGUAUGUCCCAUGAAAUUGUGAGUAUAAGUUUUGACAUCGCUUCACGGUGAUCCCACUCAUACCCGAGAUCAUCACCAGUCUGUCGGCGUGAUAGUGGAGGUUGUGGAUGGCUAGAAGGAAAGUGUAGGCUACGGGCGCCGAGAAGGCAAGUGGAACUUGUGGAUCUUUUCAUAGCUGCGUCUCACACCACCCUGAAGACCAAGGCGGAUCGGCUGUUCAGAGUCUUCACCAAUUUGACCAGGGCCAAGAAGCUACUCCCUCCAUUUUUAUAUAUAAGGUCACUGUCAGAAUUACAAUUUUCAGCUAUAUUAGGUCACUAACAGUAAUCGAGACAAAAUUGAUGGUGUUUGUCUCGUACUAGCAACCAAGGGCAAUAAUAUCCCUUGCAUGCAUGUAGGAAUAAGAAGUUUGGUUUGAAUGCGCUGCAUUAAUCAACCAAUGAGGAGUGAGAUGGUUGUCUUGUUGUGAGUUGAACAGAAAAAUACACAUUAAUUGAUACACCAAAAAAGGAGGAAAGCUAGAUUUCAACAAUGGAUAAAACCGACAUUAAUGUUUACCUUAGUACCUGUAAUAUGAGUUUGCGGCGUUGUAUACAAAAAUGGAAGAAAUAUUAUAGUUGGACCAGCUAGUAACCUUCGGCCUGAAGGAAGCCAUUAAGACAGACGAGAAACUAAGGUCCUGUUUGGUCCAUAAGUCCUAGGAUUUUUUUGAGUCUCAACUAAAAAGUCGCUAGUCCCUAAAAAGUUCCUAUCUGUUUGGUUUCUAGGACUAAACAUAGACUAAAAGACCAUGUUACAACUAAAAAUCCCAAAAAGACUCUUCCUCAGGGUCUUCUUUCAUAAGUUCCAAAUGCCCAUUCUAAGUCCCUAUAAAUCCCUUAUGCUUGGUUUAGAUGGGACUAAAAGGGACUUUUUCAAGUCCCUACAUCAAUAAGUCCAUGUAAACAAACACCCCCUAAGGAGGCGACAGGACGGAGAUCCAGACGGUGAUGCGUGAGCUCGAGAAAAGGGACGAUCUACUCAAGAGUGAAGAGCGCGAAGGAGGUGAUGCAGGACAUGUUCUCAGUCCUUUGGCCCAACGAGCUACGAGCAUCUUUGCCCUUGUCAGCACAAUGAAGCAGGGGCAGUGAGGUUGGGAUUUUUCGUUCCGCAUGCAAGACGAAAAGAUUGCGAUGAUUACAUGCCGUCAACAGCUCGCUCUUGUGACUAUAGUGGUCGUUCAGUGGUUCAAGGAUCUGAUUAUAAUUCUUCAUUAUGGUGAUGUUGAACAUGUAUAUAUGUAUGUAGGUCCGGGUUUUGUAUGAUGCAUCUGUAGUGUCUCUCUCCCCCUUAAUCUACUUGUAUCUUGGAAGACAAGACACCGGUCGCACCCCUUGUACUUAUAUAUGUGCUUAGUGCACGAUCAAUGAGAAUAUCGAUGCACACAAUCCCUCUUUCCCAAACUUACAUGGUUUCAGAUACCGUAUCGAUCCUUUCUUAAUCGCUUCCGCAACCCUAGCCGCCACCAUCUGCUGUUGCCGCCGCUACCACCUCCCCAUGCCCUGCCCCCCUUCCCGCAGCCGCGCCCUCCACCAGCCAUCGUGCCGCCGCCACCCCUUCUCCAACCCUAGCCGCCACCUCCACCCUAGCCGCCUCCCCUUCCCUCGCGCGUCGCCACCAUGUCCAUCGCCUCAUCUACCUCCAACCCCUUUGCCAGUCCAGACCCCGCCGACAUUCGCGACAUCAACAUCCAUGACCGCGUUCUUGUGAUCCUCGAUGCCACCAACUCCACGUACUACACGUGGAAGACCUAUUUCUCGCUCCUUUUCCAUGAGAACAAUCUCGUGGAUCAUGUCGACAGCACCGUCGACUCUCGCGCCAUGGUGAACGACUCCAAGAGGACUGCGAUCGACGCUACGGUCAUUCGGUGGUUCUUCACCACCAUCUUCAAGGACCUGUUUCACACGGUCGUGACUGAUGGGGUUGAUGCACGCGCCAUGUUGGUCAAGCUCAACGGCCUCUUCACCCGACAACAAGCUUCAACGUCGCGUCUUUCUGCAGCAGGAAUUUUUGACUAUGAUCAGGAUGAAUAGUCCAUUGAUGACUAUUGCCGCCGCCUCAAGACGUUGUCGGAUGAGCUCCGUGACAUCGGCGCCAGGAUUGAUGACGACCACCUUCAAAGCACGCUCACCGCCAGCCUCAACGAGGACUUCGGCAACGCCGCCGCCAACCUCACCUUGAUGUCGGAGCCCUCCUUCCCCAAGUUUGUGGCAUACUUGCGGUUGGAGGAGCACCGGAUGAAGGGGGUGACGAAGCGCGUGCAGCACCACGCCCUCACCGCCGGCACCUAUCAUGGCACCCCACCACCACCCGCGUCGUGGCAGCAAACGCAGCCCCCCGCACCCCAGGGGUAUUACCCCCUCCCGCCCGCGCCCCCCACUCCUCUCGCUGCUCCCUAACAGCGGCCUCAAGGCGGCGGGCGGCCCGGCAACCGCCGCCACGGCGGGCGCAAGCAGCAGGAGCAGGCGCACGGGGGUGGCCAGGAGUACGGGGGGCACCUCAUCAGCAAUAGCCCUCCCCGUCGUGGACUUAUGGCACCAACCCGUGGACAGGAGUUGUCCACGCAUACUCGAUGCCAGUGCCCCGGCCCCCCGCCCCGGGCAUCCUUGGGCCCCGUCCGGCGAGGCACCAGGCAAAUCUUGCCGCGCCCUACGCCGCCCCCCUACCCGGCCCUCCCUGCAUCGCCGACCACGGGUGGCUAUGGUGCCGCUCCAGAGCCACCUUAUGGCAGGUUCUACCCUCCCCUGGUGCAGCCGCCGUGGGAUCCCGCCCUCCUCGCCGCCUUGCACUCGGCUCCGCCACCUAGCAACUACGGUGGCGGCGGUGACUGGUACAUGGAGUCGGGCGCCACUGCUCAUAUGACAUUUCAUCCCGAUAACCUUACGUCUUCCACUCCCAUUCAUACUCCCACUCGCAUCACCGUUGGUAACGGUUCCUCUUUACCCAUUACACAUGGCGGGUCAUAUGUCGUUUCCAUCUACUUCUACUCCUAUUAACAUAUCUAAUAUUCUUGUCUCUCCUGACUUAGUCACAAACCUUGUAUCUGUUCAUCGCCUUGCUCGUGAGAAUCCUAUUACUGUCGAAUUUGAUGAUGUUGGCUUCUCUGUGAAGGACGCCCGUACACGGAUGGUACUCCACUGAUGUGAUAGCCCCGAUGAGCUCUACCCGGUGCAUCCCUCUGCCACCACCGCCACCCGUCCAGCCGCCCUCACCGCUAGCAUCGACCUUUGGCACACUCAUCUCGGUCAUCCCAACUCCUCGGUUUUGUGUCAUAUUCUUCAGAGUUUUUCCUUCUCAUGUAAUAAGGUUGACAACCACACUUGUGCGGCAUGCCGUCUCGGUAAGCAUGUUCAUCUUCUGUUAGCGAGUCUACACACAUUUCCACUUUUUCGUUUCAAUUAUUGCAUAGUGAUGUUUGGACGUCCCCGGUUGCAAGCAACACGGGCUAUCUAUACUAUUAGGUGAUAUUCGAUGAUUUCUCUCAUUAUGCGUAGACGUUUCCUCUCCGUCGCAAGUCCGACGCCCUCACCAAACUCACCAUCUUUUAUUCAUGCGUAGACAGUUUGGUCGUCCUAUCCUUACACUACAAACUAACAACAUAAAAGAGUUUGACAACGUCGCCGUCGGUAAUCUCCUCACUUCUCAUGGCACCAUCUUUCGCCUCACUUGUCCUUACACGUUCUAGCAAAAUGGUCGCGAUGAGCGCCUCAUUCGCACUCUUAAUGACUGUGUCCGCACGUUUCUCUUCCACUCCAACGUGCCCCCUCGGUUCUUGCCACUGCCAGCCUCCUCAUUAACAUCCGCCCGGGCCGCCCUCGCUGGAACUAUGCUCCCCACCAGCUCCUCUUUGGUGCGGCCCCAUCUUAUGAUGGCCUUCGCAUCUUCGGGUGCCUUUGUUAUCCUAGCACCGCAUCCACCACUCCUCACAAACUCGCUCCCCGGUCGCUCCCUUGCAUCUUUCUCGGUUAACCGCCCAACACCAAAGGUUACCGGUGCUAUGAUCCAGUGUCCCACCGCAUUUAUACAUCGUGGCACGUGUACUUUGAUGAGCUGGUGUUCCCUUUUCAGCAGGUACCGUCCCUCCCCAUGCAGCCUUCAACGCGUCCCGCGGCGCAGCUUGCCCCCGCCACCACCUACGACGGGUCGUCCCCUUCGUCGAGAAGUGCCCUGGCCCAGGCCCGUCCCGCGCACCCCGCACCCUCUAGCCUGGCCGGCCCUUCCAGAGGCCCCGCAGACAUGGCGGGUUUAGCCGCCCCCUCCAGCGGCGCCUCAGGUGAGGCCCUCUCCACGGACGCCCCUGCCGCCAUGGUCUCCGGUGCCCCCUUGGGUUCUCCCGCCACCGCAGUAUCUGACUCGGUCCCGCCGGGCGCUGCCGCAGAUCUCUCAGCAUCAUUGGAGACCGGCUCGCCCUCCUCAUCGCCGAUCUCCACUUCAGCUCCGCCGACGACGACUGCACCCCUCACCGGUUUGGUCACUCGGGCUCGGACCGGGACGUUUCGUCCUAGCACGCGCUACACCUCCGACGAGUACGCAUGUGUCGCGUCUUCCUCGACCCCGUCUCCGCUACCCACCUCGGCUCGCGCAGCCCUUCGGGAUCCGAACUGGCUUGCUGCGAUGCGUGAGGAGUUUGAUGCCCUACAGCGUAACCGUACGUGGCAGCUUGUACCGUGGCCUCACCGUGCCAAUGUUAUCACUAGCAAGUGGGUUUUCCGCCACAAGACUCGCCCCAACGGUUCCCUCGAGCGCUAUAAGGCACGUUGGGUGGUGCGCGACUUCCGACAGCACGCUGGUGUGGACUUCACGACACCUUCGCCCCGGUUGUCAAACUGGGCACGAUUCACGCCGUUCUCCAGCUGGCUGUCUCUCGCGCCUGGCCAGUUCUCUAGCUCGACGUGUCCAAUGCCUUCUUGCAUGGUCACCUCGAUGAGAAGGUGUUUUAUUAGCAGCCCACUGGCUUCGUCGACAUCGCCUAUCCGGACCACGUGUGCUUGCUCUCCCGUUCUUUUUACGGGUUGAAGCAGGCACCUCGGGCCUGGUACCAAUGUAUUGCGGCCUUCCUCCAGCAGCAGGGGUUCUAGUCCACAUGGUCUGAUAUCUCCCUGUUUGUUUAUCAUGAGGGCGCCGCUAUCGUGUGCCUUCUCCUGUACGUCGACGACACCAUCCUGACUGUGUCCUCGCUAGCGUUACUUCAGCAGAUAACCGCUCGCCUUGGCACCAAAUUUGCCCUCAAGGACUUGGGGGCUCUCCACUACUUCCUCAGCAUCGAGGUCGUUCGCCGUGCCACUGGCUUCUUUCUGCAUCAGCAGAAGUACGCCUACGAGCUUCUGGAGCAAACGGGCAUGCUUAAUUGCAAGCCUGCUUCCACGCCUGUCGAUACGAAGGCUAAGGUGUCCGCCGUCGAGGGAUCCCUGGCGUCCGACGCUCCCUUCUACCGCUCCAUCAUCGGUGCUCUUCAGUAUCUCACGCUAACGCGGACGAAUAUUAAGUAUGCUGUUCAGCAGGUGUUGCUUCACAUGCAUGCCCCUCGUGACACCCAUUGGGCUCUAGUGAAAUGUAUCCCCCGGUACAUACGUGGCGCCAUGGCUAUGGGUCUCACCCUGACGGCGUCCUCUGACACCGGCCUCGUCGCCUACUCCGACGCCGACUGGGCUGGGUGCCCCGAAACACAGCGCUCCACCUCCGGCUACUCUAUCUACCUCAGGCCCUCUCCGAUCUCGUGGUCAUCUAAACGACAACCCACGGUUUCAAAAUCGAGCGCCAAGGCUGAGUACAGGGCUAUGGCUAAGGCCGUCGCGGAGUGCUCCCGGCUCCGACAGCUACUUCAGGAGAUGCUAUGUGAGGUUCCCAAGGCCGCGAUUGUCUACUAUGACAACUCUCCGCGGUCUACCUCUCUGCCAACCCUGUUCAUCAUCGCCGAACGAAGCAUAUUGAGCUCGACAUCCAAUUCGUCCGGGAGCACGUCGCACUUGGUCGUGUUUGAGUUUUGCAUGUGCCCACUGAUCAGCAGUUCACGGUUCGCAGAUGUCAUGACGAAGGGACUACCUACCUCGACUUUCAAGGGCUUUCGGUCCAGUCUUUGCGUCACCGGCGACGCUUCGACUGCGGGGAGGGGGGUGUUGAACAUGUAUGUACGUAUGUAGGUUCGGGUUUUGUAUGCUGCACCUGUUGUGUUUCUCUUCCCCUGUAUCUACUUGUAUCUUGGGAGACAAGACACCGAUCGCCCCCUUGUACCUAUAUAUGUGCCUAGUGCACGAUCAAUGAGAAUAUCGAUGCACACAAUCCCUCUCCCCAAAAUUUACAGUUGAAAUGCUUCGUACUUUUGGUGGAAGCUUAUAAUGAAUCAUGUCCUUUUCGCGAAAUAAAUAAAUAAACUAAACAUGUUCCUAUGUCUUUAUUGUUUCGUCGUCUCACUUGGUUUUGCUAGAAAAAUACUGAGUUUCUAUGUCUUUAUUUCAUGCCCAACCAGACGCAUUAUUUGGUAAUCAAUAAUAGUGAUGCGGCAUUUUUCUACAAUAUCUCCUAGAAUCGGAUAGAAGUAGUCGGUGUAAGAAAAGUCGAUGUAGUCCUUGCAUGAUACUAGGCCGGUCACAAUCCGCCCUCUCUUCCGAGAUUAUCCACGUCAUCUAGAUUGGUGUACAUGAUACAUUGAGAUGCAAUUAUCACUAUGGGUGCGGCUAAUCUGCAUCCGGGCUCAUCUGCACCCACGCUUAGAAAAAAAUUCAAAAAAAAUACCGAAAAAAUUCAAAAAAUUCCAAACUUUUUUGUGGUGGUAGAUAAUUUUACGUGUGAGGUGCGCCCCGAAAUUCAACUCAUUUGAGCAUCUGAGCAGCUCUCGGUAAAAAAGACAAAAUCAGGGUCUGUAAAAAUGUGUAUUGUUCACGCACUGUUUUGACCCCGAUUUGUCUUUUUUGCCGAGAGCUGCUCAGAUGUCCAAAUAAGUUGAAUUUUGGGGCGCACCUCACGCGUCAAAUUAUCUACCACCACAAAAAAGUUUGGAAUUUUUUGAAUUUUUUUAGUUUUUUUUUGAAUUUUUUACUGAGAGGGAGCAGAUGAGCCCGGGCAUCGUUUUGAGUUUUUCUUAUCGCUAUAGUGCAUUCUAUCUUUUGACGUCUGCAUAAUAAAAUCAUCCCAGUAUUCUUUGUGUUCCUCUUUUUCUGUGCCAUGGAACUGUGGCCGCACGGGAUCACUGUAUUUCACUGAGAACACGCAUAUCUGUCCAGAACUUGCAUAGGGAAAAUCUCCCCUCUCAAUUAGCUAGCUUGAGCCAGCAUCAUGUCCACGACAAGGAUUGAUGGACUAUGGCCGAGCUGUCCACGUCAAAGGCACGGGAGUUGAGCAGUACGAGUUGCUAGUUGGGAAAUAUCUGAGUGCACUCGUGCUUGUGAUGCUGCCGGUGCACCGGCUCUCCAUAGCACAUUUUAAAAUGUGAAAAAAAUGGAAACAAUUAAGCACAUCCAAACAACAUCACUAUUUGAUGUCGUAAAUUUUUAAAUCAAAAUUAUCAUUUCUUGAGAUAAAGAAAUGUCAACUUUAACACUAAAUAGUAUAUAAGUUGGGCUUUAGAUUUGAUCCAUUAUCACAUUGAUGUUAAAUUUAUCAUUUCUGUAUCUCGAGUAAUGUUUCUAAUUUUGAUUUGAAAUUUUGUGACAACAAAUAUGGAUGUUCUGGACGGUGAGGUUAGGGUUUCUUGGUGUGCAUUCAAGACGACAAGAUUUCGGCGACUGCAUGGCGUCGGCAACUCGUUCUUGCAGCGGUACUGGUCGUCCAAUGUUCCAGGGAUCUCGAUGUAAUUCUUAAUUAAGCUGGGAUGUUUUUGUACUUCUCGUGAACAUUUAUAAUGGAUCCAAGUCCUUUUCACACAAAUAAAUAAGUAAAGUAAACAUUUUGCUCAGUGGUCUUGGCCUUAUAUUGUUACGUCGUCUUACUUGAUUUUGCUAGAAAAUACUAAGUUUCUAUGUCUGCAUUUCAUGCCCAACAAGACCCACAUAUUAUUUGGUAACUAGAACAGCAUAGUGGCAUUUUUCUACAAUAUUUCCUAAAAUCUAUAUCAGUAUAAAAAUACUCGAAGAGGCGUAUCCAAGUAAUUUCUUUCAUAAAUCCAUGAUAAUAGAAUUACCUAGAUUACUUCCAUGGUGAGCUCUCAACAUGUUUAGUAUGCAAUAAAUACAUAUAUCUAUAUCAAUACAAAUAUAAAAAGACUCAAAUGGGCGGAUCCAAGUAAUCUGAACCAUCAAGUCAGGUUAAUCCAACGACCUAUGCUGCUUCAAUGGUGAGCGCUUAACAUGUUUAGCAUGCAAUUAAUAUCAUACUGAAUAUCAAUAUUAGUGCUAGUCACAUAAUUAAGGCGUAAAUAAUAUCCUAUCAGUAUUUGCAUGCAACUAAUACGUGGUCUAAUAUCAACGUGCAUGACAUGUGCACAUUUAUUAGUAGUAUACAAAAUAUCAAUACCAACACCAAUCACAUAUUACCAUGCAAUCAAUAUCCUAUCUAGUACUACAAUUAAUACCUAAUCCAGUAUCAUCGUGCAAUUAUUAUUCUUUUAAAUAUCAGUGUGCAGGCAAGUACUCCGUCCGUUUCUUUUUAGUCUGCACAUAAGAUUUGGUUAAAGUUUGACUUAUUUUACGGAAAAAAAUAUCAACAUUUACAAUACUAGUGUUAUAUGUUAUGAAAAUUAAUUUUAUGAUACAUCUAAUAAUAUUGAUUUCAUAGUGUGAAUGUUAAUAUCUUUUUCUACAAAGCUAGUCAAACUUUACAAAGUUUGAUUUUGACCAAAUCUUAUAUGCAAACUAAAAAUAAACGGAGGGAGUACGCAUUUACUAGUCGGAUAGAAGUAGUGGGCAGAGAAAAGUCGACAUAGUCACAUUUUACCGUCUCUUUUGAGAUUAUCCACAUCAUCUAGAUUGGUGUGCAUUUAUUUUGCGAAUACGCAAAGCUUGUGUAUCCAUUCAUCGAUAGAAGAAGCUAAAAUGUUAAUGAAGGCAUGGUACAUCACAUGGCAAUACACUAUUAGGGAAAACCUUAUACACAAAACUUUAACAAUAGCGGAUCCUAAAAACAACGCUAGUGCUAAGUAGCAGUAGCACAUUGGUGUAAAGCGCAUUACCGAUAAAAUUGUAGCAGUAGCGCGCCUUCAGAUAACCGCGCUACUACAAAAAUUCCCACGGCUUAGCCGAUGGGCUACACAUAGUAGUAGCGAGCUGCGAAGAACCGCGCUACCGCUACAAGCUUUGUAGCAGCGCGUUUAGGCGGAAACGCGCUACUGAUAUAGGAAAUAAAAUUAAAUAGAAAGAAAAUAGAAAAGUAAAUGAAAAUGAAAAAAAUAGAAAAAGGAGAAAGGAAAAAUUAAAAUGUAAAGAAAAUUAAAUGAAAAAGGGGAAAAGAGAGAAAGGAAUAGCAGUAGCGCGUAUCCAGGAACGCGCAAUAGCUAGCUUAGCAGUAGCGCACUUUCUUGAACGCGCUACUGCUACUUCUAACUUAACCGCGCGAUUCUUUCUUCCCCACGGCCACUUCCCCCAAAUCGAAACUCCUCCGCUGUCGCCGUCGCCCGUUGGCCGCCGCGCGCUCUCCCGUCGCUCUCCGCACACCCUCGACGCCGCCCCCGCCCCCGAAUUCGACGCCGCCCUCGACCACGACCUCGACGCCGGCCCCGACCUCGAUGCCGCCCCCGACCCCGACGUCGACGCCGACCUCCGCCAUGCACCCGCGCCCCGACCACGACCUUGACACCGCCUGCCACUCCCUCGCCGCAGGCACCCGAGGUGAGCACGCCUGCUCCUCCCCCUCUCCUACCUCUGCCUAGGGUUCUUCAAAUUUUAAUUGCAUCAAAUUAGCUAGUUAGGGUUCAUCUAUGGGUGGAAACGAAUCGGAUGCGGAUAUUGCUUAAGUGUAUUAGUCAAUAGCUAUGUGACAUGAAGUAUUCAACUUGUGACAUACAAUAAGUCAAUGAUAAAUAGGUUUAUGAAUAAACAAUAUUGUAAUGCAUAAUAAUUUCUAAGAUCAAUCAUAAAACAAGUAAAAUUUAACCACUUAUUUGAAUUUUAAGUUGGAUAAUUGAAAUAUCCGAUCGAAUACGAAUAUAGGAUAUUUCAGAUUAUCCGCUACCACUUUUUACCCCUAGGUUCAUCAAAUUAGAUGGUAAUUAGAGUAGUUCCUAGGUACUAAUUAGUUAGUCAGAACUAGGUACUAAUUAGGUACUAGUUUGUUUUUAUUUAUAGUAAGUUUAUUUUAGUAAGAACUAGUUGAACAUGUCACUUUUGUUGUUAUUUUUUUAGUUAAAGCAAUUAUUCCCGUAUCGACGUCAACGAUGCCUAUCCCGCAUCCUCGUCAUCGACUCGGCGGAGGACACCUGCUUGAGCAGAUGGGCCAUGUCCGGGACUGGGCUCCGCCGGGCUGAUACUGGGAGGCGCUACCUAGCAGGGGGGCGCAACUUGAUGAGGAGUCAACCCGUCAUUGACCCGAACCUUUUUUGGUGACAGUCACGUGGGCCAGUGACGGUCUAGAGGCUUGAUGACCUCGCGGAGGUGGUGCGUCAUCGUGUCAGCGAGGAGGACACGCACGUCCAUCGCUACUUGGUUGUGUUGGAGCACAGGUUCUGCAAUACCUGGCAGGUUCUCCAGGGAUCACUAGAGCUUUGAUCCUAUGAUGGUUCCUUCUUUUUGGGUGUCCACCGCCCGCGCCGAUACCCGUCGUUCGCUAGGGUUUUAGUUGUAUUAGUGAUACUAUAGGUAUGAUAUUAUUCGGGAUGUUCCAGUGAUAAUAUUCGACGCAAGAGAUGAUUUACUUUUGCUAGUGAUAAUAUUCGACACAAGAUAUGAUUUACUUUUGCUUAUUGAAUGCAUGCUAAAUUGAAUACUUAUUUAUUUUACGAUUUGAUUUUGCUUAUUGAAUGCUCAUGUCAAUAUGAGUCCUAUAAGAUAUUUUGAAAUGUAUAUAUUGUGUUGCUCAAAUAGGAUAUGUGCUUGCCCAAGUGGUCGGUCAUGUUUGCAGGUUACACCUCCGAGUGGCCUAUGUUUUGCCGGAGUGUUGAUUCAUUUUCGUUCCGGCAAAUUUCAGGCGCUCGAUAUGUCCUAUUUUAGCAAAGUCAUGACGGAUUUUUUUCGUGAAUUUUGGCAUGACUUAUGCCAGAAUAUGUAGGAAAUAUCGAGUGCCCUGAAUUUGUGUGUUGAGUAUCCUGGUAGUUGUCUUCGAUCGAUUUUCAAUUAAUGUUUCAACUAUGAACAUAGGAAAUGUCUGACAACGAAAAUGAUUUCAGUAUUUGCAAAUACUGUGAAGACGAGCGCGACCUGUGCGACGGAAUCUUCCUAGAUGAUGAUAGGCGCUUCAGCAUCAAGCUGGACGAGAACUUCGAAGUGGAUACAGUAAGUCACAACGACAAGUCCUUUUUCGUAAUUAAGCAUGACAUCUGCUUCAUUUGCUUCAACUUAUAUUUUUUUUACUAUUCUACUAGCGUAUCCCCUGCCAUGCAAGAGCUUUUGUCUUGGAUAAAAUAGAUUUCAGUCGUAUGAAAACUACUAUGGAGGUAAAGAGAGUUUACUUGAAGAUCGAGUAUGGUUAUACUUUCCACGCAAAAUUAUACAACGCAGACACCUACACCUAUUUUGAAUGCAAAACUUGGCAAGCACUAUGCAAGGCCUAUGCAUUUGAGCCUGAUAUGGUUAUCACCUUUGAUAUUCGUCCGGAAGAUGAUAUUGAAGGUAAUACCGAUAUUUGGGUCGAUGUGCAGAUGCCUCCAGUUCUACCAUUAUGUGAGUGUUCCUCAACCAUAUUUAUGUCUUCGAUAUUGUUUAUUUCAAAAAUAGUUCACAACUAAUUUCUAUUGACAGCUUAUUUCCAUUCAAACAAACAUGUUCAGCGCUUGGUAGACAGGACCUACUACUGUCCCGGGGCUGAAAUAAACUGCUAGGAGAUAAGUCAUUAUGUUUCAUGGCUUGAGAAUCUCCAUACUGUCAAGACAAAUUAUUUUUCUGGACUUAAAAAUCUUAGUACUCAAAACGUGCAACCUAUAGUGUUCGUACCGAACUACGGUCACAUCUAUUUAGGAAAGAUGGUAAGAUUUUUACUAUUUGUCCUCGGUGCAUCUUUUGCAUACAUUAUUUUUUAAGCUAAACUUCAUUGCUAAGUAUGUUACUAUACGAUGUUCUUCAACAGGGACUCCCGAUGAAUGUUGUGCCUCAUUGGAUCGAGACUAAAGGUUGCAUGAGAAUUGUUAGCUUACGGCCAAGACAUCCUACAAUGCACUUUAGUGCAUUCAGGAUUCCUAAUAGCGAGGAAUGCUUAAUAGUGAAAGACUGGAGCAAAAUUGUGAACGAUCGCUGAGAAGUACUAGGGGCAGCAAUCAGAAGAGCAUCCCAUGAUUAGGAGACAGGUUCAUCUGCAUGCUCCAACAUGAUGAAGAAGGAGUGUGACACAUAUUUUAUGCUAUUUUACCUGAGAGAGAGCAGCAGGAGUGAUUAGCUAGCUAGAAAUGAGUUUGAAGAUGAUGAUGUGCUACACUAUGACUAUGAUGAUUAGAUAGCUAGUGUUGGUGGUAAUGACUGAUGAUUAUUAUUAGCUAGUGUUGGUGGUGAUUAGAUAGCUACCGUAGCUAGUGUUGGUGAUGAUUAGCUAGCUAGAAUGAGUUUGAAGAUGAUGAUGUGCUACACUAUGACUAUGAUGAUUAAAUAGCUACUGUUGGUGGUAAUGACUAUGAUGAUGAUUAAAUAGCUUGUGCUGGCAGAUUAGAUUCAAGUGGAGUCAACAUGUGGUGCACAUCGAAAUUACUACUAGUCCAAACUUGAUCAAGUUUGGAUUAGUAGUAUACUUUUGACAUGCACCACAUGUUGCCUCCACUUGAACCUAAUCCACCUUCAUUUGACACACUGUUAUGGACAUAAUGAUAUAAACCUCAUAAUUGGUAUUGUACCAAAAUUUGUAUAACGGCGUAUAAAUAUACUAAAAAUAAAAAAAUGAAAAAAAAAGAAUACUAGUAGCGGUUGACAGUAAACACGCUGCUACUAGCUAGAUUAGCAGUAGCCCGGUAGCGAACACAUGCAGCGGCUAUAUGUCUUAGCAGUAGCGCAUGUGGCACCCGCUACUGCUAAGUAAUAGCUGUAGCGCCUUACUAUUAGCGCGGUGUCCCGCGCUACAAGUGGGCAUUAAACUCGCGCUACUACUAGGGUUUUACCUAGUAGUGCAACCUCAAACUGGCAUAAAUAUAGUGCCCGAAGUAGAAAAAAUUGGGAUGCUCAGCUCAAACAGAAUUGAGUUAAUUGCAUGGAGAUACCACACUUGGGGCAGGUGUGAUGGAUCAAUACCACUAUUCAUUUUUUGCAUGUCGGUACCAUGUCUCGGGCAACUUGUUAUAAAACGGUAUAAACAACGUAUGACACCGUAUUGAUGAUGUAUCUGACCAUGCAGCCCCACAUGUUAGGUGACUUGGUGGCCAAUCGGCGCAUGCCACUCCGCUAAAUAGGACGAUGCCGGCUCGGUUAGUCUUGGAUGGGUCAAACCGAUUCAAACCAUACGAACCCUAGUUCCUCCUCUUCCUCUCCCCAUGCGGCUCUCAGGCGAUGGCGGUGGUGACUCAGGGUGGAGGUGCCGGUGGCUGUAGUAGCGGUGGCGGUGUGGGCGGCUAUGGAGACCUUCUUGGCCUUGGGAGUGAUGCACACGGAGGAAUCGACAGUGGCUACUCUAGUUCUUCAUAUUACUAUAACGACAAUGACGCGUGCAUGGAGCCGCCAUUUUCCAUGGAGCAGCGGGUGUGGCUGGCUGAGAUUUGGGCGGCCAACCCGACCACGAGCCAUCGUUGGACCCACGGAGUGGGUGGCGUGUUGUAAGUUCCUCUCCUGCCACUAGUAGAAAAAGGCCCAUUUGUCCCGGUUCAUGAGGCCAAUUUCUCCCGGUUGACGAACCGGGACUAAAGGGUCGGUACUAAAGCCCAACACCUUUAGUCCCGGUUCGCCCAAGAACUGGGACAGAUGGGCUCCAUGUGGCCGUUGCGGCUUUCCCAGGCAGGAGGGCCUUUUGUCCCGGUUGGUGCCACCAACCGGGACCAAAAGGCUUCCACGGGUCAGCNNNNNNNNNNNNNNNNNNNNNNNNNNNNNNNNNNNNNNNNNNNNNNNNNNNNNNNNNNNNNNNNNNNNNNNNNNNNNNNNNNNNNNNNNNNNNNNNNNNNNNNNNNNNNNNNNNNNNNNNNNNNNNNNNNNNNNNNNNNNNNNNNNNNNNNNNNNNNNNNNNNNNNNNNNNNNNNNNNNNNNNNNNNNNNNNNNNNNNNNNNNNNNNNNNNNNNNNNNNNNNNNNNNNNNNNNNNNNNNNNNNNNNNNNNNNNNNNNNNNNNNNNNNNNNNNNNNNNNNNNNNNNNNNNNNNNNNNNNNNNNNNNNNNNNNNNNNNNNNNNNNNNNNNNNNNNNNNNNNNNNNNNNNNNGUUAAUUUAGGGGUUUCAUAUAUUGUGUUAGCUAGCUAACAGAGAGAAGUGUCCUCUCUUAUCUCCGUGCUAGCUAAUAUAUUAUGUUAGCUAGUUAAUUUAGGGGUAUAUAUAGGCACAUCAUUGGUCCCGGUUCGUGGCUUGAACCGGGACUAAAGGACACCCUUUGGUCCCGGUUCAAGCCACCAACCGGGACCAAUGGUGGUGGGCCAGGAGCGAGGCCCAUUGGUCCCGGUUCAUCCCACCAAACAGGACCAAAGGGGCCAGAAAAAUCGGGACCAAUGCCCCCACGAGGCCCGGCAAGCUCCCCGGCCUCAUGAACCAGGACCAAUGCCCCCAUGGGUCCCGGUUCGUGACUGAACCGGGACUAAUGGACUUAUCUGGCUUGAACCAAAGCCCUGUUUUCGACUAGUGUCCCUUCUUUCUAUCUUCAUUUUAUGCCAUACUUGGGGGCUAGGGUUUACUGAAAAUGUACAAAUUUGCUGUCACUUGUAGUUUAGAUAAUGAUGUUUGGGGUGUUAGGAUUCACUUUGAUGCUCAGCAUAAUUUGGAUAGGCAGAUAUGCAACUCAUAUGUCACAUUUCUGAAUGUGUGUGCAUUCUUGCAAAUGCAAGGAUUUACUUUGUCAGAUAAACUGUACCACAUGGAUAAUCCAGGCAUAGGAGAGCAGAGAGAGCAUGUCUUAGAAUUGGUAGACACAAACAUCAAAUCGCGGCAACUUAAGAGGCAGUAUGAGGAGAGUAGAGUUCUGAAUUUUUUAGUGAGGGCAACAACACCUGACAGUACUAUAUCUCACAGAGAAGAAGAAUUAGCCGCAAUUGUAUAUGAAGCACCUCUUAUGUAUGAUCUCAGUGAGCUUGUUGUGCUUGUUGUUGAUGAUCAAGGUAUUGUUUUUGAGAGCCAGUGCAACAGCAGUAGUGAAGUACAACCUCCUGAUAUGUGCACACAAAAGAGCAGAAAUGUUUGUAAGUAGAAGCUCAAAGCUGUGGUGGAAGAAGUAGCGGAGAAGGGAUAUACGAGUACUGAUGACUCAGAGGGUGCAACAACCCAAAGUAAACUAAAGAACAUCAGAGCAUCCGCAUUGCAAACUAAUCUCCUGGACAAAUAAUUUAAGAAAUGAACUUUACAAAAAGUACAACAGCUAUAAUGCAUUGAACAUUGAGCAUCUACACUAAACAAUCAUCGAGUUGCCCAAUUAAACAAUGAGCACCUUCACUGCAAACUAAACUCUGGGUCAAAUAUAAAAUUAACAUCUUCUUGCCAAAUUAAAUAUACAAGGAGUGCAUGAGCACAUGCCUACACAACUUACUCAAAUGAUGAGCAUCAGUACUACUAAAUGGCUAAAAAAUGACCACUAGUACUACUAAGAGCAGAAUCUUACUUGCUAGCACAAACUAGUACCAAUUUUAAUACAGAGAACAUGCUACUACCAAUUUUAAUACAAGCAAUAGAGAAUACACAGAAUCGUACUCUCCGAGGACAAACUAGGAACCUCCCGCCCAUCUCAAAUCCUUCACAGACUACAUGCCUCUCAGCUGGCAGAAGAUGGAGCUCGCAACGAACAAUGGGUCCUGUCUCAAUGCCCAUGUAGUCUUGGUCUUCAAUGCUAGCAGGGAUCUAUAGGAGAAAAAUAAACCAAAACCACGAAAUCCAAAAUCAAAUCCCCACUAGUAGAAAAUGGGCCUUUUGUCCCGGUUCCAAAGGGCCUUUAGUCCCGGUUCAGGAACCGGGACAAAAGGGUCGAGACUAAAGCCCCCCCCCCCUUUAGUCCCGGUUGUGUUACGAACCGGGACUAAAGGCCCUUCACGUGGCCGCUCUCUGGAGCUUCACCUUUAGUCCCGGUUGGUAACACCAAGCGGGACUAAAGGUUGUUUUUUUGAAAUUUUGUUUUUCUGAAUUUUUUGAAAAAGAAAAUUGUAUUUUUUUUGAUUUUUUUUACUUAUUUUUAAAUUUCUGAAUUAUUUGACAAUUCAGUCUCUAAUCACCCAUCAUCACUGCUCAAUUAUGAACCACUCAUUCCAAAUCAUCUAACUUCUCGACCGGUCACUCAUCCUCUCACUACUCUAGCCUGAGCACGCUUAACUUACUAGUUCUAUUCCCCCUAGUUUUCAAGUCUGCACUUGUUGUUUUCCUGACAAUACUAAGUUGUCAAUCCUAUUAACCCUUAGGAGUUGAACUUGAGCAUUAAGCAUCGUUUGAGUUUGAAACUAUUAUUCUAAAAACAAUAAUUAUUUAAUAACAUUAAUAUUUCUUGAAUAAGUAGUUUACCAUAGUUUGACCACAGUUUGACCAUAGUUUGACCACAGUUUGCCAUAGUUUGACCACAGUUUGACCAAAAGUCAAAAAAACUAAAAAUAAUUAUUUAGUAACACUAAUAUUUCUUGAAUAAGUAGUUUGACCAUAGUUUGACCACAGUUUGACCAGAUUUGACCAAAAGUCAAAAAACUAAAAAUAAUUAUAUAUUAACACUAAUAUUUCUUGAAUAAGUAGUUUGACCAUACUUUGACUAGAUUUGACCAUACUUUGACCAGAUUUGACCGUAGUUUGACCAUAGUUUGACCAAAAGUGAAAAAAAACUAAAAAUAAUUAUUUAUCAAUAUUAAUAUUUCUUGAAUAAGUAGGUUGACCAUAGUUUGAUCAGAUUUAACAAAAAGUAAAAAAAACUGAAAUUGAGCAUAUAUUUUUUUUCCUUUCACAAUUUGAGGAUUCUAAAAAUUUGCAAACAGGCCUAUGGCUGUCAAAAUCAGAUGCGGACUUUCGUGAUGAUUUUUUUGAUGUAUUAUGCGUUUCUUUUCGACAUCUUAUGCAAAAGAUAUGGCCGUUUUACAUUUUAUAACACCUUUUUGCAAAAUAUGUCCAAAUUUAAGUUUUUUAAUUUUCCUAACUAAUAGAAGUAGUAACAUAACUACAUCUCGAAGGAUUUCAAUUUUUGAAGAUUUUGUCAUUUUAUUUUUGUUUUUUACAAACUGAAAAGGCGAUAAGGGGGGGGGGGGUAGAGUUUGAACUUUUAGUCCCGGUUUGAGAAAUGAACCGGGACUAAAGGGCAUCACACCCUUUAGUCCCGGUUCAUGUCUCAAACCGGGACUAAAGGUCCCAUUUGAACUGGGACUAAUGCCUUCCUGACGCCUUAGCCGCUCGAACCGGGACUAAUGCUCACAUUAGUCCCGAUUCGUGAUGCAACCGGGACUAAUGUGUACAUUGAGCUGUGACCAAUGCCAUGUUUUCUACUAGUGCCCCAAAGCAGAAACCCUAACCCUAGCUCUACCACUCACCAUCUACUGCGUGCCAUUAGAGGAGUUGUUGUACUACAUGUUGGAGUAGUCGUCGCUGCUCUCAUCCUCAUCCACCAUGGUGUGGAGGCGGUGGCGGACUACACGAAAGUCGAUGGCGAAUCAGAGACAGGAGGGCGGGAGCAAGAGAGGGGACUAGGGUUCGAGGGGAGUUCGUCCGGUUCGAAUCGGUUCGACUGGCGCACAUACACCGACCGAGCUCGCUUCGUCCUAGUCAGCGGAGUGGCACACGCCCAUUGGCCGUCGUGUUACCUGAAAGGUGAGACCGCACAGUCGGAUACAGUGUCAAUACGACGUCAUACAGUGUUUAGACCGUAUUGUAACAAGUUGCUCCAGACAUGAUAUUGACAUGAAAAAAACAAGCGAAUAGUAGUGUUGAUCUGUCACACCUGUCCGGAGUGUGGUAUCUUCAUGCGAUGAACCCAACAAAAUCUACAACACAACGAGUCUGUUUGGAUCCAUGGGUUAGAGUUAGUUUGGACUCAACUAACCUAAAAAUAUCCAAACAGGAGGGUUAAUUUGGGUUAUAGGCAUCUAACCCUCCCAAAAAAAAACCACCCAAGAGGUGCUUAUUUGGGUUAGUUUUCCUCGGGACCACUAAAAAGCACAUUUUUCUCUUGCUUUCUCCACAGCAGAUCCCUCCUCACUUCCUCAAAGCUUCUCGUCCUCUCCCUCCCUCCCUCUCGCACCACCCUUGAAAGUGCCUCGCCAUAUCCGCGCUCCUGUCCGCCGCCGGUAAGUAGCCCCGCCCUAUCCUCCAGUUCCAACCCCCUCGUCUCCUCGGGGCCCGUCCACCCGACUGUAAGCAGUCGCGGCUCCUUGCGCGGCCCGUCCCCGUCGGCCUCGGCCGGCGCGGCUCCUUGCGCAGGAACGGCGGAUUCGGCCGGCGGGCUACGCGAGAGGCCAGCACGGCUCCUUGCCGAGCGCAUCCCCGUCUGCCUCGUCCACACCAAAUCCGGCAGAAAAUAGGAUCCAAAGUAGCCAAAUGAUUGAGAAAGAGCAUUCAUUGACAAUCUAACCCUGCCAUCCAAACACCUCUUUAGAUAGAGUUAGUUCGGGAUCAAUUCAGGAUUAGAAUCUAACUCUAACUGAGUUACAGUAUCCAAACAGGACCAACAACGCAAAACUAUCCUGACCAAGACGAAGAUGGGUGUGCAUGAGAUGACACGAUCGCCACAGUGCAUUGUAUCUUUUGACGUCUGCAUAGUAAAACUACCCAGUAUUCUUCGUGUUCCAUCUUUUUUCUGUGCCAUGGAACCGUGGCCCCACGAGAUCACUGUAUUUCACUGAGAUUAGGCAUAUGUGACAGGAACCGUAUCUGUGUUUGCAUAGGGAAAUCUCCUCACUCUCUCUCUCUCUGACUACUCAAUUACCUCUCCGGCAUCAUGUCUACGACAAGCAUUGAUGGACUAUGGCCGAGCUGUCCAUGUCAACAGCGCUUGAGUUGCUACUAGCGCCUGCGCCCAUGCCACCCACGAGUAUACAGUAGCAUUGCCCUAGGUUCCAGGGGGAAUCAUCCACAAGCAUUCAUGGACUAGGGCCGAAUCUGUACACGACAACUAGAGUUGAGAAGGAGCGGUGGCCAGCUCUGAGUCCUUUGCGCCCACGGGUUUGCGUCGGCACACAACAACAAAAACCAAGAUUGAACCGGGAGUCAGAGCAUCUCCAACAGCCGCGCUAAACUAGCGCCGCGCCGCAAAAUAGGCCUUUUUAGCGCGCGCGCAAUGCGGCGGCUCGCUCCAGCGUGCGCGCAAAAACGGCGCGCGCGCAAUAACGGGUUGGGCGCGCGGUCAAAAACACUUAUCCGCGCGGUGUAUUUGGAGCGCCAGCUACAGCGCGCGGCACACUAGAGCACUCGCGCCCGCACUCUCUCCCUCUCCUCCUCCUACGCCCCGCGCGCGCCGGCGCCGGCGCCCUGCCCCCCGCCAUGGACGCGCACACCGGCGCCCCGCUCACUCCGCUGUACAUCCGCGACCCCCCCGCCGCCGCCGCCGGAAACCCUAGCGCGGCGAGCGCUGGCGUCGCCACCGCCGGAGCUCCGCCGCCUCGCGCGCAGUCUCUUCUUGCCGCCGCGGAUGACUACGGCGCCGGCGCCGGGUGGCGUCGCGCCGGCGCCAUCCCGUGCCGCCGCCGCACCGUCGAAGAAGGUACCCAAUGCGGCGCGGGCGAAGAAGGGCAAAACAUCCGCGAAGAAGAACAAGGCGGCGGACGGCUCCGACAUGGCGAGGGGGAAAAAGCUUGCAGGGCGUCCGCGAAGAAGAACAAGGCUCCGGCAGGCAUGGGUGCACCUCCGGCCGCCAUGGGUGCACCUCCGGCCGCCAUGGCUUCUCACACACAUUCCCAUGAAGAUGCCGUUGAAGAUCUUGCCAACACCGUCGGAGCUUCACAUGAUGCGGUGCGUGAUGCGGUGCGUGAUGAAGAUAGGGAGGAAGGUUCAUCUUCGGAGGCGGAAGAGUCGUCUUCGGAAGAGGACGAAGACGAAGAAGAGGAAGAUGAAGAUGAAGCUUGAUGUGUCUUUCAUGUCUUGAACUUUUAGUUUGCAUUUGAACUUGGUUGGAUGAACUUGUGGGCAUGAUUUUGAUGAACUUGUGGGCAUGAACUUUUAUUCAUCAACUUGUUUGUGUCAAAUUUUACAUGUUCAUUUUUGUCCAAAAUAUCCAUAUAUGCAAAAUGCCCGGCGAGUCGCGCGCGCUGCUGGAGCGGCAUUUCAAAACCAGCCGCAGCGCGCGCUAACAGGUUUUUUGCGCGCGGCGCUUUAGCGCGGCCGUUGGAGAUGCUCUCAGUCGUGGGCCUGGUGGCCACGGACUAAUAGUACUGUAGUAGUAGUACUGAAUCACUUGCAACACGUACGCAUGCUUACCACGCGCGCGCGCACACGCUAUAAGAUGAGACGCACCGCCCAGCAGGUUUCUUACAGAGUAGCUGCGUUCGUGUAUACAUAGCAUAUAGCAAACCACCACUGAAUCCAUCAUCCAUGGCGAGAUGCUGGCUGCUGCUCGUCUUCAUGGCGUUCAUCUUGCCGGCGGCGAACGCGACGCCGUGCCACCCUGACGACCUCCACGCUCUGCGGGGCUUCGCCGGGGAGCUCGGCGGUGGGGGAGCCCUCCUCCGCGCCGCAUGGUCCGGCGCCUCGUGCUGCGGCUGGGAAGGUGUGGGCUGCGACAGCACCAGCGGCCGCGUCACGGUGCUGCGGCUCCCCUGGCGCGGCCUGGCGGGGCAAAUCCCUGGAGGCUCUCUAGCGGGCCUCGUGUGGCUGGAGGAGCUCUUCCUCGGCUCGAACCAUUUCGUGGGCGUCCUCCCAGACGAGCUCUUCGGCCUCGUCAAGCUAAGGAAGCUCUCCCUCGCAUCCAACGAGCUCACCGGCGAGGUGAGCCCACGCCUCGGUGAGCUCACACACCUUACCUUGUUGGAUUUGUCUGCUAACCGCUUCUCCGGCCCCCUGCCCGACGUGUUCGGUGACCUCACGUCGCUAGAGCAUUUGGCCAUGCAUUCUAAUGGCUUCUCCGGCUUCUUGCCACCGUCUCUUUCAUCACUAUCUUCUCUCCGUGAGCUCAACCUCCGAAACAACUCCAUGUCCGGUCCGAUUGCUCGUGUUAGCUUCUCCGACAUGCCACUUCUUGCCUCGCUUGACUUUUCCACAAACUCCCUGACUGGGUGGAUCCCGACUAGCCUCGCCGGCUGCGGUGAGCUCAAGUCGCUCAACCUUGCCAACAACAUAUUGGUCGGCACCAUCCCGUCGUGGAUUGGUGAGUUUGACAACCUUUGGUACUUGAAUCUCUCAAAUAAUUCAUUUGUCGGCGAGGU